UCGGGAAAAAAGUGGCUAAAAAGCUACGGGAUGUGCGGACUUUAAUCAGUGAAGGAGUUUUUGAGGUGGUGGCUGACAGAGCUCCAGAGUCUGUAGCAGAUGAAAGACCUACUGAGCGAACAGUAGUAGGCUUGCAAUCACAACUUGAACAAGUCUGGAGAUGUCUUGUAGAAGAAUCAGCGGGAAUCAUUGGCCUAUAUGGUAUGGGCGGUGUUGGUAAAACUACACUACUGACCCAUAUCAACAAUAAAUUUCUCGAGAGUCCAACCAACUUUGAUUGUGCGAUUUGGGUUGUAGUUUCAAAAGACCUGCGACUCGAAAAAAUUCAAGAAGAUAUUGGGAAAAAGAUAGGUUUGGUUGGUGAUUCAUGGAAGAGUAAAAGUGUAGAGGAGAAAGCUGUCGACAUCUUCCGGAGUUUAAGAGAGAAGAGAUUUGUAUUGUUGUUAGAUGAUAUAUGGGAGCGGGUUGAUUUAACAAAGGUGGGCAUUCCACUUCCCGGACCAAAAAAUACUACCUCAAAAGUCGUAUUCACAACCCGUUUCAUCGAUGUUUGUGGUAGCAUGGAAGUUGACAGGAAGUUUCAAGUAGCAUGCUUAUCAGAAAAGGAUGCUUGGGAACUGUUUCGAGAAAAAGUUGGGGAGGAAACUCUUCAGAGUCAUCAUGAUAUCGAUGAGCUAGCCCAAAUUGUGGUCAAAGAGUGUGGUGGUUUGCCACUCGCACUUAUUACUAUUGGUCGAGCUAUGGCCUACAGAAAGAAAGCGGAGCAGUGGAGACGUGCAAUUGAAGAGUUAAGGAGAUCAGCUUCAGAGUUUGCAGGUUUGGGAAAAGAGGUUUAUCCUCUUUUAAAAUUCAGCUAUGAUAGUUUGCAGAAUGAUACGGUUAGAUCUUGUUUCUUGUACUGUUGUUUAUAUCCUGAAGAUUAUGGCAUUCUUAAAUGGGACUUGAUUGAUUGUUGGUUUGGCGAGGGAUUUUUUGGGGAAUCUGACAGGUCUGGUGCAGAAAACCAAGGAUAUGACAUUUUGGACACUCUUGUUCGUGCGUGUUUAUUAGAAGAGGUGGAAGAUGAUGAAGUAAAAAUGCAUGACGUUAUUCGUGAUAUGGCUAUAUGGAUAACUUGUGAAAUUGAGAAGGAGAAGAGAAACUUUUUGGUUCGUGCAGGUGCUGGAUUAAAAGAUGCACCGGGUGUUAAAGGAUGGGAAAAUGUGAGAAGAUUGUCAUUGAUGCAAAACCAAAUUGAAACUCUGGCAGAGGUUCCCACAUGCCCUCAUCUCCAUACUCUAUUUCUUGACUUUAAUAGGGGGUUGGAUAUGAUCGCGGAUGGCUUCUUUCAAUUUAUGCCUUCUCUCAAAGUUUUGAAGAUGUCAAACUGUUCGAAUUUGAAAUUACCUGUUGGGAUGUCAGAGUUGGGUUCAUCACUAGAACUUCUUGAUAUUUCAGAAAACAGCACAAGAGAGUUACCGGAAGAGUUAAAGAAGUUGGUAAAUCUGAAAUGUUUGAAUUUGAGGUGGACAGAGCAUUUAAAUAAAAUUCCACGGCAACUAAUAUCAAAUUCUUCAAGGUUACGUGUGUUGAGAAUGUUCGCUACUGGCCGGUUCAAUUUUCAUGAAGCACCAGAAGACAGCGUUUUAUUUGGUGGGGGUGAAGUUUUGAUACAGGAAUUGCUCGGUUUGAAAUAUUUAGAGGUAUUGGAGUUGACCUUGGGAAGUUAUCAUGCUCUCCAAAUUCUUUUGAGCUCAAAUAAGUUAAAAAGUUGUAUUCGAUCUCUUUACCUCGAGUUGACCGGAGAUACAACGUCAAUUAUUGAUGCUACGGCUUUCGCAGAUCUAAACCACCUCAAUGAAUUACGGAUUGAUAAUGGUAUUGAGUUGGAAGAGUUGAAGAUUGAUUAUACGGAGAUAGUACGAAAAAGGCGGGAACCUUUUGUUUUCCGCAGCCUUCAACGUGUUACCAUAGCGGAGUGCCAUAAAUUGAAAGAUGUGACAUUCCUCGUUUUUGCUCCAAACCUCAAGUCUCUUCGGCUAUUCUAUUGCGGUGCUAUGGAAGAAAUAAUCAGCGUCGGAAAAUUUGCUGAGACUCCUGAGAUGAUGGGACAUAUAAGCCCUUUUGAAAAUCUCCAAAUGCUUGAUUUACAAGGUUUGCCACAUUUGAAGAGCAUCUUCUGGAAGCCAUUGCCUUUCACUCAUCUGAAAGAAAUGGAGGUACUUAGGUGCGAUCGGCUUGAAAAGCUUCCACUCGAUUCCAACAGUGCAAAGGAGCGCAAAUUUGUUAUUCGUGGAGAAGAAGACUGGUGGAACCGACUUCAAUGGGAGGAUGAAGCCACUCAAAUUGCUUUUCGUUCCUGUUUUAAAAGUGAUGCUUUAUUUAUAUCUUAUUCGUGAAAAGUGAUUUAAUUUCCUGCCAAAAGACGAACGAGAAGAACAAUAGAGUCAAACUAAUGCUCACAUAAAUUUCCCGUAAGAAUAUAUAAUUAGAUUGGAAUGCACACCUCUAGAUUGAACAGAAUUAAAGCUGAGAAAAUAUUGAGUAUAGUAGCCCUCUUUACAGAAAAUGACGUGAAAGUUAAUUUAGAAAGAUAUAUUCUUGAUUAAUCCAUUUUCUGAAGUUUUUAUUUUGUAUGGUCAAUUAUACCUUCAUACUAAAAAUUUCUGAAGUUAUAAAUUAGUGCAACUUGACAAUUUUUACUGAUGAUAUCUUCUAUUUUUCCCUUUUUUUUUUUUUCACUUUCAUAGACUGGCAGCGGAUCCUGCGGCACCAAUUUGAGAGAAUAUACUGACACUACUUCGAACAGCAAGCAGAAGAAGUAAUAUGUCUACGGCAAAGGCAAUGGAGUCCUCAUUUUGGCUCGAGAUGCAGUAAUCAUCGAAGAGAGUUUCCUUGUGAAACUGGGCAACACAUUGAAUCCCUUCACCACUGAGAAGGUUGUGGAGGAAGUAAGCUUUCUCUCCAGUGAGGAAGAGGUGGCAUAUACCUUCCCCAUUUUGUUGAGGGCAGGUAGGAAUCUUUUUUCUAAGAGAUUUACUUCGUUCUCUGUAAGAAAUGCUUUGAACUUCAUCCCUCUGUCUCUAUCCUCACUUAUCAGGAAAUAAGUUGAAAGCACUAUGAAGAGAGAGAGAGAGAGAGAGAGAGAGAGAGAGAGAGAGAAUUAAGAUAUAUAGACAAGAAAAAUAUUUGACGUUGAUCUUACAAACUAAUACUUCAAGCAGUAUCCUAGAAAGCUAAAAACUGCAAGAUGGCUUGAAAUUUGAAAAGAGCACAUGCUUUUCCUCCUUAACUUGAGAAAAUGUUUAAUAUAGUGCACCUUACAGAAGCAUUUAAGCAAUUAGAACUUUGCACAAAAACAUCAAGAAGACUAAACAAGUCAGAUGCAGUGUAUUUGUCCAAGCACAAAUUGCAUUUUUUCCUCAACUUUAAUAUUUAUUGAUGAGAAUCAAUACAGGUCCCUCAUUUGUUAUAGAAAGCUUUCUUUCUUGUAGUCUCACCAGUUAAUUCAGAGGUCUAUAAUCAUCUUGCAAAGUUAAGGGCAUUUCUUUUGAUCUAAAGUCUUUGCAUCACCACCUCAUCACACGCCAAGCCAAUAUUCCAUUUACCUCUACAACAAAAAGUUUUAAUUAAACAAUCCUAAUGCACGCAGCCAAAUAAAAUGCAGUAAGAAUAUUCAACUUAAAAAUCUGAAAGCCAACUUGGUGAAUUGCCUCCUUAGGUGAAGUUCCAUGCUUUACUAUAGUUGACAGAACUCAGCAAAAGCUUCCAUACAACAGAUUUUGAAAAUGAUGAUGCCAACAGAUACUCAUUCAAUGCAUUGAAACUCCAAAGGUUCAUUGUUCAUAGAAGUUUACAGAGUUUUGGUCAUCAAAUAGCUCAGACCUAAUCCCAAACAAAAAAUGAGUGAAAAUUAGAUCACGAGCAGCUAAUUGUAAAUUCUAACUUAACUCUUCAUCUCCUUUGUAAACAAGAAACAAAAUGGAGACACGCAAAAUGAAUAUGGAGAAAAUUUGAACUCAAAUGAAAUGAGGGCAUGAAAGCAAACAAAUGGCAUGCACCAAAAAACCAAGCCUCAAUCAAAAACUAAUUAACCAUUAAGAAAAAAAUUGGUCAGAGAAUGAACUCCAAAUUCAGGAGUCAAGCAAGAAGCUUUCAUUAUUAUCAAAGUCAAUUAUCUUUGUUAGUAUGCGAGUGUGACGACUAUAGGUUGUUCUUUUUCUAAUGUCAUAUGAUUCCAAUUUUAGGUACAGGGCAUCUCUCUCUCUCUCUCUCAUCGCUAAGUGGAUAUUUUUCUCUUUUGUCAUAUACUUUAGUUAUUCUUCAAUUUACUAACUAAAAUGAAGGCCGCUUUAUUAAGAAGUUAUAUCCAGUUAUAUAAUUUGUUGUAUUUAAUAUAUGUUUGGGCUCAUAAUUUUUUUUAAAAAUAUAUAUUUCAUUCUCCAUAAUUUUUUCCCAUCAUAGCUACGAAACGUCUUAGUUUCGACUAAAAUCCUAAAAUUGGUCCUUAAUUGAAUAUGCAUUGCAAUUUGCAAAUGUAAUAUUGUGAAUGGGACACUGGAGAUACCAAAAUGGUCAAAUGCGAAAUAAGUUAGGAUUGUACGAUGUAGUUUGUAUUCAUAUUCAAUGCCUUUUUUUUCAAAAAACAAAUUGAAAUGCCAUUACUAAACGAUUCUUGAUGAUGGGAGCCACCGUGCCAGCUUUGUCGCUGAUUUGGUAUUAUUCUUAACUUGCAGAUAGUUGUGGAUAUGAUAUGCAAAAAGGUAAGGACUAUAUCUUCUUGAUGGAGGCCUCUGAUUUUUUCCCUUCUAUGUAAUUUAGUAAAUCGCAUUUUCCCUUGUGAUUGAUAUAUCAUACCAAAGUCAAGUCUUAAAUACUGCUGUCAUAUGUUAAGGUUCAACUUCCAUUUUGAUUAACGUCCAUUUGCUGCUGCUUCCAAAAGUGAGAAUGAGAUACUUUGGUUAAUUUCAGUAGUUGAACCCAAUAGAGUACUUUAUUUAGAUCUUCAUGGUUCAAAGGCCUGAAAAAACUUGCCGGUAUUUGCAAAAUGACAUUCUGUGCUUUUAUUUAGGCUUAUUAUUUAAGUGAUAAAAACUCCCGUAACCUGCUGUCAAGAAAAUUUCAGAUUGUUAAAAGACAACAUUUUGUUUCAGCCAAAAAUGUUUGUUUCGAUUAAAGACUUGAACCAUUUUCAUUUAACCUUGAUUGUGAUGCUUUACAUUAUGCAUGUUCCUCUCAAUCAAUAAAAGUUGAGGUCAUGAUUUUAUAUUUCUAUUUUGUAACUUGAAAUAAUUGGUCUGCCUGUUUCUGUAGCUUGAUAACAUGAAUUUUUCCUUCUGAAGUUAAUUUGAUCAAUAAAGUAAUUCUUCGGAGAUGAUAUGCCCAUUCUAUAGUCAUUUUCUUAGGUAACAUGUUUUUUCUUCACUCUUCAGAGCAUGUCUAAACUAAUUGAUCGCUCAGCGGAGACUUUGGGUGAGAAGACAAAAUUUCUUGGUAAAUCCUCUAAAAAGGUAUGCAUAAUUCCCGAGUAUUAAAUAAUCAUUGGUCAUAAUUUUUGUACACAACUCUUUUUUUGGAGAUCGUUAAAAGUGGUUGAUGAUCUAUUUUGUAAUAUCAUAGAGGGAUCAUGAAUUCCUGUUCUUUUCUGUGGCUAGGCAACACUUUCGGGCCAAGCUAAGGAAAUCUAUUUUAGGUAAUGUGAAAACCAGUUGUAGGAUGUAAUAGUUUAUUAUGCCCUGACAAUAACUUUUUGUAUAAUUGUCAGUUUAAUGAAUACAAGAGGAACUCUGUUGGCAAAUUCAUCCAUGAUAGAUGCUAAAAGUAUUUAUGCAUACCAGUUGCCUUAACUAAUUUUUCUCAACACUGGUAUUGAACAGGAAAAUGAAUAUGCAAUUUGUAUAUUGUGCCAUUGUGGAGAAUUUGGAUAUUCUUAUUUAAGUAACAAGGAGAGUAUUUGCCUCAUCUUUAAACAAUGAAUCUUUGAGAAAUGAGGAGUGGGUGAUUGGCAGUGUCUUCAUGUAAAUGUUCAUUUAUUUGUAUUUUGAACUAUUAUGAGAAUCUUUGUAUGCCAAAUUAGUAAUACAAAUGUUCAGAUGAUUUUUCCUGUUGAUCAUGCGUGUGUAUCUGCACACAACCAUUGUGUCCCACUUUAUUCUGAUGCACAAAUAUCUGUAGUUUAGAAGAAAAGAAAUAAUAAUCAUAUAUUAUUGCUUGGUUCAUGAUUAUUAAACGAUUAUGGCUUUAGAAAAUCCACAAAUCCUUUGUGUUCAUAUAUGAAUGUGCGAAGUUUGCUAUCUCUUAGAUUACCUUCUUCCAAGAUAACAAGUUCAUAUAUUUUUUUUAAUCCUUUUUCAUCACAGUUGAAUUUCAAGUGUAAGUUUUGUUAUUAAUAGCUGGUUUCCUGUUAUUAUGAUUUCAUAAACAGUGAGAGGAUAUGUGCUCUACUUUUGGAGGGCCUCCACAUGAAAGAAAAUUGCAACAAUUGAAUUCUUCCGGAGGGUAUGGUAUUUAAUUUAUUUUCUCAGCUUGUUGUAAGACUAAUAUAUUUCCUUCAGUACCCAAAAGGACAGAAAUGAAUUACGGAAGGAAGUUUUUGCUGCUUUAUUUAGUGCUGCUGAGAAAUCUGAUGGAUUUCCUGAAAUUACGGUGAAGACGGAGUGGAGGUCCAACGCAUUAGGAAAGGUGGUGAGUGAACCGCCGGAGGAAUUAGUACCAGAAUACAAGGCUAAUGUGGUGCACUUGCAGCAAGAUGACCAGACCUGUAUGUGCUCUUAUAUUAACUAUAUUGGUUGGAUUUGUGAGUGUGUACAUUUUUGUGUGUAUACUCACAUUUGUAUUUAUGCAUAUUAACGUGUGUAGGAUUCUUGAUUUCUGCCACUUACUGGAGAACUAGUGGAAAGCUUUAUACUGAUAUAUGUGCUAUAACUAAUGGAAACUACAAUAUGAAUAUUUUCUCUCACCUGGAGAACUGUGUAACAGAUAUAAUUUGUGGCUCUGGAAUACUGAAGAUUCUGCAAUAACUAAUGGAAAAUAUGAUAUGAAUAUUUUUUCUCACCUGGAGAACUUUGUAACAGAUACAUUUUGUGGCUCUGGAAUGUCUAAAGAAUGCUUCAGUUUAGAUCAAAUAUCUUUUAGUUAGAAAAGAUAAAAUUCUCUGAAUCUGAAAGACUGAAACAUUUUGCAUAUUUUGUGAAAGGGAAGUAUCUGUAGAUACUAGCUCAUGCAUUGAGGUAAUAUCAAUGUUAAAGAAAAACAGCAAUAAUUUAUUAUACAGAAUUAGGUUCACUUGCUUUAAAUGCUGGUCUGAUCAACCAUAACAACCUGUAAUGGUCCUGCAGAAAUAUAUAUACGGGGAGAAACUAGCUAAAUUUUCCUUUCACUUAUGGGUUUGGUCUUUUUUUCCCCUAUUUUUCAGCUUUCCUUCUCCUGAAGUAUGUUAACAAUUGCAGAUAAUGACGAAGAGGACCGCUUCCAGGCUCUUUGUAGAGCUGUGAUGGAAUAUAGGGGCACAAUGAAAGAAUAUUGUAAGGUUGUAUGUACUUUCUCUCUUGUCAUUUAUGUUUUCUCACACAUUUUGUUUAUGCCCUGAACAUGCAGCUUUGUAUGUGUCAAUUGCCUUUUACGUUUUAAAAGCCAUAAAGUAAGAAUACAGUUCCUUGUCAGGCUAUUGAUGCGUUCGCUCAGAAGGGUCAUGUUCAAGCAGGAAAACUUCUAGAACAGGUAAGGUUUCCAUCUACAGCCAUCCAUUGACAGCAGAUAUAUUUUCAUUAAGCAGACACUGUUAGCAUUCAAGAUGCUGGCAGAUUCACUUGAUUCUUAUUAGUUUGUUUAGUGGCAAGGCAUAUAACCUGUAUUUCAAAGCCAAGUUGUGCUAUUGAUUAUGUUAACUUUAUUGUUAACAUAAAGUGAUAUGGAGGACAUAAUCAAUGUAGGAAAAUUAGGUGAAGAGAUGAUGUCAAAUCUUGAACCUCUUACAAAGCUCCAAGUUCUUUACUUGAAGAAGCUGCCAAAUUUGAAGAGCGUCUACUGGAAGGCAUUUCCAUUCCCAGAUGUAUGCAGAAUUUUUGUAUUAAUGCCCAGUUCUUAAGAACCUGCCACUGGAUUUUCAAGGGGUGGGCCAAGGUAAAAUUCUUAUCAAGGGAAAGGAAGAUUGGUGGAAAGAACUUCAAUGGGAGGAUCAAGCAACUCAGAAUGCAUUGCUUCCAUUUUUCAAAUCAACUGACAAGUGAUUGAAGGGGGCAUCAUCAACAUCAUCAACAGAGAUGGAGAGAUUCUGGAGCAGAUCAGCAGGGUUUGUAUAUGAUCUUUGGUGGUUGCUUUCUUUUGUGAUUUUUUUUUUCUUCCUGUCAUUUUAUCAUUUCUUUGUCUCUUUUUUUAUUGCUGAUGUUAGUGUAUGCUUACUGUUGCUUGACAAAGUUCGCUUGCUUCUUGUUUAUUAAAUUUUUUAUCGUCACAAAAUAUUACUUGUUCUAUUUGAGAGUGAUGUGAAUCAAUUUUCAAUUAUAUAUUUUGUGGUCAAUGUGAAUUCAAUUUCAUUUGUCUCCUGCAAUUAUGAGAAAACUGCAGAGUCAUAAUAUGGAAAAGUACACCAGCAAAAACUUUGUAAAAGCUUCGGAGUGAAACAGGGAAUUCACUUACUACUAAGAACAAUUGAUGGCGAGUUAUUCCAUUCAUUUUAUGUCCAUCUAUCUAUUUAAUUAUUAAAGAUAAAUGGUCCAUUUAUAAAUUUCAGAUUGUCUCUCUCUGAAAAUAACAAUAUUUAAAAUAUCUCUUAAAUUAUUAUAAAUUUUAAUACACUCUCGAUUUAAAAUGGAACAUGCUGAUGAAAUUGUUUUCUUCUUAAUAAAAUUGAAAUAAAUUGUGUUUGCAGUAGUUUGAAAUAUUUUAAAGAUUAUUAUUUUAUAAGGGAGUAAUAUGAAAUGAAAUUUACUUUUCAUGCGUGAAAUGUUGAAAAAGGACAAAGCAAGUGUCCCUGCUUUUAUUUUUAUUUUAAAGUGGAGUCAUCUCACAUACUUUAGCUCUAUCAUUACAAUUUUUCAGGUUACAUUUUUAUUAUUUAUUUAUUUUCUUUUUUACACAUGCAUGUGGGUUACUUUUCCGUAAGCUCCUCAAUAUAUAUUGAACCCAGCGAAGAAUGUUAUGGAAGAGCAAAUUAAUGAUAUUUCUGAUAGAGUCUAUUUGAUUAUGUAGCCUGAAUGGAUGUCUUGUUGAAAGAUAUCUCAGUGCAUUAGUUCAUCCUUGUCUGUCAAUGUGUUUUUAAUGGUUUUUCCAAUUGUUUAUUAUUAUAGAUUGAUUGUAAAUUGAUAUGAAAAUUUGAUAUGAAUUUAAUGUUGAAAUGUUUUCUCUUUAGUGGAAUGAAUUUAAAAGUGCAAAAGAUUAUUGCACACAGAGAAAUAAACAUAUAUGCUUUAUAACUUUAGCAAUCGAUUCUUUUACAGCUGGAAACAGAGAUGAUGAUUAUCAUAAGGAUGAAGAAAAGUAGUGCGUUAGACGAUUAGACUCUCUUAUUAAAGGCAAGUAUAAAGUAGUGAAGAAUCCAAUAUCUCUAUUGUCUAGUCUUUUGUUUAAUUCUUCUUUUAUUAUUUUUCAGAAUAAUUUUUGGUGAUUACAAUCGGGUUAUUAUUCAGAGUUAUUGUUAUCUUCUGGGGCAGUUUCUGUUCAUCGAAUUCAUUAAUUAAAAUUUUAGAACUCUUAUCAGAAGAAUAUUUUUCGGUUAUCUUUUUUAUGUUCUAAUUCCAAUUGUAAGAAGUAGCCAUUUUAGAAUUUGGGUCUUGAAUCGAAUUUCAAUGCAUGAAUUAAUAUUAAAAAAAAAAAAUUCACUACUCGCAGUUUAGGUUACAAAUUACUUUUUGGAAAGUUGACUUUGGAAUGUUUGCAAAGAAAGAGACUAACAUAUUUCCAAUUACACUAAAUCUCUAUUAUGAUAAUGUUAAGACUAAAUUAAUUUAAAUAAUUUUUAUUUGAAAAUUAUAUCAAACGCAGUCUAAUUUUAUUAAUUUUAAGAAAUAAUAAUUAUAAAAAUUAUUGUUCUGACUUAAUUAAUACAAGUGAUAUAAAAGUUAAGUGUGCACUAAAUCUGUUUUAAUUUUUUCCAGUAUAACUAACAGAGGUCAUUACUAGAAUUAUAUUACUAGUCUAUUAGAUAGAAAAAAUUACUUAUAUUGUUUUAUAUUUAUUAAAAAAUUUAAAGCCAAUUUUUUUAAUUACUAUUUAAAGAAUAUUAUAAUUUGAAAAAUUUUAAUAUCUUUAUUAAAAAUUUAGAAAUUUACAGUCCUCUAAAUAUUUAAGGCGUAACUGUCAUUUUCUCAAGAAGCUUUAUUUAAUAUUAUUGAUUUAAAUAAUAUCUUAUUAAAAAUGUACUGAGGAGAAAUUUUGGUGGGUAUUUUAGUCUUUUCAGCAAUCAUCAUGAUUAACCUUUGGUUGGCCUUGAAACGUCGGUCAGAAAAGUUUUAAAAUGCUUAAUUGUUUUUCACUGUUAACGUUAGUGGCCUUGAAAUUGCUUAUAUUUUAUUAAAAAUUAAUGCUAACAAGAAAAAACUAGAUCGUAUUCCACCCCCAAAGCAAAAGUGAUAAAACAACCGGCUGUAUUCUUUUAUUAAACUACAAAUUAAAAUGGAUUUCUUUAAUUAAAGUGGAUAUCAUUUAAUUAAUGUUUGAACAUUAAAGUUCUGAUAUAUAACCACUAUGCCGACCACCUAAUUGCUGCUAUUUAAUUUCGUUCCAGUUCUCUCUCUCUCUCUUUUUCUUUUUUUUUUGGGCCAAGCAAUAAAUAGUAAAAAUUCAAUAAAAGCAAUAUUAAUGCUGCAAGUGAGUCAUGUUAUUUAUUGUCAAUUAGGAAAUGUGAACCUAAUUUGAUUGCAUCCCUUUAAUCAUUUAAUAAUUAUGUAAGCACCAUCCCUUUAAUUAUUUAAUAACUAGAAAAUAGAACACUGCGUUUCACGCGGCUUUGAAAAAAGAAUUUAGUAUUAUCUUUUUUUCUUACUUUACACUUGAUGAAACUGAUAAAAAAUAUGAAUUGAUUUUUUUUAAAGAUGAGGCAGCCUUAUAAAAAAUAAAAAAAGCUAUUAGCCAGCAAUACAAAUAAAGAAGGAAUGCAAGAUAAAGAAUAAAAUGAGAGAAUAUAUUAUAGAGUGAUCUUAUUCAUUCUAAUUGUGUGUGUACAAAACAAAAAGAUGAGCUCUCCUUUUAUAACUACAUAAUUACUUCAUGAAAUUAAUGAAAAAUUAUGAAUCAUAAUUUCUUGUGAGAUAGUGGGAGUUAUUGGGAAGCUAAAAGUUGCUAAUGGGAGAUAGUGGGGAGACUAAGAGAUAUAUAUUAUGAACAUCUACAUUUAUUUUAAUAAAUUCAUAACACUCCCCCUUAAAUGUUCAUUACAAAGAAUAUGCCUCAUUAAAAUCUUUACAUAAUUGUUAUUGUGUAAUAACAAUCAAAUUAAUUAUAAGAAGAUGAAAAGCCAAAUCUAACAGAAAAUUUCUCUAUUUAUUAGAUAAUAGAGAAUAUAGCAAGAUGAGAAAUGGUAAUGCCACAUCAUCUCCUCACGUCCCAACUUUAUAUAUAUAUAUAUAGAUAAUAUAUAUUAUUCCUGUCCUACAUUCACAUAUUUAAUUGUCCUUUUGAAAAUAUUCAUGAGUUAGGCCAAGUAAAGUCAAAGAAAUUGGGAAAAAGGAACAAAAGGACAAACCUAAAUUAAUUGAACCUAAUUCAUGAAAAUGCACACUUUUGUGUUGCGGACGGCGGACCCUAAAGCUUCGUUGUUUGCAGCUGCAAUUAAUUCUUUUCCUUCAAAAGUUAGAGGCUCGUGUUUACAGUGGGUCCCGAAUCGGACGUACCUAAUAAAUCUUUUAAAAAAAUUUGCCGUAUAAAGGACAGAGGUCAUUACUGAAAUUUCUCUUCCACGGGCAAUUACAGCAGCUUCAGUUAAUCAAACUCAAAUCAAUUUUCUUUCUUAACAAAAUAUUCCAAAGAUGUGUAGCAUUUUUCAGAUCACAUGCGAUGGUGCUUUUUUCAAUCGUUGCUUGGAUUGCUUUCUUGGAAAAGCAGCAUACAUACGUAACCUCCAAGAUAAUCUUGUAGCCUUGGACACUGAAUUGGGAAAUCUGAUCGCUAAAAAGAACGAUGUGAUGAGGAGGGUUGUCGAUGCUGAACGGCAACAAAUGAGAAGGCUGGACGGAGUGCAAGUGUGGGUUUCGAGGCUCGAUGCUGUUAAAACUGAAGCCGAUGAACUUAUCACAGACGGCUCUCGAGAAAUUGAAAAAUUAUGUGUUGGAGGCUACUGUUCCAAGAACUGCAGGUCAAGCUACAAAUUCGGAAAACAAGUGGCAAGAAAGCUACGAGAUGUGGAGACUUUAAUCGCCGAGGGAGUUUUUGAGUCGGUGGCUGAGAGAGCUCCGGAACCUGUGGCAGAUAAAAGACCCACUGAGCCAACAAUAGUAGGCUUGCAAUCACAGCUUGAACAAGUUUGGAGAUGUCUUCUUGUAGAAGAAUCAGCGGGAAUCAUUGGCCUAUAUGGUAUGGGCGGUGUUGGUAAAACCACACUGUUGACCCAUAUCAACAAUAAAUUUCUUGAGAGUCCCACCAACUUUGAUUGUGUGAUUUGGGUCGUAGUUUCAAAAGACCUGCGACUUGAAAAAAUUCAAGAAGAUAUUGGGAAGAAGAUAGGUCUGUUUGAUGGUUCGUGGAAGAAUAAAAGUGUUGAGGAGAAAGCCGUAGACAUCUUGCGGAGAUUAGGAGAGAAGAGGUUUGUAUUGUUGUUAGAUGAUUUAUGGGAGCGGGUUGAUUUAACAGAAGUGGGCGUUCCACUUCCCAGCCCACAAAAAUACUACAUCAAAGUCGUAUUCACGACCCGUUUCAUUGAUGUGUGUGGUAGCAUGGAAAGUCACAGGAAGUUUAAAGUGGCAUGCUUAUCAGAAGAGGAUGCUUGGGAGCUGUUUCGAGGAAAAGUAAGGCAAGAAACUCUUGAGAGUCAUCAUGAUAUCGUUGAGCUAGCCCAAACUGUGGCCAGAGAGUGUGGCGGUUUGCCACUCGCGCUUAAAACUAUAGGUCGAUCUAUGGCCUACAGAAAGACAGCUAAGGAGUGGAGACAUGCAAUUGAAAUGUUAAGGAGAUCAGCUUCAGAGUUUGCAGGUUUGGGAGAAAAGGUGUAUCGUCUUUUAAAGUUUAGCUAUGAUAGUUUGCAGAAUGAUACGAUUAGAUCUUGUUUCUUAUAUUGUUGUUUGUAUCCUGAAGAUUAUGGCAUUCUUAAAUGGGAUUUGAUUGAUUGUUGGAUUGGUGAGGGAUUCUUAGAGGAAUCUGACAGGUUUAGUGCAGAAAACCAAGGAUACUACAUUGUGGGCACUCUUGUUCAUGCAUGUUUAUUAGAAGAGGUGGAAGAUGAUAAAGUAAAAAUGCAUGACGUUGUUCGUGAUAUGGCUAUAUGGAUAACCGGUGAAAUUGAGAAGGAGAAGCGAAACUUUUUGGUUUGUGCAGGUGCUGGAUUAAAAGAGGCACCGGAUGUUGAAGUAUGGGAAAAUGUGAGAAGAUUGUCAUUGAUGCAAAACCAAAUUGAAACUCUGUCAGAGGUUCCCACAUGCCCUCAUCUUCUCACUUUAUUUCUUGACUUUAAUAGGGAGUUGAAGACUAUUGCGGAUGGCUUCUUCCGAUGUAUGCCUUCUCUCAAAGUUUUGAAGAUGUCAAACUCUGGAAAGCCUUGGAAAGGUUUGGAAUUAAAUUUGGGGAUGCCAAAGUUGGGUUCACUACAGCUUCUUGAUAUUUCACACACCUGCAUACAAGAUUUACCGCAAGAAUUAAAGUUGUUGGUAAAUCUGAAAUGUUUGAAUUUGAGGCGGACAAUUUGGUUAAAUAAAAUUUCAUGGCAACUAAUAUCAAAUUUUUCAAGGUUACGUGUGUUGAGAAUGUUCGCUACUGGCUGGUUCAAUUUUCAUGAAGCACCAGAAGACAGCGUUUUAUUUGGUGGGGGUGAAGUUUUGAUACAGGAAUUGCUCGGUUUGAAAUAUUUAGAGGUAUUGGAGUUGACCUUGGGAAGUUAUCAUGCUCUCCAAAUUCUUUUCAGCUCAAAUAAGCUAAAAAGUUGUAUUCGAUCUCUUUACCUCCAGUUGACCGGAGAUACAGCGUUAAUUAUUGAUGCUACGGCUUUCGCAGAUCUAAAACACCUCAAUGAAUUACGCAUUGAGUCGGCUACAAAGCUGAAAGAAUUGACGGCUGAUUAUACAGAGAUAGUUCGAAAAAGGCGGGAACCUUUUGUUUUCCGCAGCCUUCACCAUGUUACUAUACAAAGCUGCCAGAAGUUGAAAGAUUCGACAUUCCUCGUUUUUGCUCCAAACCUCAAGUCUCUUUCGAUAGUCAAAUGCAAUGCUAUGGAAGAAAUAAUCAGCGUCGGAAAAUUUGCUGAGACUCCUGAGAUGAUGGGACAUAUAAGUCCUUUUGAAAAUCUCCAAAUGAUUGAUUUACUAGGUUUGCCACAUUUGAAGAGCAUCUUCUGGAAGCCAUUGCCUUUCACUCAUCUGAAAGAAAUAUCUGUGCGUUAUUGCCCUAAUCUUAAAAAGCUUCCACUCGAUUCCAACAGUGCAAAGGAGCGUAAAUUUGUUAUUCGUGGAGAAGAAGACUGGUGGAACCCACUUCAAUGGGAGGAUGAAGCCACUCAAAUUGCUUUUCGUUCCUGUUUCCAACCCUUGUUCCUGAACAGUGGUCGCAAAAUUUGAUUUCUGGUGAGUGCGUUUGUCUUUUAAAAAGAAUAAUUUAAAAGAAAUUUAUUCUUGUCGGUUUCUUCACUGUUUUUAUUUCAGUUUCUCUCUCUCUCUCUCUCUCUCUCUCUUUUUGUCUUCUGCAAAUCACAAUUACAUUUUUAUUCUUGUCGUUUUCUUCACUGUUUUUAUUUCAGUUUCUCUCUCUCUCUCUCUCUCUCUUUUUGUCUUCUGCAAAUCACAAUCAAAUGUUGAAUUAAUGGAAUUAAUGCUUCAUAAAUUUGCCGGCACUGCCAUUACUUUUUUUUGGGGGAUCGAAUUGAUACUUUAUUUAUAUCUUCUUAGCGAUUUAAUUUCCUGUCAAAAGACGAACGAGAAGAACAUAUGACUUAAACCAAUGCUCGCAUAAACUUGCUGUAAAAAGAUAUAAUCUCACUGAAAUGCACACGCCUAGAAUGAAUAGAAUUAAAACAGGGAAAAUAUUAAGUAUAUUAGCCCUCUUUACUGAAAAUCAAAUGACAGUAAAUUUUUUGAAGUUUUGAUUUUCUAUGGUCAAUUCCACCUUUUGCAAUUUCUUCUGUUCUAACAAAAACCAAUUUCUUUGUUCAAGUAUUUUCGUUUGGAUAUUAAUAAUUCUCCACCGAAAGAGUGAACUCUUGCUCAAAGGGAUCUCUAAUAAUACAUAACAUGAUUAUUUUCGUUUGAAUAAUUGAUUUCUUGAUUGAAUUGUCGUGUAAUUGAUUUAUGGGGGAUGACACAUCAACAUACUUGAAAAUACACUAAUCUCAGCAUCAUCGGUUAAUAACUUUUAGAUUUAUGGGUAAUCAAUAGUUAAGAUUAGUUGUCAUUAAUACUAAAUAAUUUUUACUUUUUUUGUCUCUUCUAGAGGAUCUUCUAGAAAAAUGCAUCCACAAUUAAAUUUAAUACUUUACAUAAUAAACAAAGCCUAAAUGUUAAAUUUAAGAAACUGCAUUGUAUUUCAGUUGAAGUUGACUUUAAUAUUUAGGGUAGAAAAACAAUUAAUUUUAUUUUUUGAAAUGUCCAUAUUCAGAGCACAUUUCAAAAAGACUCAAUAAUUUCUCAUAAAUUUCAAUUAAAAAUAUUCAAUUUGUUGUUUCAGUUCUUUUAUUUUUUAUUUUUUCCGACAUGAAAGCGACUUAAUGUUACUAAAUUGGGUGGUCUUUGGAUUUUCAUGACCCAAUAAUUGGAACAAAACAAUUUUCUCAAGCGCUCUCCCGCAACAUUUUAUAAUUGAAGCCGCUGCCCCGCCCGUGGUUUCAAACUUUUUUCUUUCUCCUUGUUUAAAUUAAUGGGAGCAGCCUCCGUCCUUGACUAGUUGACUGCUUGUCUUCUUUUUUUUAUUAAUUAAUUAAUUCAGCCGCCCCCCUUUCUUGUCCCAAUAUCUUCUACUUUCGGUUUCCUUUUAUUAUCUCUUUAUUUUUAAAAAAUGCUUAUAAUAAUAAUAAAAUAUAAAAUAUAAAAAUAAAAAUAUAAUUUAUCAGAAAAUUAAGAUAAAGAAAUAUUAUAAGCACAUCAAUCAACAAGUGAAAAAAAAACAAUUUUAAUUUACAUUAAAUAUAAACUUUCAGUGUUAAUCAACUUUUCUAAAUAACUAAAUUAAAAAAUUAAUUGAUUUAAUUGUGGUGUAAUUGAUUUGUAGGGGAUGAAUCAGCAGCAUCAUCGGUUAACGCUUUCAGAUUUAUAGUUAAUCAAUAGUUGAGAGUUGUUAUCACUAACGCCGUGUAUUUUUUAAUGUUUUUUCUCUCUCCUACAGCAUCUUCUAGGAAAGUGCAUCCGUUGCUAAAAUUUAGUAUCGUAAAUAAUAAACCAAGAAUAAAUAUUAAAUCUAAGAAACUGUAUUGCAUUUAAUAUUUAAGGGAGAAAAAUAAUUAUAGUGUCUUUAUUAAUCAGUAAAAAAAAAAAUUAGAAUCAUAAUAAAUUGUAUUGUUAUUGAUGUAUUUAUUUUAUUUUAUACUCAAAAUAAAUUAUUUUAAAUUAUUAAAAUAAUUUAAAAUUAGUAUUUUAUUUUAUACUCAAAAUAAAUAAUUUAAAAUUUUCAUUUCUUGUUUAUUUCGCAAGUUGUUAUUGCCUAAUGCUAUGUCAACUCGAACAUUAGCAUUUUUUUUUUUGGUCCUCUUUUAACGCAAAAUUAGUGUAGGUUAAGUAACAUAAUCAAUAUUAGGACAAUUUGAAAUCCCUAUGGGUGCGUUUGGUACACUGUAUUGUAUUAUACUGUAUUGCAUUAUUUUAAUGCUGAUGUAUUGUAUUAUGUUGUAUUGCAUUAGCACUGUAUUAUAACAAUGCUAUACAAUAUUUGGUGUUACAUUGUACUGUAUUAGAUUUUAAUUAUAUUAUAUUUAGUGUUACAAUUGUUGUAACAUAAACACGACCAAAAUAAAUUGUACUAAAUAAUCUAAGUAAGAGUUCUGUAGUAUAUGUAAUAAUACUAUUUAUAUUAUUAUUAUUAAUAAUUCUAAAUUAAUAUUAUUUAAUUUUAUUCAUAUUUAAAUAUGUAUUAUUAGUUUAUUAAAUUAUUUAAAAUAAUUAAUUUAUAUAUAUUAAUUAUUGUAACUUAAUUAAAUAAUGUAAUGCUAUAUUAUAUUUUUAUAUACUAUUUAAGUAUUUAUUAUUAAUUAUAUUUAAUUAUAAAUUUAUUAAUAAAUUAUAAUAUAAAAAUAAAAAAUAAAAAUUAAUAUUGUAUAAUAUUAUAUUAAAUUAAAGUUUUAUUUUUAUUACUAUUAUUAUAAAGUAAAAAAAAAAAAAAGGGAAGCUACUGACUUUUGAAACACAAAAGUCAGUAAUACAACCUAAUCACGAGGGGGGGCGCGGGUUUUGAUAAUGCGGCAAAAGCUGCAUUGUAAUGCUGCUCAAUGCAAUCCAUUUGAUCACCAAACACAGGUAUAUUUUAACUAAUGCUGGGCCCACAAAAUAAUACAAUGCAAUUCCGCAUGCCAAACAUACCCUAUGGGUGCGUUUGGUACACUGUAUUGUAUUAUACUGUAUUGUAUUAUUUUAAUGCUGGUGUAUUGUAUUAUGCUGUAUUGCGUUAGCAUUGUAUUAUAAUAAUGUUGUACAAUGUUUGGUGUUACACUGUACUGUAUUAAUUUUUAAUUAAACUAUAUUUGGUGUUAUAUUGUAUUGUAUUAAUUUUUAUAAUUAAUUAAAUUAAAUAAUUAAAAAAUAAUAUUUAUUAAUACUUAGAAAAAUAAUAAAUAUAGAAAUCUUAAUUGUAGAAAUUUAACAAAUUUUUUAGUAAAUAUUAAAAAUUAAUGAUUAAAUUUCUAAAAUUUGUAUUAUAAUUAUGAUAAAAUAAAUUUAUAAAAUUUAAUAUUAUAUGUAAAUAAUAAAUUUAGAUUAUAAUUAAUAUUAUAAUUGUUAAUAUAAAUUAAUAAAUUAUUAUUCAAUAAUAUUCAAUUAUAUUUUAAUUUACAAUAUAUUAUUAUUUUUACAUUUUAAUAUAUUAAUAAAUUUAUAAUUUAACAUAAAUAAUUAUAAAUUUAAAUAAUAUUAAUUUUAAAAUUAAUAUUAAUGUAAAUAAUAUUAUAAUAUUAAUAUAUUAUUUUUAUAUGAAUCAUUAAUAAAUAAAAUAAUAUUAUCAUAUAAUUUAUUUUUAUAUUUUAUUCAUUAUAUUAAUAUUUAAUAAUAAAAUAAUUUAUUUUUAUAAUAUUUUAAUAAAAUAAAUUUGCCUCAAUUGAGGCAUUAACUGUUGCCUCAAUUGAGGCAAAAAGCUUCCGCAUCCCUCGGGUUUGCGUAAUGCGGCCCCAUGCCUCAUUAUGCUGCAUUAUAAUGCAGCAUAAUGAGGUGUCAAAUUUUGCCAAACAUGUUCUUGGUAAUAAACUAAUGUGAAUAGUAGUAUAAUACCACAUAAUCUCAUGCACCAAACACGCCCUAUGUGUAUUAUUCACGGUAUCUAUGAGGGCUUAUCCUUUUGCUAGAACAAACUCUAGCAAAUUGUCAAAUGUGCUUAUCCUUUCCCUUGACGACUCAUUUUAAAAUUGUCACUCAUUUUAAAAUUGUCUUUCAAUGCACAAACACAGACAUAACCGCCGACAUCGAGCACCAAGUUUGGAAUUUAAUUGAUAAGCAUACAUUUGAUAAAUUAAUGAAAAGUUUGGAGAGUAGUUUUGAUCACCCUUGAUUAGGACGGUAUUACAAAAAAGAUCAAAAAGAAAACAUCGUCUCUCUUCACAAAAAUAAAUAUUUUCCGUUAGAAUUUAAUACAAUAAUAUUUUUUUUGAUUAAAAUUUAAUUAAAUACACAAAUAAAUUAUAUAUUUUUUAAAAAAAUUUACACCCAGUCACAAGGCUGGCUAUUAAACUUAAAGGGUGGAAGCUUCGGAGACUAAAGUUGGUAACUUCUCCAAGUGGUCUUAAGUUGACCGGAACUACCCAGACUUUAUGUUUGGUAGCCUAGACCUGAUCGGACCUAGGCCCAAGUUUGGUCUUAAAGUCCACAAUUAAAUUAAAAAAAAAUUAUUUGAUUUGUAAUUGAUUUAUGGGGAAUGAAUCCGCAGCCCUAAAAUUACACCAAUCUUGACAUAAUGACAUCAUCGGUUAAAAACGUUCAGAUUUAUGGUUAAUCAAUGGUUUGAGAUUUGUUAUCAUUAAUGCUAGAUAUUUUUUAACAUUUUUUUCUAUCUCUCUUCUCCUGAAGGAUUUUCUAGGAAAAUGCAUCCACAACAAAAAUUUUAAAUUGUAAACAAUAAACAGAGUAUAAACGUUAAAUCUAAGGAACAUCGCUGCAUUUCAGCUGAAGCGAACUUUAAUAUUUUACGGAGAAAAAUAAUUAAGUCUUUAAUGUGAUUUAUUGAUUAAUAUAUAUGACUAAUUUUUUAAAAGAAGAUGAAGGAUGAAGCUUAAAAAUAUAAAUUAUAGAAUUAAUUUAUCUCUUCAAUAAAUCUAAAGUUUAUUUUUUUUAUUACAUGCUUCUAUUUUAUUUUUAUUCCAUGUUAAUGAAUGGAGAUUUAAAUCCAUUUUGGAUUUAUAAAGAUGUUUAGAUAUUUAAAUCCACGUGUGAUUCCAAACUUGAACCUUUUUUUUUUUUUUUUCUAAUUAAUGCAAACAGCCGCCUCUUUGACUGCUUUUCUUCUUUGUUUAUUAAUUAAUUAAUUCAGCUGCCCACCUUUCUUUUCCUAAUGUUUUCUACUCCCAAAUUUUUUUAAGGACAAGGCUACGUUGCAGACGCUGUACCUAACAGCUGCACCUUCGCCAGCUUAAAAAAGGGUGCAUUUGGUAAGCAACUUUUCUUUCGUGUGCAUAUGUGUCCUGCCACCAUUGGGUGUGUACGUAACAGAUAAUGUACCGUAACAAGCUCCUAUUUUUAAAUUUGUUUAUAAUGAUAAAAUAUAAAAAUUAAGAUUAAAAUGUAAUGUAAUGUAAAAUUAAAGGUGGAAGAGUAUUAAAAUAAGGCUAAACCUAUGUUACGUUUAACGUAACAUACAUUUAAAUAUAUAAAAUAUCAAUGGAAACCCUCAAAUUUUAUGGAAACUAUAUUAAUAAAAUUAAAAGAAAUAUUUUUAAAUCUGAAAGAAGAAAUAAAAGAUAUAAAGCAAGAGAUAGGAAAACUAAAAAUAGAAAUAUCUGUAAAAGAAAAAGGAAAAGAAAAAUUAGAAAUAAAAGAAACAACUCCAACUGAAUCGAAUUCAGACUAAUGGAAGAUGUAUUAGAAACUUUAACUGAAAAAUUCAGUGACAUAAAUCUUAGUGAUUUAGAAGACUUUGAAAAAGAAUAUUAGAUAAAAAUGAAUACUGCUGGAGGACCAGAAAUGAAACCUAAUGUAGCAUAACCAAGUCAUAGAUAUGGUAUAAAUAAAAUGAAAAAUAAACCUUUUUACGAGUAUAUACCUCCUAUUAAAAAUACUCCUUGGAAAAAAGAAUACAAACCAAAUCAAGAUACAUUAACCCCAAUAAAUAAUGCUGGAACAUUUUUAAAUCUAGAUUGUAAGAUAGACAUUCGAAAGGCGUUAGCAGAAUGGGUGUUACAAAUGAAAUUAUUUUUUAUAUUUAACGGGUCAAAGGAUGACUAGAAUGUAGAGACUGAAGAAGAAAAAAUAGAUAUAUUUGUUGAAAUCUUAAUAGCCAGUUUUUCAGGAAAUGUGUUUAAUUGGUGGAGAGGAUUAAGCGAUGAUACACAAAACUUAAUAAAAGAUUCAACCAAAUAGCAUUUAGAAAAAAUAAAGCCUUAGGAAUGGAAAGGAUAACUGAAUACAUAGCUAGUGAAUUUUUAGGAGAAGAUUGGCUAGAAAAAUCGGGCAUAUAUGAAAAUUUAAAAAUUUAUGAUAAAAAGAUCUUAGUGUUUUUAUUAAAAAAUUAAAAUUUACAUGACUAUUUCUUUAAAUAUUUAGGGCAUAUAUGAACCACGGAGGAGAAAAGCUUUAUUUAAUAUUUUAGAAUAGUUUUUGAUCAGUACAAUUGGGUCCUUAUUCAGAAUUAUUGUUCUCUUCCGCAACAGUUUUUGUUUAUCAAAGUCGUCAAUUAAAAUUUUAGAAUUCUUAUCAGAAGAAGUAGUCGUUUUAGAAGUUGGGUCUUGGAUCAAAUUUCUACGAGUGCAUGAAUUAACAAUAAAAAAAUUUCAUUACACACGGUUUAAGCUACAAACUACUAUUUGCACAGUUGACUAUAAAACUUACCUCCAAUUACACUAAACCUCUCUAUUUGGUAACGUUGAGACUAAAUUAAUUUUAUUAGCAUGAAAAGAUGAUAGAAAUAUAAUUAUAAAUAUUAUUGUUGUUAAUCAAUUAGUACAUGUGAUAUAAAGGUUAAAUGUGCACUAUAUUUAAUAAUUAAUUAGUGGAGCAUGUUAAACAAAAUGUUAAUGUAUAUUUAUAUAGUGUUAGGAAUAUGCAAAGUCAAGUCCUCAAUUUGCAUUAUCCUGUAUAGAAUAUUACUCUAAAAAUGUUUUACUAUAAUUGGCUUAGAACAUUUGUAAAGAAAAAUAAUAAUAAAAUAAUAAAUAACAUACACCGUCACAUAGCACCUAGACAAUGAUAGAAAAUUAUUAAAGAGAGUGCAAACAAUUAAUUAGAGAUUUUUAUGAUGACUUUUAAUAUUCAUGAUAAUAACAAAUAAAUACAUGUAUCACUUUUUUAAAAUAUUAAAUUUGACUGCUCCAUUAAUAAAUUAUUAUUGUAAUUCAGACUCUAUCUAUAUAUCCUUGCACUAAGAAUAAUUAAGGUAACGUUUGUUUUUUAACUUAAUGACUUAAAGUGACUUAACUUAAUUAAUUAAGUUAAUUAGAGGUGUUUGUUUUAUAACUUAAUGAGACUUUUUAGAUAAUUUUGACUUAAUAAAAUAAGCUAAUUUUUUUUGGCUUUUUACUUAAUGGAGAAAUCUGAAUUAAGUCAAUUACUUGCUAAUGUCAAAAAUAUCCUUGUUUUAUAAUUUAUUUUUCAUGUCUAUCCCAAAACUCGCCCGUAGAUAUUUACCCCACAUAAAAAUAUCCCUGUUUUUUUCUUUCUUAUAUUAUAUACGAUAAAAUUUGAAAUUUAUAGUAUUUUAUAUAUUAAAAUUCUAAAAUAAUUAUGUAUUCACUUGAAUAUAGUUUUACUUAUAAAUGUUAAAAUAUGAUGGUAUUUAAUAUAUUAUUUAUUUGACAUUCAAAUUUAAUAAGGAUACAAAUGUAAAAGUACAUAUUUUCAGCUUUUUAAAUUGAAAAAAAAUAACUUAAUAUUUAUUUUCUGAGAUUCAGACGAAAAAAUAAACAUAUUAUUCAGAUUCAUACAUUCAGAUCUAUUCAGAAUUCAAACUAAUUCAAGUCUAUUCAAAUUUUAGACAAAAAAAUAAACGCCACCUAAGUCAUAAUAAAAAUUUUCGUAACUACAUCUCGUUUCUUCCUCAUAAUAAUAAUUAGAUUGGUUCGAAUAUUAUAACUAUAUAGAUUUAGUGUAUAGCCACAUCCAAUUUAAAUAUUGACCCAAUUGGGAUGGUCCCCAAAAAAAAAGAUUCGUUAAAGGAUAAUUCUAAUUAUUUUUACUUCUCAAACGUUAGUGGGACGUUUCUAUUAGCGCACUCGUAAGCCAAGUUGUCAAAUAUUUAUACUAAACUACAAUUGCUAACAAGAAAAAUCAAGAUCGUGUUAAGCAAGUGGGUCCCGAAUAGGACGUGCAAAUCUCUCGUAAGUCAAGUUGUCAAAUGUUUAUAUAAAACUAACAAUUACUGACAAGAAAAAUCAAGAUCGUAUUAAAAAUGGGUCCCGAAUAGGAUUAUCUUUUUAAGAAUAUUAUUAUUUUAUUAUUAAAAUUUUAUUAAUAUAACAGUAUUAAAAUUUAUUAAAAAAUAUAUUUUAUUAUUAAAAUUUUAUACCGUUAUCAAUUUAUUAUUAUUUUAUUAAAAAAAUUAAUAUUUAACAAAAAUUGAGAUAAAAAUUAAUUUUUGUUCUCUGUCUUUAUUUAUUUAUUUAUUUUUUUGGGUCUUCUGCAAAUCACAAUCAAAUGUUGAAUUAUAAAUUUGCCGGCAUUGCUUUUUUUUUUUUUUUUGGGCCGGGGGGUGGUGUUGAAUUGAUGCUCUGGGUUUUUGACUUUUGUUGUCAAAUUUUACUCUGUUUUUCCCAAAUUGAUGCUANNNNNNNNNNNNNNNNNNNNNNNNNNNNNNNNNNNNNNNNNNNNNNNNNNNNNNNNNNNNNNNNNNNNNNNNNNNNNNNNNNNNNNNNNNNNNNNNNNNNNNNNNNNNNNNNNNNNNNNNNNNNNNNNNNNNNNNNNNNNNNNNNNNNNNNNNNNNNNNNNNNNNNNNNNNNNNNNNNNNNNNNNNNNNNNNNNNNNNNNNNNNNNNNNNNNNNNNNNNNNNNNNNNNNNNNNNNNNNNNNNNNNNNNNNNNNNNNNNNNNNNNNNNNNNNNNNNNNNNNNNNNNNNNNNNNNNNNNNNNNNNNNNNNNNNNNNNNNNNNNNNNNNNNNNNNNNNNNNNNNNNNNNNNNNNNNNNNNNNNNNNNNNNNNNNNNNNNNNNNNNNNNNNNNNNNNNNNNNNNNNNNNNNNNNNNNNNNNNNNNNNNNNNNNNNNNNNNNNNNNNNNNNNNNNNNNNNNNNNNNNNNNNNNNNNNNNNNNNNNNNNNNNNNNNNNNNNNNNNNNNNNNNNNNNNNNNNNNNNNNNNNNNNNNNNNNNNNNNNNNNNNNNNNNNNNNNNNNNNNNNNNNNNNNNNNNNNNNNNNNNNNNNNNNNNNNNNNNNNNNNNNNNNNNNNNNNNNNNNNNNNNNNNNNNNNNNNNNNNNNNNNNNNNNNNNNNNNNNNNNNNNNNNNNNNNNNNNNNNNNNNNNNNNNNNNNNNNNNNNNNNNNNNNNNNNNNNNNNNNNNNNNNNNNNNNNNNNNNNNNNNNNNNNNNNNNNNNNNNNNNNNNNNNNNNNNNNNNNNNNNNNNNNNNNNNNNNNNNNNNNNNNNNNNNNNNNNNNNNNNNNNNNNNNNNNNNNNNNNNNNNNNNNNNNNNNNNNNNNNNNNNNNNNNNNNNNNNNNNNNNNNNNNNNNNNNNNNNNNNNNNNNNNNNNNNNNNNNNNNNNNNNNNNNNNNNNNNNNNNNNNNNNNNNNNNNNNNNNNNNNNNNNNNNNNNNNNNNNNNNNNNNNNNNNNNNNNNNNNNNNNNNNNNNNNNNNNNNNNNNNNNNNNNNNNNNNNNNNNNNNNNNNNNNNNNNNNNNNNNNNNNNNNNNNNNNNNNNNNNNNNNNNNNNNNNNNNNNNNNNNNNNNNNNNNNNNNNNNNNNNNNNNNNNNNNNNNNNNNNNNNNNNNNNNNNNNNNNNNNNNNNNNNNNNNNNNNNNNNNNNNNNNNNNNNNNNNNNNNNNNNNNNNNNNNNNNNNNNNNNNNNNNNNNNNNNNNNNNNNNNNNNNNNNNNNNNNNNNNNNNNNNNNNNNNNNNNNNNNNNNNNNNNNNNGAAGGGUCUCUAAUCAAUAGCUGGAAGCAAUUGAGAAGGCGGUUGCUACAGUGAAUUCAAAUGUAAAAUGUUUGCUAUUCUUCGAUUUGGUUAAUGAUUUCGUAUGAAUAUUGUUGUUCCGUUGAGUUGCAUGCGAAUUCAAAUGCAAAAUAUUCUUCGAUUUUCAAUUUUGAAAUCAAAUUUUUUUUUCCUUCUCAAGCAUGUUAUGCAGAAACGAUUGUCAUGUUAUGCAGAAACGAUUUUUACUAAAUCAUUUUUAACAAACUAUUGAAAUUAAACCACUGGAAUAAGAAUUGUAAGGAUUUAUCGUAAGCUUACUAAUACGAUAAUUCUGAAACUAUCACCUUUUUUUUUUUAUUUGUUGCAGGGAAACCCAAAUUUUGUAUUUUGUCAAUUUCAUCUGAUAUGGAAUUUAUUUCCUCCCUAAAGAUUUAUCAAACUGCUUCUCUUCCCUGCUUCAAUAUCUUUAUGCAAUUACGAUCUCAUAGGAAAAGAGAGUUUGGGUUGUAUAUCUUAUAGUAUUUAUUUAUUUUUUGUUAAAAGAAAUUUAUUUUAAAAUAGUUUAUAGCAACAGUUUUUAUUUAACAAUAAUGAGGAAGGAUUAUUAUAGGUUCAAAUAGUUGUUAGAACAUUAUAAAAAAGUCCAUUUACUAUCAAAUGUUUUAAAUUGGUGCAACGUGAUAAUUGUCUCAUAUAAUUUUUUAAGGGUAAAAACUCGUUUCAUUCCCAUAUUUUAAGAUUAUUACUCAUUUAGUCUUUAUAUUUUUAAAAAUGUUUCAAAACAUUCAUACCCUUAAAUUAUUAACAUCUCUGCUGUUACUUUUUAUUUUUUUUUGACUUGUUUUUACAAUAUUGCCCUCUUACAAUAAUGUUUCUUUUUAUAAAAUUAAUAAAAAGAAAAAAAAUUAAAUUAUCAAUUUAACCCCAAAAAUAAAAUAAAAAUAAAAAGAAUAAAUAUUAAUUUUUGUGAAAGUUUACAUGUGUCCAAAAUAAAUUUUAUUGUAAAAAUAAUUAAAUUGCCUUUUUUUUGGACAUUAGUAAUAAAAAAAUUAAUAUAUUAAUUCCUCAGCAGUGUGUUACAAAAAAGUAAAAUAUAUUAAUUUUGUUUUUAUUUUAGACAAUGAGAUAGAGAAAAGUACAAGAUAAAGGAAAGGACUUCAAAACUCACUGUUCAUCAUAAUGCCCUUUGCCUUUAAAAAAAAAUCAUUCUAAUAUUUUAUAACACAUAAAAUAUAAUCCUAAGAUAAAUAUAAUAAUACAUAUUUUAAACUAAUCUCGAUAUUUAAAAUAUGUUUUAAUAUUUUAUAAUCUAUCAGACAUAUUUUAUUAUAUUAAUGUAAAAUUUAUAAUAAAUACAAACAUAUUAUUAAAAUAAAUAUAUAAAAAAUAUUUAUUUUUUAUAUGUUUACACUGAGGACUCUCUUUAAUUCAUUUAUUUUCUCUCUCUCCAAACAGGUACUGUCUUCAGUUAGCAAUGCUAUGAUAGUAAUCCAAUUCUCUUCUCCCCCACCUGAGCGAGAUUUGAAUUUGAAUCCCUUGUUUUUCACCCACUCUGUUUUUUUUCACGCAAGAUUUGACAAUUUGAGUUAAAAAAUAUGGUCCAAAACUUGAACACGUAUCUUUUAAUUGUAAUAAAAGUUCUUUAAGCUUUGGAGAUGGCAUAUAUAUGGCUGGAAGUGUCCUUUUCUUUGACCUAGAGGCAGCACCAAGCUAUCCAGCAUCAUCAUUUUUCAAGUGGGUCUUAAAUGCCUAGAAACGUUGGUGUUUCUUGAUUUAAAGAUGACACAUGCUAUAAGUGUGAAUGGUUUGGCUAAGCCUAAAUUUAAAGUCUACUCAAGUCGCAUUCAGGAUCAUGGAAAUUGGAAAGGGAGAGAUGAUAGCAAGAUUUAUAAUAAACAAUUAACUUGGGUCCUCAGUGUACAAAGCAAAUGCCACGCAAGCGAUAGCCGGCCCAGCCCAGAAAACCCAGUGGCGAUCCCAGAGAUGGCCUCCUCUAACGAGUGCUGGGCCCAAAAAUCUUUGCGGGUUGAGCCCAGCUCCGGCAUAGCCCUUUUGAGCAGUAACAGUUGUCGAGACAAAAACCAGAAGACCCAACACUGUUCCAAUGACAAUGCAUACGGUAAACUCUGCCAAGAGCCUUGGCUUGUCUGGAGUCAAAAGCCAUCCACACAGAAGCAAAAAGGAACACAAACGAGCAAAUUAUCUCAAGCCAAAGGGCCUGCCUAGUCCCCAAGCCGAUCUCAACAGGCCCAUCUGGCCCAGGUACGACAACAUUCAGGGUGCAGCCUCCAAGUUGUCAAAUAUUUAUAUUAAACUACAAUUGCUGACUAGAAAAAUCAAGAUCGUAUUACAAGUGGGUCCCGAAUUGGACGUGCCUAAAUCUUUUUAUAAUUUUCCCAGUGUAGCGGACAGAGGUCAUUACUAAAUUUCUCUUCCACACGCCACAGCAGCUUCGGUUAAUCAAACUCAAUCAAUUUUCUUGGCUUCUCCGCUUAUCAAUAUUACAAGGUAUGGGUAGCAUUUUUCAAAUCACAUGCGAUGGUACUAUUUUCAAUCGUUGCUUAGAUUGCUUUCUUGGAAAAGCAGCAUACAUAAGUAACCUCCAAGAUAAUCUUGUUGCCUUGGAGACUGAACUAAGGAAACUAAUCGCAGCAAAGAACGAUGUGAUGACGGCGGUUGUCAAUGCUGAACGGCAACAAAUGAGAAGGCUGGACCAAGUGCAAGUGUGGGUUUCGAGGGCGGAUGCUGUUAAAAAUGAAGCUGAUGAACUUAUCAGAGGCGGCUCUCAAGAAAUUGAAAAAUUAUGUCUUAGAGGGUUCUGUUCCAGGAACUGCACGUCAAGCUACAAGUUCGGAAAACAAGUGGCUAAAAAGCUACGAGCUGUGGAGACUUUAAUCGCCGAAGGAGUUUUUGAGGCGGUGGCUGCCGAGGUGGUGCCUGAGAGAGCUCCAGAGCCUGUAGCAGAUGAAAGACCUACCGAGCGAACAGUAGUAGGCUUGCAAUCACAACUUGAACAAGUCUGGAGAUGUCUUGCAGAAGAAUCAGCGGGAAUCAUUGGCCUAUAUGGUAUGGGCGGUGUUGGUAAAACUACACUAUUGACCUAUAUCAACAAUAAAUUUCUCGAGAGUCCAACCAACUUUGAUUGUGUGAUUUGGGUAGUAGUUUCAAAAGACCUGCGACUUGAAAAACUUCAAGAAAAUAUUGGGAAAAAGAUAGGUUUGGUUGAUGAUUCAUGGAAGAGUAAAAGUGUAGAGGAGAAAGCUCUCGACAUCUUCCGGAGUUUAAGAGAGAAGAGAAUUGUAUUGCUGUUAGAUGAUAUAUGGGAGCGGGUUGAUUUAACAAAAGUGGGCGUUCCACUUCCAGGACCACAAAAUACUACCUCAAAAGUCGUAUUCACAACCCGUUUGAUCGAUGUUUGUGGUAGCAUGGAAGCUGACAGGAAGUUCAAAGUAGCAUGCUUAUCAGAAAAGGAUGCUUGGGAACUGUUUCGAAAAAAAGUUGGGGAAGAAACUCUUGGAAGUCAUCAUGAUAUCGUUGAGCUAGCCCAAACUGUGGCCAAAGAGUGUGGUGGUUUGCCACUCGCACUUAUUACUAUCGGUCGAGCUAUGGCCUACAAAAAGACAGCCGAAGAGUGGAGACACGCAGUUGAAGUUCUAAGAAGAUCAGCUUCGGAAUUUGCAGGUUUGGGAAAAGAGGUGUAUCCUCUUUUAAAGUUUAGCUAUGAUAGUUUGCAGAAUAAGACGAUUAGAUCUUGUUUCUUAUAUUGUUGUUUAUAUCCUGAAGAUUAUGGCAUUCUUAAAUGGGACUUGAUUGACUGUUGGAUUGGUGAGGGAUUCUUAGAGGAAUCUGACAGGUUUGGUGCAGAAAACCAAGGAUACUACAUUGUGGGCACUCUUGUUCAUGCGUGUUUACUAGAAGAGAUAGAAGAUGAUAAAGUAAAAAUGCAUGACGUUGUUCGUGAUAUGGCUCUAUGGAUAGCUUGUGAAAUUGAGAAGGAGAAGAGAAACUUUUUGGUUUGUGCAGGUGCGGGACUAAAGGAGGCACCUGAUGUUAAAAGAUGGGAAAAUGUGAGAAGAUUGUCAUUGAUGCAAAACCAAAUUGAAACUUUGUCAGAGGUUCCUGCAUGCCCUCAUCUCCAUACUCUAUUUCUUGCCUCUAAUAAUAGUUUGCAGAGGAUCACCGAUGGCUUCUUCCAAUUUAUGCCUUCUCUCAAAGUUUUCAAGAUGUCAAACUGCGGGAAUUUAAUUUUGGAAUUACCUUUUGGGAUGUCAAAGUUGGGUUCAUUGGAACUUCUCGAUAUUUCACAUACCUACAUACAAGAGUUACCACAAGAGUUAAAGUUGUUGGUAAAUCUGAAAUGUUUGAAUUUGAGGUGGACAAGCGAGUUAAAUAAAAUUCCACGGCAGCUAAUAUCAAAUUCUUCAAGGUUACGUGUGUUGAGAAUGUUGGGUACUGGCUGGUUCAAUUUUCAUGAAGCAUCAGAAGACAGCGUUUUAUUUGGCGGGGGUGAAGUUUUAGUACGGGAAUUGCUCGGUUUGAAAUAUUUAGAGGUAUUGGAGUUGACCUUGCGAAGUUAUCAUGCUCUCCAAAUUGUUUUGAGCUCAAAUAAGUUAAAAAGUUGUAUUCGAUCUCUUUACCUCCAGUUGACCGGAGAUAGAAAGUCGAUUAUUGAUGCUACGGCUUUCGCAGAUCUAAACCACCUCAAUGAAUGAUUGAUUUUUAAAGGUUUUGAGUUGGAAGAAUUGAAGAUUGAUUAUACAGAGAUAGUACGAAAAAGGCGGGAACCUUUUGUUUUCCGCAGCCUUCACCGUGUUACCAUAGAUUCGUGCCUUAAAUUGAAAGAUUUGACAUUCCUCGUUUUUGCUCCAAACCUCAAGUCUCUUUCGCUAUUCAAUUGCCGUGCUAUGGAAGAAAUAAUCAGCGUUGGAAAAUUUGCUGAGGUUCCUGAGAUGAUGGGACAUAUAAGCCCUUUUGAAAAUCUCCGAAGUCUUCGUUUGUCACAUUUGCCAAAUUUGAAGAGCAUCUACUGGAAGCCAUUGCCUUUCACUCAUCUGAAAGAAAUGGUGGUACAUGGGUGUGAUCAGCUUAAAAAGCUUCCACUCGAUUCCAACAGUGCAAAAGAGCGUAAAUUUGUUAUUCGUGGACAAGCAGACUGGUGGGACCGACUUCAAUGGGAGGAUGAAGCCACUCAAAUUGCUUUUAGUUCCUGUUUCCAACCUUAACUUGAUUUCUGGUUAGUGCUGUUUCCUUAACUUUUACAUAUAUUCUCGUCGUUUGCUUCGUGCAAAAUACUAGGUCUUUUGUUCUCUGUUUUUAUUUCGCCCAUUUUUUUUUUUUUUUUUUGUCUUCUGCAAAUGACAGACAAAUGUUGAACUAAAAGGAAUUAAUGCUUUAUAACUUUGCCGGCAUUGCUUUUUUCUUUUUCUUUUUUGAUUUUUUGGGGCGAGGGGGGAUCGAAUAGAUGCUCUGGUUUUUGACUUUUUGUUGUCAAAUUUUACUCUGUUUUUUUCAAAUUGAUGCUUGAAUAUUUGAAUCAAAUUAAUGCUCACGUAAAUUUGUUCAGUUGCCGUAAAAGGAUAUAAUUACACUGAAAUACACAAACUCUAGAAUGAAUAGAAUUAAACAGAGAAAAUCUUGAGUAUAUUAGCCGUCUUCACAUAAAAUCAUAUGAAAAUUAAAUUUUGAAGUUUUUAUUUUCUAUUUUUAAUCAUACCCUUUAUAAUUUCUUCUGUUCUAACUACAAUAAAAUUUUUGGUUCAAGGAUUUUUAUGAGGGGUAUUAAUAAUAGUCCACCAAAAGAGUGAACAGUUGGAUGCUGCCCUAAGGGUCUCUAAUCAAUAGCUGGAAGCAAUUGAGAAGGCGGUCGUUACUGUGUACAAAGCCAUGCAGUAUUUGCUAUUCAUCUUAGUAAUUAUGAAGCUUUGGUAAAAUUUUCAAACAAAGUUGACAUGUUAUUUUGAGAUUUGGUUCAUGAUUUUGUAUGAAUAUCGUUGUUCCAUUGAGUUGUAUAUGAAUUCAAAUGUAAAAUAUUCUUUGGUUUUCAAUUUUGAAUUCAAUUUCUUUUCUUAAGCAUGUUGUGCAGAAAUGAUUUCUACUAAAUCAUUUUUGAUAAACUACUUAAAUUAAACAACUGCAAUAAGAACUGUUAAGGAUUUAUCGUAAGCAGACUAAUAUGAUAAUUCUGAAACUAUCAUUUUUUUUUUCAAUUUGUUGCAGGGAAAGCCAAAUUUUGUAUUUUUCAGUUUUAUCUGAUAUGGAAUUUAUUUCCUCUACACUAGCUACCUAAAGAUUUAUCAAAUUGCUUCUCUUCCCUGCUUCAAAUUAAUAUCUUUAUGCAACUACAAUCUCAUAGGAAAAGACAGUUUGGGUUGUAUUUAUUAUAGUUUUUUUUUUCGUUAAGAGCAAUUUAUUUUAAAAUCGUUUAGUAGUAACAGUUUUUAUUGAAUAAUAAUGGGGUAGGAUUAUUAUAGGUUCAACUAGUUGUUAGAACAUUAUAAAAAGUCCAUUUACUAUCAAAUGCUUUAAAUUGGUGCAACAUGAUAAUUGUCCCACAUAAUUUUUAAUAAUAUAUAUGGCCCAUAAAUUUAAUAUGAAUAAAUGAGUUUCGAUAGUUAAAUUUGAUACGAUUAUUAAAUAAGUUAUAUCCAUGUCAAUUCGACUUAAAAUCUGGUAAAUUUAGAUUUAGAGUUUAUAACAUGAUAACUUGUUUUAUGACAUGAUUUACUAAUCAAUUAAUAUUAAAUUAUAUUUUAGCCAAUCAGAUAUGUGGUACAUUUGUCAAAUUUUAAAAAUUAUUUAUUUAUAUAUGAAAUAAAUUUGACUAGACUGUGUGUAGGUAAUAGUGCAUAAUUUCUAAAAAAAUGUAAUAAUAACACGUUAAAAUGUUAUUUUUAUGAAGAAAAAUUGAAAUUUUAUUAAAUAGGCGACACAAUAAUAAAUGGGUUGAGAUUAUUUACAUUUUAAGAAUUACUCUGAACAUUAUUUUAUUUUAUAAAUUUUAUAUUACAAAAACACCCAUAGUUUAAUUUACCAUUAAGAACAAUUUUGUGCGAUUAAAUAAAAUACAUUACUCUUUACCCUUUCACUACAUCGACAUAAAUCCUAAUUGUUAUGUUUCUAAUUUCUUUGAUAUGCUUAUUGAAGUCCACAUUAUAAUCAAUUUUAAACUAUUAUACCACUUAAAUACAUUUUAGAAUGAGAAGUUUGGUUUUCUUCAUGGGCUGCCUUGCUGAUGCUGUUAUUGAAACUAUCGAACUUAAUAAUUUUAUGGCCAAAAUGAUAUAUGUUGAACCAGCUUUUACAUCGAAUUCUACCACCAUAAAAAAUCGUACUUGUAACAUCUCAAGGUUCCAAUUUAUCAAAAGUUAAUCAUUCAUAUUUGUUAGUUCCUAACAGUCACAAGAGCGUACAAGCCAAUUUUUGUAGCUCCUUUUUCUGCAGUAGAUUCAAGUAUAUUAUUAUCAAGCAUUUUUGUUACACCCUUAAUUCCUUAUCAUCAUCCCUUCAUUCAGAGCAACUAAACAGAGGUCAAUGUCAUUAUGUUAGAGUUACGAGGAAGAGUACUGCCAAAAAAGUUCUUUGUAUGGGAUUUAAUUUUCUGGGUUUGUAGUGAUGAACAAAUUGAGGGUUGUUUUGGUAUUUUCAAGAGUGUAUUGAGUGAAAAUUAUUUUUAAAAAAUUUAACAAAUGAGUGUAAUGAGUAAAAAAGUGUUUAAAGUAUUUUUUAGAGUACAAAUAGCUCCACCUUAAUAAAUGAGUUCUUGUAAAAAUUGAGAUUAUUGAUAUAAUUAUUAAAUAGGUUGGAUUGAAGUUAGUUUAAUUUUGACAAGAUAAUAAGACGACGCGACACAAAUACAACCAACCAGUCAACCCAAAUUGCAACCUUUUACUAAUAAAAGAUACCUGUUUGAAAAGUAAUUAUAAGCUAUCUUCUUUGUGUUAUUUCUCUAAAAAUUUGCGGCACAAAUAUUAUUUCCAUGGAGAAAAGUACGAAAUACCCGCUUUCACUUCAGCAGAAGCAAAGCAAAGCUAUGAGCCAUCUCUGUAUAAUUGAAACGCCAUUGCUAAACGGUUCUUGAUGAUGGGUGCCACCGUGCCAGCGUUGUCGCUGAUUUGCAUGAUUUAUUAGUUGUUCAGAUGGCGGAUUUUGUACUGUCACUUUCAUUUCAUUCUUGAGAGCCACGUACAAUACUAGGUGGCAUUGAAGUUGCCCCAGUGGUUAGUUUUCUGAUUUUUUUUAAUUCAAAUUUUUAUGUUUUAGAAAAAUGUAAGAAAUAUGUAGAAAUGUUGACAGCUACAAUUUUGAAACUUUGCCUAAAAUUAUUAUCGUUGCUUAUUGUUUCUUAGCUAAAGAGAAAUCCUAGAAACAUGAAAUUAUUAUUCUAUGCUUGUUUUAAUAUUAUACAUUAGCAGGUUAAUUAAAAAUUAGACGUGAAUACAACAAGAGAUAAGUGGAGAGAAUUUGGUAGUCGACCGCAUUUAGAAUUUAAUUUUUCUUUUAGCUGCCGAUCAUUAAAUUUUAUAUUUCAGAAAAUUAUACCUAGAAUAUUUCAAGGAUAUACUACGAAGAUUAUGAAGGUUUGAUUACAUGUCACUAUCAAUUGCCUCAAUCAUUUGUAGUAAAUUAAUUAAUCAUUUUGCUGCAAAUGAUUUCCUAUUAAAAAAUUCAAGUCAGAGCUGAAUUGCACAGUAGUUAGUCGUGCUUGCAAUUCAAAUCAAGUAUUGUAUUUUCUGCCUGAUUUGGUUGAUUCAACUAUGUGCAUUUGCAUAAUGGAGAUGCUUAUGAACGUUGUAGUAUAGAAAUCGAAACGUCUUGUCUUUUGCUAAGCCCAGAAGCAAAGUUCUUUGUAUUAUACUCAUCAGUUUUCUUCGUUCUCUUCGUUGAAAUUUUAUCCAAACAGCGGUUUCUUCGAAUUUUUGCCCUCUCUUACAUUUUUAAAUCUAUCAAAGAACGGUUACCUGAGAAGAUUGCCAUCAGGUAUUUCGAAAUUGAUUUCACUACAAUACCUUAAUCUAUCAGAUUUUAAUCUAUCAGAUGCUCCCGUCACUCAGUUGCCAAAAGUGACAAAAGCCUUAGUAAAUUUUUAGAGUAAAAACUCAUUUAUUCCUUAUAUUUUAAGAUUAGUAUCUAUUUAGUCCUUAUAUUUUGAAAAAUACCUUGAAACAUCACUGCCAUUAAAGUAUUGAUACCCUUACCGUUACUUUUUAUUUAUUUUGGCUUAUUUUUACAAUAUUACCCUUUAAUAAUAAUUUUUUUGUUUAGACAUUAAUAAAAAUAAAAUAAUUAAAUUACCAAUUUAAUCCUAAAAAAUAAAAAUAAAAAUUUAUAUUAAUUUUUAAUUGUAAAAAAUUGUAUGCAAACUACCAAAUGUGCAAACGGUGCUUGCAAAAAAAUUAAUAUAAAUUUUUUAUUUUUAGGGUUAAAUUAGUAAUUUAAUUAUUUUAUUUUUAUUAAUGUCCAAAAAAUUAGUAAUUUAAUUAUUUUCUUUUUAUUAAUGUCCAAAAAUUAUUAUAAAAGGGUAAUAUUAUAAAAGUAAGCUAAAAGAAAUGAAAAGUAACGGUAGGGGUAUCAAUACUUUAACGGUAGGGAUGUUUCGAGGUAUUUUUAAAAAUAUAAAGAGUAAAUGGACACUAAUAUUAAAAUACAGGGACUAAAUAAGUUUUUAUCCUAAAUCUUUAAGUGUUUGAAUUGGAGUACAUAAAUUAUCUCUCUACAAUUCAAAAACAACAGAUUUGUUACUUUUCAACGCUACAGGUUCCGCGAAUAUUCAGUUGUGGUUAUCUUGUUGAAACACCAGAAAAUAGCGUUCUAUUUGGUGGUAAUGAAUUCUUGGUUGGGGAGUUACUUAGUUUAAAACAUUUAAAUGUAUUAAGCAUCGCCUUAAAAGGUUUUUCUACCGUCCAAAAAUUUAUGAGCUCCCAAAAGUUUCAAAGUUGUACAAAAUGUUUGGAGCUUAUAGACAGUGAUGAUUCAAAGUCGUUUGCCAUGGCAGAGUUGAAGCAUCUUGAAAAACUAGGUAUUUCAAAUUGUGGAAAUUUGGAAGAGUUUAAGUUCUGCUGUGUCGAAGUUGGAAAAACUUGAGAAGAUUUUUGUUUGAACAGCCUUCACCAAGUUAAGAGAAAGGCUUGUCAUAAAUUGAGGGAAGUGACAUGGCUUGUGUUUGUACCAAAUCUUAAGGUUAUUCAGAUAGAAAAAUGUAUGGAGAUGGAGGUUGUUGGGAAAGAGACUACCACAAGCAGCUAAAAAUUAAGCGAAUACAAAAUUCUUUCUCUCUUUGUGUGAUUAAAAUAGGAUGUGCACCACAAACAAAUAAGCAGAAAAAUAAACCAAUAAAUGCAAAGCAAAAACCAACCACAAGAGACACCGAUUUUUAAGUAGAAAAUUUAAAUUGGGAAAAAUCACAGGAUAGUAGUCUGAUAUAAACUUCUACUAUAUUAAUGAGAUUACAACACAAAUUCUUCUCCAGAUAAUACUAGAUGCUAACAAUAUUAAAAUUCUCAACAAUCUUAGUUUAUAAUAAUAGAUCUAAAAUCUAUUUCUUCAAUAAGUGAGUAUCUCAAAUAAUAGCUACUGAGAGAAUAAAAUACAGAUCAACACCAGUAGAAAUAUAGAGGGCAAUGUCAGGAACUUACCCUCCAAAUUUAGGACUAAUCAGAGCUAAAAUAACCUUUUGAUUGUUGAAUCAAAGAUUGAAAACCAAAAAAAAAAAAAAUAUCUCUUUCUCUCGCAGUGUCUUCUCACUUUCGCAAAAUGUCUACAGCUCUCGCGAUUCUUUACUUAUUUCCUUAGUUAAUUUCAUCCAAGUCCAAAAUUUUACAAUAAUUACACAUCAAGCAAAUUAUUUUGGACUUUGAACUUUUUGGUCCACUGAAGUGAAAUGGACCUUACAAAUCUCCCCCUCCAUCUCAUCUAAGGGGCACCACCAAGCCCGCUCUCUACUUACAGCUUUCCAGCUUCUCCUUGGGUAAUGACUUUAUCAUCAUAUCUGAUGCAUUCUUCGUUGUGUGAAUUUCUCCAAGCUGCAACUGUUUCUACUCAAGCACGUCUUGUAUCCAAUGAUACUUCAUAUCAAUAUGCUUCGAUUUCAAAUGAUAUGUUGAAUUCUUUGCCAAGUGGAUGACACUUUAACUGUCACAGUACACAACAUAACUAUCUUGAUUAACACCUAGUUCUUGUAGAAAAUUCUUCAUCCACAAGGUUUCUUUGUAACUUUCAGUGAUUGUAAUAUACUCUACUUCUGUAGUAGACAAAGCAACACACUACUAAAGUCUAGACUGCCAUGAAACUGCUCCUCCUACAUAGGUGAGCAAAUAUCUUGAUAGAGACUUUCUAGAAUCAACAUCUCCUGCCAUAUAUGCAUCCGUAUCUACUUGUAAUAUAGGUUUGUCACCACCAAAACAUAAACAUGCCUUGGAAGUGCCUCUGAGAUAUAUGACAAUCUACUUUACUGCUGUCCAGUGUUUUUUACCCAGAUUAGAGGAAAACCAGUUGACUACCAACUGUUGAAGCGUACCUCAAACUACCAACUGUUGAAGCAUAAAAAACUCUUUUUAUCUCUUGCUUCUCUUUCUCACUUAUGGGACAAUGCUUGAAACUAAGCUUGAAAUGACCUGCAAGUGGAAAAUAAACAUAUUUUGCUUUGUCCAUAUUAUAUCUUUUAAGAACUUUUUCAACAUAUGCUUCCUGAGAUAACCAUAAAUUCCCAGUUUUUCUGUCACGAGAAAUCUUCAUGCCAAGAAUUUGUUUCGCCGAUCCCAAGUCCUUCAUUACAAAAGACUUGCUAAGCUCUCUCUUCAAAUUGUCAAUCUUACUAGUAUCCUUGCCAACAAUCAACAUGUCAUCCACAAAAAGUAAAAGAAUAAUAAAAUCAUUAUCACUAAACUUUUUCACAAACAUACAAUGAUCACACAUUGUCUUGCAAAAGCCAUGAUUCUCCAUAAAAGAAUCAAACUUCUUAUACCACUGUCUUGGUGCAUGUUUCAGCCCAUAUAAAGUUUUUUUCAAUUUGUACACAAGUUCUUCUUUACCUUUGACACUGAACUCUUCAGGUUGUUAUAUGUAUAUUUCCUCCUUUAAGUCAUCGUGUAAGAAAGCAGUCUUUACAUUGAAUUGUUCAAUUUCCAAAUCCAAGCUAGCUACUAAUCCCAGAGGUGCUUGCUCAAUUGGUUCUGCUGGACCAUUAUUAUUAUCCUCUCCAGCUCCCCUAUGAUCAUCAUGAACAACAUGUGGAGAAACCGAAGUUGGAAUAAUAAGAAUCUCUGGAGAUGGCUGAGACUUAUCAUUUUUUUUUCAUCACCAACUAUCUAAUUUUUAAGAAACACAACAUCUCUAAUUCUGAUUACUUUUCUUGUCACUGGAUCCCAUAAUCUGUACCCAAAUUCUUCAUGUCCAUAGCUUAAGAAAAUACAUUUCUUGGCUUUAUCAUCAAGUUUUGAUCUCUCAUCUUUAGGGAUAUGAACAUACACUCUGCACUUAAACACCCUCAAGUGUUUAUAAGAAACAUCUUUCCCAAUCCAAACUCUUUUAGGUACAUCGUCAUCUAAUGGAGCUUAAGGAGAAAGAUUAAUCAAAUCAACUACAGUACGCAUAGCCUCCGCUCAGAAGGAUUUAUAAAGCUUGGCAUCAGAAAACAUACAUCUGACUAUCUUUUCAAUUGUUCUGUUCAUUAUUUCUGCAACACCACUCUGCUGAGGGGAUUUUGGUACAGUUUUCUUAAGUUUGAUUCCAUGAGAUCUGCAAUACUGCUCAAAUGGUCCUCUGUACCCACCAUCAUUUUCUGCCCUGACACAUUUCAAUUUUUUUCUUGUCCCUCUCUCAACAUAAGCACGAAAGAAUUUAAACAUAGUAAGCACGAAAGAAUUUAAACAUAUCAAGCACUUAAUCUUUAGAUUUUAAAGCAAAAGUCCAUACUUUUCUAGAACAAUCAUUAAUAAAAGUCAUAAAAUAAAGUGCACCUCCUAUUGAUCUAUUUUGCAUCAUGCAAAUAUCAAUGUGAAUCAAAUCAAGGAUUUGUGACUUUCUAGAUGGAGAAAAGCUUUUAAAAGUUACUUUAUGUGCCUUUCCAGCUAAACACUAAACACAAGUCUUGAGGGACGUACCUACAAAGCUUGGUAGAAAUCCUUUUUUGGCAAGAGUUCCUAACCCUUUCUCACCAAUGUGACCAAGCCUUUUAUGCCAUGUCUCAAUGUCAGAAUUGUUUACAGCCAUAUUCAUAUAUUCUUUCUUGAUUUUGGCUUCUAUUACGUAGAGGGUGUUCAUUUUCUUUCCUUUAGCCAACACUAGAGAGCCUUUGGUGAGCUUUCAUUUUCCUUCACCAAAUUAGUUAGUAUAACUAUCAUCAUCAAUUUUUCUUGUGGAGAUCAAAUUAAGACGAAUAUCUAGUACAUGCAAGCUUUUUUGUGGAGAUCAAAUUAAGGCGAAUAUCUAGUACAUGUCUGACAUCUUUAAGGAGUAGCUUAUAGCCAACACUGGUUUGAAGCAAAUAUCUCCUAUGCCCACAAUCUUGGAUGCCCCCUCAUUUCCCAUCCGAACAUGGUCAUAAUUACCAUUAACAUAGGAUGUGAAGUAAUCAUGAUGUGCAGUUGUUGUGCAAAUUUUAAUGUACUCGCAAGCGCACGAAUCUAUUGUAGUAUAGAUCAAUGGUGACGAGUGUCGAUCCCACGAGGAGGUGGAUUUUAAUUGUGUAUAGAAUUAAUUUUGCAAAUGGUUGAUUGGAUUUGUGGUGGAAAUGAUUUGGAAUAUGCUAAAACUUAAAUUAAAAUGGCGAGAAUAAAUUCUAAAAUUGGAAUUGAAAUUGCGAGAAUAAAGUUGAAGAGAAUUCUAUUGAAAUGACGUACUUGGGUAUCUGGAUCCGUAUCAACAUGCAUCAUGGGCUAAAUAAUGCGUAUUAAUGCCAAUUAAAUCAUGAGGGGGGAAUCCACACCUCAUGAACCACGCUCUAAUCAAUAUGGUGCUAAGGGCUUAUCGUGCCAAAUAAUAAUAACCUUGUACUAGAGAGCCGGUGUAACCAAGGCGGUACUAGACAAGAUUAGUAUUAUUUGUCGACGAGAAGUCAAAACAUCCACAAAAACUAGAGGGGAAGAGAAAAUAAAUUUACCAAAUAAAGCCCAUGACACAUGUUGAGACUUCACCUUCAACCCAAGCUUAAAAGAAAAUUAGCUACUCAUAAUUGAACUAAGGGCAAAAUGGGAAUUUAUUAAAAUACGAAGAAAAUACAAGAUAGAGAGGGAAUUACAGAAAAUGGAUCCCAAAAAUGGAUUCAGAGAUAUCAAAUUAGGGGGGGAGGCCCCCUUUUUAUAGAUACAUGGAGUAAAUCAUGGCAAUCGGAUUAAAAACAGUUUGGACGCUCAGGAUUGCGCCACGUCAUCAGUCAACAGUCCACGGUUUGACCACGCGGAUGAACAGUAAUACGGUUUGACCCAUAUGAACAGUACGCGGUUUGACCCGGAUGAACAGUAACGCGGUUUGGUUGAAAAUAAUCCUGUGUGAUGCAUGCACCGUACGCGAGAUUUUUUGUCCACUGAUAUGCUGCCACGUCACCAUCAACAGUACAUAAGAAUUUUAGUCCAACAGGAUCGUGACACCUCAUCAGUCAAUGCCACAUCAUCGAUCCGUCUAUGUGAGCAGUGCCGUGAACAGUAACAUAUACAGUACCGUAUACGUGAAUAGUACCGUACAUGUGAAUAGUGCUAUUUUUCCUUUUAUGCUCCUCCUAAGGUUUUCGACCGUCCUGAGUUCAAAAGUGAUGUCCGUUUUACCGUCUGAUCUCUCCUUUAUUGUGAAAUCACUAUAAUACCACUAAAAUACAUAAAAUACUUAAUUAAAAUAAAACACAUGUAAUUAAAUCACAAGAAGGUUAAAUACAUAAAAGUAAGGGUUGUUAGUAAGACUUGAAAUGUAAAAUGAUGGUUUUCUCCUUUAUAAAUAUGCAUUUUCUAACACUCAACAGCAGUAACCACGAUGUGCAGUAACAUCAAACGAAGCACCCGAAUCAAUCACCCAAUUACUGGUAUGGCAAGUAAGAUUUAUAGAGCUAUCAUUAUAAGCAAUGCCCAUAUCACCAUUAAUUACGGCUGUAACAUUCUCUUUGUCAUUUUUCUGACCAUCGCCUUUUUCUUUCGCAUGUUCUCUUUUCCACAAUUUACACUACCUUUUUACAUGGCCCAUUUUCUGACAAUGAAAGCACUUAGCUUCUCCUAUGGGACUUAGAUCUUCCUCCAGGGUUAUCAUUAUUCUGAUGACGGAAAUUUCUGCUUCGACUUCUCCCCCGUCUUUUUUGGUUUUCUGAAACAAGUGUAGCUGACUCAGAGGGAACUACUUCAGCAUUCUUUCUUCGAGAUUCUUCAUUCCGCAGUCUAUCUGUAACCAUAUCCAAGUUUAAUUUACCAUUCGGUGCCGAAUUAUUCACUGACACCACUAAUGUCUCCCAACUAUCAGGUAAAGAACUAAGCAACAACAAUGCUUGUAACUCGUCAUCUAGAAUAAUCUUCAUAGUAGUCAACUGAUCAACCAAACCCUGAAACUCACUAGUGUGUUCAGUAAUACUGUGGCCUUUUUUAUAUUUCAAGUUAACAAGCCUUUUCAUUAGAUUGACUUUAUUUUGUGCUGUUGGCUGCUCAUAAAUUAUUUCUAAUUUUCUCCAAAGAACAUCAGCCUUGGAUUCCUUCGCGACAUGAUGGUACACACUCUGAUCAAUCCAUGACCUAAUAGUGCCCACGGCUUUCUGGUUCAAUUGAGCCCAUUUCUUAUCAUCUAUAUCAACAAGUUUAACUUCAUCACCUUCAAUAGGUUCAUGUAAGUCUUUCAUGUAGAGCAAAUCUUUCAUUCUAGACUUCCAAAUAUCAUAAUUCCACGACUCAAUUUAAUCAUGAACGCCAAAGACUCCUCUAUUUCAACCACAUAAGUAAUAAAAACACACAACCUGGCUCUGAUACCACUCUAUUGGGAAAACGACUACCACAAACAGCUACAAAUUAAGCGAAAAUAAAAUUCUUUUCCUCUUUGUGUGAUUAAAAUAGGAUGUGCACCAUAAACAAAUAAGCAGAAAAAUUAAUCAAUAAAUUCAAAGCAAAAAUCAACCACAAGAGACACCGAUUUUAACGUGGAAAAUUCAAAUCGGGAAAAACCAUGGGACAAUAGUCCGAUAUAAAUUUCCACUAUAUUAAUGGGAUUACAGUACAAAUUCUUCUCCAGAUAACACUAGAGGUUAACAACAUCAAGAUUUUCAACAAUCUUGGCUUACAAUAAUAGAUCUAAAAUCUAUUUCUUCAAUAAGUGAGUAUCUCCAAUAACAGCUAAUGAGAGAAUAAAAUAUAGAUCAACACGAGUAGAAAUGUAAAGGGCGAUGUCAGGAACUUAUCCUCCAAAUUUGGGAGAAAUCAAAGCUAAAAUUAUUUUUCGAUCGUUGAAUCAAAGAUUGAAAACCCAAAGAAAAAAAAUAUCUUUUUCUCUCGCAACGUCUUCUCACUUGCGCGAAAUGGCUACAUCUCUCGCGAUUAUUCACUUAUUUCCUUUAUAUUUUUUUUGGUUAAUUUCAUCCAAGUCUAAAAUUUUACAAUAAUUACACAUCAAGCAAAUUAUUUUGGACUUUGGGCUUUUGGUCCACUGAAGUGAGAUGGACCCUACAGAAGCAAUAAUCAGUGCAAGAAAAUUAAGUGAAGUUCCAGAGAUGAUGGCAGAUCUAAACCCUUUUGUAAAACUCCAAUAUCUUGGCCUCCGAAUUCUACCAAAAUUAAAAAAGCGUCUAUUGGAAUGUGUUGCCCUCUCCACAUGUCAGGGAAAUUUUUGUAUCUGAAUGCCCAAUUCUCAUUAGAGGAGAGGAACACUGGUGGAAUAAGUUGCAAUGGGAGGAUGAAGCAACCUAUAAUGCUUUUCUUCCUUGUUUUGGAUCCAUUUGAUGGGCAUCAACAUGGAUUAAUAUUUUGCAGCGAACCAAUUUGAAUAAAACUUACGGUAAGUGCUUUUCCAUUUAUUGCAUAUUUAUAUCUAAUUUUUGUUUUCCUUUAUGGUUAAAUUUUGCCCUGUAUAUGUUGUUGUACGGUGACAUUCUUGAAUCAAUUAUUAAUUUUUUUAAUUCUCGUCUCACAACCACCCUUUUGAUCAUGAGGAUAUGCCGAUAUCAAAGAGUCAUAAUUUGGGAUACAAAUGUAAGAAUUAGGCAGAUGACAUGUUGUUUCAAAGCUUUCGAAGAAGGACUAAAUAUGUCAUUGAAAGCCUCCAAUUUUGCGACUGAUUUUUUUUUAAUUUGUUAUUUUUAUAGGUGGCAAAAAUACCCGUCUGAUUUGGACUCGGCUGAUUUGGGCCGGGUACGGAGUAUGAAGCCGGGUUGGUCCUGGGCAUCACUUGAAACUCGGAACCUGGAUUUUAUUAAAAAAUAUUAUAAAUAUAUAUUAUUUUAAAUAUCUAUAUUUAUUAGACUCAUCUAUUACAUAUAUCUAAUUUCAUUGAAAUAAAUUUAAAAAUUAUAAAAUUACCAAUAUAUAUAUAUAUAUAUAAUAUUAAAAAAGUAUAAAAUCUGAGUCCUCAGAUUAAAACCCAGUUCAAGUGUCUAAAAAAUACAUGUGGACCGAGUUUGAACAUUGCGAUACCCAGACCCAAACUUGGGUUUUGCCAACCCUAGUCUUUUAAAUUGCUUGAUUGUAAUGUUUUAGUAUAGAAAAAUGAUAGCCAAGACAACAAUAAGAGGGCACAUUGUGCAUGCACAAUAGUGGAUAAUUUCGGCAUUCCAAAUCCAAUUAGGGUGGAUAACCUUUUAUUAGUAUUAACCUUCUCUCGUAUUCAAGUAAUGUAAAAUAUGCUUAGAAGCUGUGGAUCCCCCUUUAUAAGUGUUGGGCUUAUGCCAAACUCGAUUGAUGUGGGAUGCCUUUAUAGGCAUCAAGUUUUCUCCCAUACACUUUAUGUUAAAAAUAAUAAUGAUAAAAUAAAUCCAUUUUAAAAUAGACUUCUUUUUCUUUUCUAUAUAAACAAACUCAUUCUUCAAAUCAGUUGUGGGUGGAAGGAGUGAGUAGAGAAGAACUGGGCCCCUUUCGUUCCUCUAAAAACCUCACCAAACCUCUCUUGUAAGCUUCUCAGUGUCCCUCUCAAUAUUUCUUAUGAUCUCGUUUUUUAUUGAAUCACUUCUUUUGUGUGCUGCAUUUUUGUGUGUCGUAUUUGGGUUUAUCUUAUCUGGAAUCCUGUUAUGAUUGAUGGAACAAGUAAUCGAUUUUUGGUUUAUUUGGAAUGGAAUUAUGGUUUAUUUGGAAUGGAAUUAUCUGGGUGUAACGGAUUAAAUUAUGACAUUGGGGAGAAGGCACUAAGGGGUUUGCUUGACACAUUUGGUUCUGUGUUUACUCUGAAAGAAAUAGCUUUUGCUUAUCGUAAUGCAAGGCGAAAUCCCGAUUUGGGUGGUGAAUUUCUCUAUCCCAAUUGGGCUGGUGAAUUUCUCUGUGACAAAUAGGCAAACAGCUCAACCUCUUUUAUCUAUCUUCUACUAGUGAGGCAAGGGAUAAAAAGUCUUCAAAAUCAUCAAAUAGUAACAUCUUCGAGAAUUCAUUUUAUGCAAAUGGAAAAUCUAGACCUUCUAAGACAAAAUGGCGUCCAGUAUCAAGAGGUACCGUUUCAAGUUUUCUUGGUAAAAAUUAUGUAAACUUGCACAGCCAGCUAAUGGCACUUUUCUAGUUUUCUGGCAUCAAAGCCAUUGAAGUCGUAUCCAAAGGAGUUUCCCAUGUCUGCACUUUGUGGAGAAGGAACUAAACAAAAACAAUCAAAGGAUGACCAUUUGCAGAAGGAUGUGGAAGAUUUUCUGUUUAAAUUGCUAGGAGAAGUGUUCCAGCUGAAUAGGGAUGUGAUUCGGGAAGUUCCAGUAAUGUCUUAAAUAUGUUGAUGCCAAUUUAAUAUAUAUUGUCAUUUUCAAUGUUCUUUCUUUCUUUCUUUAUCUUCUUUUCUUCUACUUCUUCUUCUUUUUCUUUUCGUGUGCAUGUGAUCACUAAUUUGUUAUUAUACUUAACUUGCAGGUAGUUGUGGAUAUGAUAUGCAAAAGGUAAGGACUAUAUCUUCCUGAUAGAGGCCUCUGCUUUUUCCCUUUUAUGUAAUUUAGUAAAUCUCAUCUCCCUUUGUGAUUGUUAUAUCAUAUCAAAGUCAAGUCUUAAAUACUGCUGUCAUAUGUUAAGGUUCAACUUGCAUUUUGACUAACAUCCAUUUGUUGUCGCUUCCAAAAGUGAGAAUGAGAUACUUCGGUUAAUUUCAGUAGUUGAACCCAAUCGAGUACUUUAUCUAGAUCUUCAUGGUUCAAAGGCCUGAAACUUGCCCGUGAUUGUAAAAUGAUAUUAUGUGCUUUUAAUGCAAUAGGGGGAACAAGGUGUCAAAGGAAUUAGCAGAUUCUAUGGCAGAUUCUAUGCCUGUACAACUGUAACAAUUAUCCUUAUGAUUGUAAAUCUUAUAUGUUUUCCUUAUUUAGGAUAUACUAGCUGUAGGCUAUUUUAGAUAGUUAUGUAUAUGAUAGUUUAGCUAUGUUUAGGGCUAAACAUAAGCUUGUAUUCAUAGUAUAUAAAGGGAAUUCUCUUCUAAGAGAAAGCAUAACUUUUGCUCAAAAUUCUCUGAGUUUAUCAUGGUAUCAGAGCCUCAGUUCUGAAUUCUCUUCUUCCUAGUUCAUUCCCUUGUUCUUAGUUAUUCUUUUUUUUAUCAAGUUAUCUCAGCCUCAUGUCUUCAGACAAGUAUGAUGCUUUUUUGAUCCGUUUUAAUGGCACAAACUACUCAGCCUGGGCAUUUCAUUUCGAGAUAUUUGUCAAAGGCAAAGAUCUAUGGGGACAAGUUGAUGGCAGGAAACCUGCCCCUGAUAAAGAGAUAGACCAGGAUGGGUACGCCAAGUGGGAAGUCAAGGAUGCUCAAAUCAUGGCAUGGAUUCUAGGAUCUGUGGAAUCCAACUUCAUCUUGAAUCUUCGACCCUUCAAGACUGCAGCAGGAAUGUGGAAUCAUCUAAAGAAACUCUACAGUCACACCAACACUGCUCGUUGAUUUCAGCUUGAACAUGAGCUAGCCAAUCUCCAACAAGGCAGUCUCUCUAUUUCUGAUUUUUAUUCUAUCUUUAUGAUUAUUUGGGCUGAAUAUACUGAUAUAAUCUAUGCUACCUUACCUCCGAAGGUCUUAGUUUUGUUCAAUCUGUACAUGAAACUACUAAGAGAGAUCAAUUUAUGAUAAAACUGAUAUAUGAAUUUGAAAGCACUAGGUCCAAUCUUAUGAAUUGAGAAUCUGUCCCUUCCUUGGAUACAUGCCUCAAUGACUUAUUUCAUGAGGAGCAACGACUUCUUACUCAAAAUACCAUGAAACAAAAAAAAUCUACUUCUGUUCCUAUGGCUUAUGCAGCUCAAGGCAAGCCAAAAGGUAAGGACAUCAGUAUAGUUCAAUGUUUUUGUUGCAAAGGAUUUGGACAUUACGCUUCAAAUUGUUCAAAAAAAUUAUGCAACUAUUGCAAAAAAGAUGGACAUAUCAUUAAGGAAUGCCUUACUCGACCCCCCAAGAAAUCUGAAACAACAUAUGCUACCUCAGUUGGUUCUUCUAGUGAUGGUAGUUCUGUGGAUACAGCACAUUUGACCCAAAGUGCUCCUGUUCCUGUUCAAUCUGUGACCCCAUAAAUGAUUCAACAAAUGAUCAUUAUUGUAUUCUCCUCAUUAGGACUCUCAGGUAAAUCACCCACUAGAUCUCCUUGGUACUUUGAUUCUGGGGCUUCCCAUCACAUGACAAACAAUGCUAAAUUCUUCACCAAUGUAAGUAAAUACCUUAGAAAUCUAAAAAUUCAUACAGCUGAUGGCAACUCUUUACCUAUCACAGCCACUAGUGAUGUUUCUUUUUCUAUAACCAAUGUCUUUGUCUCUCCUGGUCUUCCUACUAAUCUUGUUUCAAUCGGUCAGUUAGUUGACAAUAAUUGUAAAGUAGAAUUCUCUAAAUCUAGUUGUGUUGUGCAGGAUCAGCAGUCAGGGAAGAUGAUUGCCAGGGGGCCUAAAAUAUGACGUCUUUUCCCUCUCCAAUUUGCUAAGUCUCCAUGUUUCUCUUUGCCUAUCAUCACUUGCAAUUUUACUAAGGUUAAUUAUCGAGCAUGGCAUAAACGUCUAGGACACCUAAACUCUAAUGUAUUUUAUGCUUUGCUAAAUUCUGGUUUACUUGGGAAUAAAAGAUCACCAUCCCUUAGUGUUGUUCAAUUUGAUUGCAAUUCUUGCAAGCUUGGAAAAAGUAAAAUUCUGCCAUUUCCCACUCACACACCGAAUGUUGUCCAGCCUUUUGAUUUGAUACAUAGUGAUGUGUGGGGUAUGGCGCCUGUUACAUCUCAUGCUAAUUACAAGUACUUUGUCACUUUUAUUGAUGACUAUAGUCGCUUCACAUGGAUUUAUUUUCUACAUUCUAAAGAUGAAGUGUUCUCUGUUUUCAAGCUUUUUCAUGCAUAUAUUCAGACCCAAUUUUCUACUAAUAUCAAAAUUCUUUGCUUUGAUAAUGGGGGUGAGUAUAUGUCUCAUUUAUUUUAAGAAUUUUUGCACACCAAUGGUAUAAUUUCUCAAAGAUCUUGUCCUUCAACCCCUCAACAAAAUGGGGUGGCUGAAAGAAAGAACUAUCACCUUCUCGAUGUUGUCUUCAUUUGUACCCUCUCGUUUUUGGUGUGAAGCUUUCUCCACUGUUGUCUAUCUCAUCAACAGAUUGUCCUCUCAUUCCUUGAACCAUGUCUCCCAUUUCUUUCAGUUAUUUGGCCAUACACUAAGUUACUCUCAUCUCCAUACCUUCAGUUGUGUGUGCUAUGUUCAUCUUCCUCCAUAUGAGCGUACAAAACUCACAGCCCAAGCUGUGAAAUGUGCUUUUCUAGGAUAUUUUAUGCACUAAAAAUGUUUUCUUUGUUAUGAUCCAAAUUUGCAUCAUAUAAGGGUUUCUCGAAAUGUGAUUUUCUUUGAAAAUCAGUAUUUCUUUUCCGCAUACCACGACGAUUCUUCGCCUUCAUUUUCUGUUUUGCCAAAGUUUACUAACCCUUCUGCAGAUUCUGCACCUUCUAAACCUAUCAUAGUCUAUCAGCGACGCAAGAAUUUAGUACCUCUCGGGCCCCCUCCAGCAACUUCCCUGAAUGUUGAUCCAGUUCCAGCAACUGCACCUGAACCUUUCAGACAUAGUACUCGGGUUCGUAGACCACCAGAUAGGUAUGGUUUCACCUCUCCAUUAUUUUUGACAGCCACUUUGUCUUCUAUUCUUAUUCCUUCAUCAUAUAAACAGGCAAUAGAGCAUGAAUUUUGGUGAAAAUCUAUUGAAUCAGAACUUCUUGCACUUGAAGAAAACCAAACUUGGGAUAUUGUUUCAUGUCCUCCAUCCGUGAAACCCCUUAGUAGUAAGCUAGUGUUUUCUAUCAAGCUGCGUUUUAAUGAAUCCAUAGAUCGUUACAAGGCUCGGUUGGUGGUUCUUGGCAACAAGCAAGAAUAUGGCCUAGACUACGAUGAGACCUUCGCGCCGGUAGCCAAAAUGACCACUGUUCGAACAAUAUUAGCCCUUGCUGCAUCACAAUCAUGUUCUUUACAUUAAAUGGAUGUAAAGAACGCUUUCCUACAUAGUGAUCUCAAGGAGGAAAUUUACAUGAAACUUCCCCACGGUAUGACUACUUCCUCUCCUAAUGAUGUUUGCAAACUAAAAUGUUCGUUGUAUGGGUUGAAGCAAGCACCGCGAGUAUGGUUUGAGAAGUUUCGAUCAACUCUUUUCAGUUUUUCAUUCACUCAAAGUCAGUAUGACUCCUCCUUUUUUUUUUCCAACAGACAUCUAAGGGCAUCAUUGUUCUCCUUAUUUAUGUGGAUGACAUCGUUAUCACUGGUUCUGAUAUGGAGGCAAUUUCUAAACUUCAGAAUUUGUUGCACUCUAUUUUUCACAUGAAAGACCUCGGUCAACUCACCUAUUUUUUGGGGUUAGAGGUGCAUUAUCUGCCUCAAGGUAUCUUCUUGAAUCAACACAAGUAUAUUCAGGAUUUAAUUUAAUUAGCUGGACUUAUGGACAAAAAUUCUGUUGACACCCCAGUGGAACUUAAUGUGAAAUAUCGACAAGACGAAAGGGAACUACUUCAAGAUCCUACUUAUCUAUCUAACUAUCACCCGCCCAGACAUCUCUUAUGCUGUCCACACCGUUAGCAAGUUCAUGCAAGCCCUUCGACAUCUCCACGUAUCCACAGUCCGCCGCAUCAUUAGAUAUAUUCUUGGCACUCUUAACUGCAGUUUAUUCUUCCCUACUGGUUCUUCACUCCAACUACAAGCCUACAAUGACGCAGAUUGGGCUAGCUGCCCGGACACGAGAAAAUCUACUUUGGGAUGGUGCAUGUUUCUUGGUGAUGCCCUUAGCUCUUGGAAAUGCAAAAAGCAAGACUCAGUCUCCAAAUAAUCCACUGAGGCAGAAUACCGCGCCAUGUCUGUAGCCUGCUCCAAGAUCAUUUGGUCGCGUGGUCUCUUAACAGAGCUUGGUUUCUCACAACAUCAACCUACUCCCCUACAUGCUGACAACACAAGUGCCAUCCAAAUUGUAGCCAACCCUGUCUACCAUGAGCGCAUGAAACACAUAGAGGUUGACUGCCACUCUAUUCGAGAGGCCUAUGACCACCAAGUUAUCACCCUCCUGCAUAUCUCCACUACUCUACUGAUUACGAAUAUCUUCACCAAAUCCAUGACAUGUCAGCGACAUAACGUUCUUGUUAGCAAAUUGAUGCUUGUAGAUUUACCAGCAUCAAUUUGAGGGGGGAUGUCAAAGGAAUUAGUAGAUCUUAUGGCAAAUUCUAUGCCUGUACAGCUGUAACAAUUAUCUUUAUGGUUGUAAAUCUUAUAUUUUUUCCUUAUUUAAGAUAUACUAGCUGUAGGCUAUUUUAGAUAGUUAUGUAUAUGGUAGUUUAGCCAUGUUUAUGGCUAAACAUAAGCUCGUAUUCAUAGUAUAUAAAGGGAAUUCUCCUCCAAGAGAAAGCAUAUGAAAGAAACUUAGUUCUAUAUUGUUUGGUAGGCUAGAAAAUGAAAGAAAAUAAAAGAAAAGCUUUGCAAAGAAAACUGUUAGAUCCUUUUAUUAUACCAAACUUACAGUUUAAUGACUAAAAAUUGAUAUUUAUAUUGAGCUACAAACUCUUCACACACACACACGAGAUUGUUGCAACACAUAACCAAUUGCUGUAUAACUAACUUGACACAUCAGCUCAACCAGCUAACUAACUUUGACAGGUCAGCUUAAUGAUUUGAUCUGAUACAACCAGCUACACAGCAACAUCAUGCUCUGCUCCAGCUUCAUCUAAUUCACUAACAACUUUUGCUCAAAAUUCUCUUAGUUUAUCACAGGGAAGUAUAGCUUUGGAAAAGGCCGGAUCAAUAACUAUGGAGAGAUUUAUAAGUGAUAAAAAUUCCCGUAACCCGCUGUCAAGAAAAUUUCACAUAGUUAAAGACGCCAUUUUGUUUCAGCCAAAAAUGUUUGUUUAAUCUGCCAAAAAUGUUUGUUUCGAUUAAAGACUUGAACCGUUUUCAUUUAACCUGAUUGUGAUGCUUUAUGUUAUGUAUGUUCCUCUCAAUCAAGAAAAGUUGAGGUUCAUGAUUUUAUAUUUCUAUCUUGUAACUUGCAAUAAUAACUGGUCUUCUUGUUUUUGUAGCUUGAUAACAUGAAUUUUCCUUCUCAAGUUAAUUUGAUCAAUAAAGUAAUUCUUCAAAGAAAAUAUGCCCAUUCUAUAAUCAUUUUCUUAGCUAAUAUGUUUUUUUUUUGUUUACUCUUCAGAGUGUGUCGAAACUAAUUGAUUGCUCGGCAGAGACUUUGGGUGACAAGUCAAAAUUUCAUGGUAAAUCCUCUGAAAAGGUAUGCAUAAUUCCUGAAUAUUAAAUAACCAAUGGUCAUAGUUUUUGUACACGACUCUUUUUGUGGAGAUCGUUAAAAGUGGUUGAUGAUCCAUUUGUAAUUUCAUAGAGGGAUCAUCAAUUCCUUUUCUUUUCUGUGGCUAGGCAUCACUUUCGUGCCAAAGUAAGGAAAUCUAUUUUAGGUAAUGUAAAAAACAAUGGUAGGAUGUAAUAGCUUAUUAUGCACUGACAAUAACUUUUUGUAUAAUUGUCAGUUUAAGGAAUACAAGAGGAACUCUGUUGACAAAUUCAUCCAAGAUAGAUGCUAAAAUUAUUUAUGCAUGCCAGUUGCCUUAACUAAUUUUUCUUAACACUUGUAUUGAACAGGAAAUGAGUAUGCAAUUUGUGUACGUGCCAUUGUGGAGAAUUUGGAUAUUCUUAUUUAAGUAAGAAGAAGAGUAUUUGCCUCAUCUUUAAACAAUGAAUCUUUGAGAAAUGAGGAGUGGGUGAUUGGAAGUGUCUUCAUGUAAAUGUUCAUUUACUUGUAUUUUGAACUAUUAUGAGAAUCUUUUAUAUGCCAAAUUAGUAAUACAAAUGUUCAGAUGAUUUUUCCUGUUGAUCACGCGUUUGUGUCUGCAGACAACCAUUGUAUAUCACUUUAUUCUGAUGUGCAAUUAUGUAUAGAUUAGAAGAAAAGAAAUAAUAGUCUUAUAUUAUUGUUUGGUUCAUGAUUAUUAAACGAUUAUGGCUUCAAAAAAUCUACAAAUUCCUUCUGUUCAUAUAUGAAUGUGCCAAGUUUGCUAUAUCUUAGAUUGCCUUCUUCCAAGAUAACAAGUUCAUAUGUUUUUUAAUCCUCUUCAAUCACAGUUGAAUUUUAAGUGUUAAGAUUUGUUAUUAAUACCUGGUUCCCUGUUAUUAUGAUUUUUAUUAUGAUUUCAUAAACAGUGUACGGACAUGUGCUCUACUUUUAAAGGGCCUCCACGUGAAAGAAAAUUGCAACAAUUGAAUUCUUCCGGAGGGUAUGGCAUUUAAUUUAUUUUCUCAACUUCUUGUAAGACUAAUAUAUUUCCUUCAGUAGGCAGGGCAUGUUGGGAAGGGCUUUUAUUGAAAGAAUUCUGAUAUUUCUUAGACUUUGUUUUGGAAGGGAGGUGGAGGGAUUUCUCAUCCAUAUAUGGUUACUUGAUUAGCUUUUGACUGUAUUGCCUCAGUCGUGCAAAGGAAGAUCCAAAUACUAAUGAAUGAGAAUUGGUUAGAGACCCAAAAGACAGAAAUGAACUACAGAAGGAAGUUUUUGCUGCUUUAUUUAGUGUUCCUGAGAACUCUGAUGAAGAUGGAGUGGAGGUCCAAAGCAUUAAGAAAGGUGGUGAGUGAACCGCCAGAGGAAUUGGUACCAGAAUACAAAGCUAAUGUGGUGCAUUUGCAGCAAGAUAACCAGACUAGUAUGUGCUCUUGUAUUAACUAUAUUGACUGGAUUUGUGAGCAUGUUCAUUUUUGUGUGUAUAAUCACUUUUGUAUUUAUGCAUAUUAAUGUUAGUAGGAUUCUUGAUUUCCUCCACUUACUGGAGAACUAGUGGAAAGCUUUAUAGUGAAAUAUCUGCAAUAACUAAUGGAAACCAUGAUUUGAAUAUUUUCUCUCACCUGGAGAGCUUUGUAACAGAUGUACUUUGUGGCUAUGGAAUACUAGAGAUUCUGCAAUAACUAAUGGAAACUCUGAUAUGAAUAUUUUCUCUCACCUGCAGAACUUUGUAACAGAUACACUUUGUGGCUCUGGAAUGUCUAAAGAUUUUGUCUGCUUCAGUUAGAUCAAAUAUCUUUUAGUUACCUACAUUAUGGAAAAGAUAGAGUUCUCUGAAUCUGAAAGACUGAAACAUUUUGCAUAUUUCGUGAAAGGAAAAUAUCUGUAGAUACUAGUUCAUGCAUUGAGGUAACAUCAAUGUUAAAGAAAAACAGCAAUAACUUAUUAUAUAGAAUUAGGUUCACUUGCUUUAAAUGCUGGUCUGGUCAACCAUAUGAACCUGUAAGUGUAUCUGCAGAAAUAUAUAUGGGGGGACAAACUAGCUAAAUUUUCCUCUCAUUUCUGGCUUUGGUCAUUUUUUCCCCUUAUUUUUCAGCUUUCCUUCUCCUGAAGUAUGUUAACAAUUGCAGAUAAUGACGAAGAGGACAGCUUGCAGGCUCUUCGUGGAGCUGUGAUGGAAUAUAGGGGCACAAUGAAAGAACAUUUUAAAGCUGUAGGUUCUUUUUCUCCUGUCAUUUAUAUUUGCUCACACAUUUUUCAUAUGCUCCAAGCAUGCAAGUUUGUAUGUGUCUUUGCCUUUUAAGUUUUAAAAACCAUAAGGUAAGAAUACAGUUCCUCGUCAGGUUAUUGAUGCAUUCACUCCGGAGGAUCAUGUUCGAGCAGGAAAACUUCUAGAACAGGCAAGGUUUUCCAUCUACAGCCAUCUAUUGACAACAGAUACAUUUUCAUUCAGCAGACACUGUUAGCAUUCAAGAUGCUGGCAGAUUCACUUGAUUCUUAUUAGUUUGUUUAGUGGUAAAGCAUAUAACCUGUUUUUCAAAGCCAAGUUGUGCUAUUGAUUAUGUUAACUUUAUUGUUCACAUAAAGUGAUAUGGAGGAAAUAAUCAUUGUAGGAAAAUUAGGUGAAGAGGUGAUGUCAAAUCUUGAACCUGUUACAAAACUCCAAGUUCUUUACUUGAAGAAGCUACCAAAUUUGAACAGGGUCCACUGGAAGGCCUUGCCAUUCCCUGAUGCCUGCAGAAUUUUUGUAUUUAAAUGCCCAGAGCUUAAGAAGCUGCCACCGGAUCUUGAAAGGGCAGGCCAAGGUAAAAUUCUUAUCAAGGGAAAGGAAGAUUGGUGGAAACAACUUCAAUCGGAGGAUCAAGUAACUCAGAAUGCAUUGCUUCUAUUUUUAAAAUCAACUGACAAGUGAUUGAAGGGGGCAUCAUCAACAUCAUCAACAUGGAUGGAGAGAUUCAGGAGCAGAUCCGCAGGGUUUAUUACGACCUGUGGUGGUUGCUUUUUUGUGACUUGUUCCCUUUCAUUUUUUCACUUCCUGUCAUAUUAUCAUUUCUUUGUCUCUGUUUCUAUUGCUGAUGUUGCUGCAUGCUUGCAGCCCUUGACAAAGUUAGCAAUGCAAUAUAGAUUUUGAAAUUAAAUUUUGUAUGUUCGGGACAGUCACAAAGUACUACUUGUUCUAUAUGGGGGUGAUGUGAAUCAACUUUUCAAUUAUAUAUUCUGUGGUAAUUGUGAAUUCAAUUUCAUUUGUCUCCUGCAAAUUAUGAAGAAAGUGCAGAGUUAGAAUAUCGAAAAGUUCACUGGCAAAUACUUUGUAAAAGCUUCGGAGUGAAACAGGGAAUGCACUUGCAACUAAGGACAAAUUGGUGGCCAGCUAAUGCAUUCAUUUUAUGUACAUUCAUCUUUUUAAUUAUUGAAGAUAAGUGGUUCGUUGCUUUUGUUGUAGAAAAAAUUCAGACGACCUCAAUUGUGAGAUGAAAAUAUUUAAAAUAUCUCUUAAAUUAUUAUAAACUUUAAUUUAUCUUAAUUUUAUUUAAAAGAUAAAAGAAAAAUGUGGUAUAUGGGUAAAAAUUUUUUUAUCUUGUUAAUAAAAUGAAAUAAAUUAAAAUUUACAAUAAUUUAAAGUAUUUUAAAAUUAUUAUUUCAUAAGAGAUUAAUAUGAAAUUAAUCCUUUUUACUUUUUGAAUGUGAAAGGACAAGAAAAGAGAAAGCUAGUGUCACUGCUUUUUAUUUUAUUUGAAAUCGGAGUUAUCCCAUAUACUUUACUACUUUAGCUCUAACAUUACAAUGUUUUUAGGCUACACUUUUAUUUUUCUUUUUCCCCCUUUUUUUAUACAUGCAUGUGGAUUACUUUUCUCUAAGCUCCUUAAUAUUUAAGACAAAUCAUAAAAGCAAUUGAAGCAUAACAAGAUGAUCAAAACAUUUAACCGAAAAAAAAAGAAAUAAAACAUUGAAAAUGGAGAUGUUGAUUAAUUUAGAAGAGAUGCAAGCAAAAAAUAUUCCCAAAAAAAAAAAAAAAAAAAGCAACGUUAGUUCAUCCAUGUCUGUCAAUGCGUUUUUUAUGGUUUUUUUUUUCCAGUUGUUUGUUGUAAUAGAUUAAUUGUAAAUUGAUAUAAACUUGAUGUUGUAAUAUGUUCGCUUUUGUGGAAAUAAAUUUCAAUAUUCAAGAUUAUUCAAGUCUUAUCUAGUAUGUGUUCGGUUGUGUUGUCGAUAAUUUUACAUUCUAAUAAGUUUUCACCUAAAAUAUUAGCAUGAGUAGUAGUCCUUAAACCUUUGGUCAAAAUUAUUGUUAUUGUUUCUUUUAGAGGAAAUUUUUUUAUUAAAGCCUCGUUAACACUAUUCCUUAUUAAGAUUAUAAGUUAGUGUCGGUGCAGGAUUUGCAGCGACAAAUCUUGUCUAGCCACGUGUCAAAAUACAAAUAAAUCAAGGGAAAGCACAUGACAUGGAUUAGGAUCCAAUAAAAUUUAAAUCCCAAGGAAAAGGACAACUGUAUCCUAAAGUUUCAAUAAGAGAUACUGGGAUAUCUUUUGACUAAUGUUAUUUUUUGGCUUUAUUAAUAAAAAGAUCCAAUAGUUUAUAACAAAUAAAAAUAUAGUAUUAAGCUAAAUGUGAUAAUUUACACAUUUUACAUAAUUUCAAUAAAAAUUUUUUUAAUGUUUUACAAUCUAUCAGACAUAUUUUAUUAAAUUAAUAAGAAUUUUCUUAUAAAUAGCAACAUAAUAUUAAAAUAAAUUUAUAAAAAUUUAAAUGUAAAAUAAUUUUAGUAUAAUUAAUACGCGGGAUAUAUUUUGUAAAUUAUAAAAUUACUUAACCCAAUGAUUUUUAAAAAUCUUUAAAAUAAAUAAAAAUAAAUUAUUCACAUUUUGAUGUAAAUAUUUAAAACAUUUUUAUACAUUAGUCCACAAUUAUUUAUGUUAUAUUUGUAUUUAUUAGAAAUUUUGAAAGUCAAAUGUUUUUUACCUCUAUGUUAUUAGAAUUAUUGCACACAGAGAAAGAGCCAUAUAUGCUUUAUAACUUUAAAAUCGAUUUGUUUUAUAGCUGGGAAUAGAGAUGAUCAUUAUUAUAAGGAUUUUUUAAAAAAAGAUAAAGAAUAUUAAUGAUUAGCGAAAUCUCUAUGGAAAUUGAAUUUAGUAAGAAAAAAUUGAGCUGAUUUUAGUGGUAUAGUAAUAUUUUAUAUAGAGAAAAGUAAAAGCUGCACCCAAGGUUAAGGGAAAUGGUCAAAAUUCUUUUUUAAUCAUAAUACCCUUUUUCCUAGAUAAUUUAAAAAUUUUACUCUAAUAGUUUAUAAUAAAUAAAAACAUAUAAUCCUAAAAUAAAUAAAAUGAUAUAUAUUUUAAAAUAAUCUCAAUAUUUAAAAUAUAUUUUAACAUUUUAUAAUCUAUUAGAUAUAUUUUAUUAUAUUAAAGUAAAUUUUAUAAUAAAUACAAAACAUACUAUUAAAAUAGAUAUAAAAAUUUUAAAGUAUUUUGAAUAUUAUAUAAAAUAACUUUAAUAUUGUUAAUGCAUGAGAUGCAUUUUAUUAAUUAAAAAUUCUAUGUAACCCAAAGAUUUAUUUAUAAUAAAUUAAUAAUCAUAUUUUUGAAAUUAUUUUAAAUAUUAAAAAAUAUUUUAAUAUUACUAACUAUUAGAUAGACUAAACUAUUUAUUUUAUUUUCUAUUUAUUAUAAAAUUUCAAAGUUAAUCUUUUUAACUACUAUUCAAAAGAUGUUAUGAUAAAAACAGAAUUUUUGUGUUUUUAUUGAAAAUUUGGAGUUUACAUCUAUUUUUUCAAAUAUUCAGGGUGUAACUGUUUUUUCCCUUUUAUAUAUACGAACGGUGGUGAGAAAGUUUGAUUUAACGUUAUUUAUUUAAAUAAAAUCUCAGUUAAAAAUGUACAGAGAAGAAAUUUCGGUUGGUAUUUUAGUCUUGGUAAUCUCUAUAUUAUAUGCAUAUAAGAUACAUCAUUCUCACAUGAAUAGUAUAUGUGUGAGAUCCAUAUAUUAUUCAUGUGAGGGAGAUGUAUCUUAAUAAGAUAGAGGGAUCCGUUAGUCUUUUACCAAUCAUCACGAUUAGGCCUUGGCCUUGAAACAUUAAUUGUUUCACUUUUAGCGCUAGUGGCGUUGAAAGUUGUCAAGAAAAAGCAAGACCAUAUUCCACAAAAGCAAAAGUAACGUAGGCUCUUUUAUUAAAGGCAAAGUAUAAAGUAGUCAAGAAUCGAAUAUCCUGUCGUCUACUCUUUUUUAAAUUCUUCUUUUAUUAUCGUUUAGAAUAGUUUUUGGUAAUUACAAUCAUUAUUCAGAGUUAUUGUUAUCUUCCGGGGCAGUCUCUGUUCAUCGAAGUCGUUACCUUUUUUUUAAUGGAUCAGUUCCAGUGGUAAGCAGUAAUUUUCUUAGAACUCGGAUCUUUAAUUCGAGUUUCUGUGUGAAUUAAUAAUAAAAAAUUUUCAUUACACGCAAUUUAAGCUACGAAUUACUUUUUGCAAAGUUGAAUAUGGAAUUGGAGAAAUUAAGUAAUUUAGAAUGUUGGUAAAAAUUGACGAACAUAUCUCCAAUUACAGUAAAACCUCUCUACAGUCAUAACAUUAUAACAAAAUUAAUUUUAUUACUAUGUUGAGGUAAUAUAGGUUUAGUUACAAAAUUAUUGUUUUAAUAUGGUUAGUGUCAAGUGAUAUAAAGGUUAAGUAUGCAGUACAUUAAUAAUUAAAUAAUGAAGUGUCAAAUCUAAUGUAUAUAUAUUAAUGAUAUAGAUAGACAUAGUUUUAAAAAACUAAUUAAUGUAUAUUUAUGUAGUGUUAUGAAUAUGGAAAGUCAAGCCUACACUUUACAUUAUCCUUAAUUUUUUCUCUCAGUUAAAUUCUACAAAUAUUGUACAAUGGUUGGGCAAGAACUCUAAAUUAAGAAUAAAUUAUUGUCACAAAUAAUUUUAGAAAAUAUUUUAUUUCGUCUUAAACCUUUAAUAUAAAUAAACAUAUAUAUAUAUAUAUAUAUAUAUAUAUAUAUAUAUAUGUGUGUGUGUGUGUGUGUGUGUGUGUGUGUGUGUGUGUGUGUGUGUGUGUGUGUGCAUAUUUUGCAACGUAUAGAUAAUUGUUAGUAUAUGGAGACAAGUCUUUUAAGGUAGGACCUAGGAAAAUUUAUAACUUACUACACUGUGGAGUUUUUAUUCCUUUUUAUAAUUGGCUCAUAUUGAUACAUUCUUACACAAAAUAUUACCAUUGACAUAUUUUACUACAAUUAGUUUAGAACAUUUGUUAGGAAAAAAAAGAAAAGAAAAGAAAACAUCCCUUGGAUGUAGCUCUCCUGACUAUUUAAAUCUUUUAAGGAAAAAAAGAAAAAAGAAAAACUGGCACAUUCAAAUCUUGAAGCAAUUACAUUAAAAUCUCUCCAUAAUGAUAGGAAUAAUCUCCAUUUAGUAAUAAAAAAUUUUGUUCGCAAUUUAGGCAGAGUUAUAAAUAAGAAUAAAAUCCUCAUUGUAAUAAGUUAUAUUUAUUAUGGAUCCCAUCCUAAGGAAUUCGUCUCUAUAUAGUAAUAAUUAUUUGCAUAUUAUAAAUAUAUAUGUUGCAUUAGAUUAAAUGAACUUGUCUCCACAUACUACUUAGACAACGAGAGAAAAUUAUUAAAGAGAACACAAAUAUUUAGAUAUUUUUAAGAUUACUUUGCAUAUUUAUAACAAUAAUACAUUGAUAUAUGUAUUAGUUUUUUGAUAUAUUAGAUUUAACAUGCUCUAUUAAUAAAUUAUUAAUACGAUGCAUAUUCAUCUCUAUAUCCUUGCAAUAAAAGUAACUAAGUUAUAACAAUAAUUAUUAAUAAAUUAUUAAUACGUUGCGUACUUCAUCUCUAUAUCCUUACAAUAAAAAUAACUAAGUUAUAAUGAUAAUUUUUGUAACUACAUACUUAUUAGGUUUUAACUACUUCAUAAUAAUAAAUUAGUUUCGUCCUAAUAUUAUAAUUAUGUAGAGUUGUAGUGUAUAGACACACCCAAUUUAAAUAGUAUAUCAAAUAAAAUUGUCCCCACGAAAAAGAAAAAAGGGGUAAAGGAUUCUCAUUUCUUCAAACAUUAGGAUCACGUUUGUACAAGUGCGAUGCCUUUCUUUUGAAGGCAACGUCAGUGGGUACCCAAUAGGACGUGUGUAAAUCUUUCCAAAAUUUCUCUGGUAUAACGGACAGAGAUCAUUACUUUUCUCUUCCAUAUACCACAGCAGCUUCAGUUAAUCAGACUCAAUCAAUUUUCUUGGUUUCUUCGCUUAUCAAAAUUCCAAAAUAUGGGUAGCAUAUUUCAAAUCACAUGCGAUGGUGCUUUUUUCAAUCGUUGCUUGGAUUGCUUUCUUGGAAAAGUAGCAAACACAAGUAAGCUCCAAGAUAACCUUGUUGCCUUGGAGACUGAAUUGGGAAAACUAAUCGCAGCAAAGAACGAUGUGAUGAUGAGGGUUGUCAAUGCUGAACGGCAACACCUGAGAACGCUGGACCAAGUGCAAGUGUGGCUUUCGAGGGUGGAAGCUGUUGAAACUGAAGCUGAUGAAUUGAAAAGACACGGCUCUCAAGAAAUUGACAAAUUAUGUGUUGGAGGCUACUGUUCCAAGAACUGCGCGUCAAGCUACAAGUUCGGGAAACAAGUGGCUAAAAAGCUACGGGAUGUGCAGACUUUAAUCGACGAAGGAGUUUUUGCGGCGGUGGCUACCGAGGUGGUGCCUGAGAGAGCUCCAGAACCUGUAGCAGAUGAAAGACCCACUGAGCCAACAAUAGUAGGCUUGCAAUCACAACUUGAACAAGUUUGGAGAUGUCUUGUAGAAGAAUCAGUGGGAAUCAUUGGCCUAUAUGGUAUGGGCGGUGUUGGUAAAACUACACUAUUGACCCAUAUCAACAAUAAAUUUCUUGAGAGUCCAACCAGUUUUGAUUGUGUGAUUUGGGCCGUAGUUUCAAAGGACUUGCGACUCGAAAAAAUUCAAGAAGAUAUUGGGAAAAAGAUCGGUUUGGUUGAUGAUUCAUGGAAGAGUAAAAGUGUAGAGGAGAAAGCUCUCGACAUCUUCCGGAGUUUAAGAGAGAAGAGAAUUGUAUUGCUGUUAGAUGAUAUAUGGGAGCGGGUUGAUUUAACAAAAGUGGGCAUUCCACUUUCCGGACCAAAAAAUACUACAUCAAAAGUCGUAUUCACAACCCGUUUCGUCGAUGUUUGUGGUAGCAUGGAAGCUGACAAGAAGUUCCAGGUGGCAUGCUUAUCAGAAGAGCAUGCUUGGGAACUGUUUCGAAAAAAAGUUGGGGAAGAAACUCUUGAGAGUGAUCAUGAUAUCGUUGAGCUAGCCCAAACUGUGGCCAAAGAGUGUGGUGGUUUGCCACUCGCACUUAUUACUAUUGGUCGAGCUAUGGCCUUCAAAAAGACAGCCGAGGAGUGGAGUCAUGCAAUUGAUGUGCUAAGAACAUCAGCUUCUGAGUUUGCAGGUUUGGGAGAAAAGGUUUAUCGUCUUUUAAAGUUUAGCUAUGAUAGUUUGCAGAAUGAGACGAUUAGAUCUUGUUUCUUAUAUUGUUGUUUAUAUCCCGAGGAUUAUAGCAUUCUUAAAUGGGACUUGAUUGAUUGUUGGAUUGGUGAGGGAUUCUUAGAGGAAUCUGACAGGUUCAGUGCAGAAAACCAAGGAUACUACAUUGUGGGCACUCUUGUUCAUGCAUGUUUAUUGGAAGAGUUAGAAGAUGAUAAAGUAAAAAUGCAUGACGUUGUUCGUGAUAUGGCUCGAUGGAUAGCUUGUGAAAUUGAGAAGGAGAAGAGAAAAUUUUUGGUUUGUGCAGGUGCUGGAGUAGGAGCGGUGUCAGAUGUUGAAGGAUGGGAAAAUGUGGGAAGAUUGUCAUUGAUGCAAAACCAAAUUGAAAUUCUGUCAGAGGUUCCCACAUGCCCUCAUCUCCUCACUUUAUUUCUUGACUUUAAUUAUAAAUUGGAGAUGAUCACCGAUGGCUUCUUCCAAUGUAUGCCUUCUCUCAAAGUUUUGAAGAUGUCAAACUGUGGGCAUGUCAAAGUUUUGAAAUUACCUUUUGGGAUGUCAAAGCUGGGUUCACUACAACUUCUUGAUAUUUCACAUACCGGCAUAAGAGAGUUACCAGAAGAGUUAAAGUUGUUGGUAAAUCUGAAAUGUUUGAAUUUGAGGUGGACACAUAUGUUAAAUAAAAUUCCACGGCAGCUAAUAUCAAAUUCUUCAUGGUUACGUGUGUUGAGAAUGUUCGCUAUUGGCUUUGAAAAUUCUAAAGAACCAUCAGAAGACAGCGUUUUAAUUGGUGGGGGUGAAGUUUUAGUACAUGAAUUGCUCGGUUUGAAAUAUUUAGAGGUAUUGGAGUUGACCUUGCGAAGUUAUGAUGCUCUCCAAUUUUUUUUGAGCUCAAAUAAGUUAAAAAGUUGUAUUCGAUCUCUUUUCCUCAAUAAGCUGGGAGAUACAAAGUCGAUUCAUGCUACGGCUUUCGCAGAUCUAAAGCAUCUCAAUGAACUAUGCAUUCGUUCGGCAGUGGAGUUGGAAGAAUUGAAGGUUGAUUAUACAGAGAUUGCGCCAAAAAGGUCGGAACCUUUUGUUUUCCGCAGCCUUCACCGUGUUACUAUGGAGCGGUGCCAUAAAUUGAAAGAUUUGACAUUCCUCGUUUUUGCUCCAAGCCUCAAGUCUCUUUCGCUAUACGGUUGCAAUGCUAUAGAAGAAAUAAUCAGCGUUGGAAAAUUUGCUGAGACUCCUGAGGUGAUGGGACAUAUAAGCCCUUUUGGAAAUCUCCAAACGCUUUAUUUAACUGAUUUGCCAGAGUUGAAAAGCAUCUACUGGAAGCCAUUGCCUUUCACUCAUCUCAAAGAAAUGACGGUACAUGGGUGUAAUCAGCUUAAAAAGCUUCCAUUCGAUUCCAACAGUGCAACAGAGCGUAAAUUUGUUAUUCGUGGAUACACACUCUGGUGGAACCGUCUUCAAUGGGAGGAUGAAGCCACUCAAAUUGCUUUUCGUUCCUGUUUCCAAUCUCAUGAAAUAUAAAUUCCUGAGCGGUGGUUGCAAAAUUUGAUUUCUAGUGAGUGCUUUUUUCUUAAACUCUUACAUAUAUUCUCGUCGUUUGCUUCGUGCAACGGACUAGGUUUUUAUUUCAGAUUCGUUUUUUGUCUCCUGCAAAUCACAAUUAAAUGUUGAAUUAUAUGGAGUCAAUGCUUUAUAAAAUUUUCAAGGCACUGCCAUUUCCUUUUUCUUUUUCUUUUUUUUUUUGGGUCGAAUUGAUGCUCUGGCUUUUUACUUUUUGUUGUCACAUUUUGCUCUGUUUUUUCAAGUUGAUGCUUGAAUAGUUGAAUUCAAUUGAUGCUCACAUAAAUUUGUUUAGUUGCCGCAAAAGGAUAUAAUUAGACUGAAGUACACACUUCUAGAAUGAAUACAAAAUGUUAAGUAUACUAGCCCUCUUUACAGAAAAUCAAAUGAAAAUCAAUUUUUUGGGGCUUUGAUUUUCUAUGGUCUAUUAUAUACUCUUUUUAAUAUCUUCUGUUCUAACUAUAACCAAAUCCUUUGUUCAAGGAUUUUUAUUUGGGGUAUUGAUAACUGUCCACCAAAAGAGUGAACACUUGGAUGCUGCUCAAGGAUCUCUAAUCAAUAGCUGGAAGCAACUGAGAAGGCGGUCGCUACUGUUUACAAAGCGAUGCAGUAUUUGCCAUUCAUCUUAAUAAUUAUGAAGCUUUGGUAAAAUUUUCAAACAAAGUUGAACACAUGUUGUUUUGAGAUUUGGUUCAUGAUUUUGGAUGAAUAUCGUUGUUCCGUUUGAGUUGGAUGUGAAUUCAAAAUCUAUAUAUUCUUUGGUUUUCAAUUCUGAACUCAAUUUCUUUUUCUCAAGCAUGUUAUGCAGAAAUGAUUUUUUACUAAAUCAUUUUUGAUGAAUUGUUUAAAUUAAACAAUUGGAAUAAGAAUUGAAAAGGUUUAUCAUAAGCAUGCUAAUAUGAUAAGUUGUUUUAUGAACGAUUAAUUAAUUAAUCAAUUAAUAUUAAAUUAUCUAUUAGUCAAUUAGAUAUGCGUUACAUGUCAUGUUUAAAAAUUAUUUAUUUAUAUUUCAAACAAAUUUGACUGGAUGUUGUGUAGGUAAUACUACAUAAUUUCAAAACAAAAAAAGUAAUAAAAACACGUUAAAUUUUGUUUUUAUGAAGAAAAAUUUAAAAUUUUAUUAAAUAGGUGAAAAUAAUAAAUGGAUUCGUGUAUGGUUUGAGAUUCUUGACAUAAUUAUGAAAUAAGCCGGAUUCGACUUAGUUCAAUUUUGACGCGAUAAGAAGACGACACCACACAAACACACGAUAAGAACCGUUACCUGAGAAGAUUGCCAUCAGGAAUUUUGAAAUUGAUUUCACUACAAUACCUUAAUCUUUCAGAUACUACCAUCACUGAGCUGCCAGAAGAGCUAAAAGCCUUGGUAAAUCUUAAGUGUUUGAACUGUACACAAAUUAUCUCUCUACAAUUCAAAAACAACUAAUUUGUUACUUUUUCAAUGCUACAUGUUCUGCGAAUAUUGAGUUGUGGUUAUCUUGUUGAAAUAUCAGACAAUAGAGUUCUAUUUGGUGGUAGUGAAUUGUUGGUUGGGGAGUUGCCUAGUUUAAAACGUUUAAAUGUAUUAAGCAUCACCUUACAAGGUUUUUCUGCUGUCCAAAAACUUAUGAGCUCUCAAAAGUUUCAAAGCUGUACAAAAUGUUUGGAGCUUAUAGACUGUGAUGAUUCAAAGUCUUUUGCCUUGGCAGAGUUGAAGCAUCUCGAAAAACUAGUUUUUUGAAUUGUGGAAGAGUUUAAGUUCUGCUUUGUUGAAGUUGGAAAAGCUCAAGAAUGUUUUCGUUUGAACAGUUUUCACCGAGUUAAUAUAAAGGCUUGUCAUAAAUUGAGGGACGUGACAUGGCUUGUAUUUGCUCCAAAUCUUACAGUUAUUCAAAUAGAAAAAUGUAUGCAGAUGGAAGUAAUAGUCAGUGCAAGGAAAUUGGGUGAAGUUCCAGAGAUGAUGGCAGAUCUAAACCCUUUUGCAAAUAUCUUUGCCAGCGAGUUCUACCAAAAUUAAAAAGCGUCUAUUGGAAUGAGUCACCCUUUCCACAUGUCAGGGAAAUUAUUGUAUCUGAAUGCCCAAUUCUCAAGAAGCUUUCACUCGGUUUUAACAAUGCAAAGGAAUCUAAAAUUGUCAUUAGGGGAGAGGAACACUGGUGGAGUGAGCUGCAAAGGGAGGAUGAAGCGACCGUUAAUGCUUUUCUUCCUUGUUUCGGUUCCAUUUGAUAGGCAUCAACAUGGAUUUAUAUUUUGCGGUGGACAACUUGUGGUAAGUGCUUUUCCAUUUAUUACAUGUUUAUAUCUAACUUUUGUUUUCCUUUAUGGUUAAAUUUUACUGUAUAUAUGUUGUUAUACGGUGACAUUCUCGCAUCAAUUAUUAGCUUUUUAAUUCUCUUCUGGCAUUAAUUGCCCUUCUGAUCAUGUAGGAUAUGCCGAUGUCAAAGAGUAGUAAAUUGGGAUACAAAUGUAAGAAUUAGCCAGAUGACAUGUUGUUUUGAAGCUCUCUCGAAGGACUAGUUAUGUCAUUCAAAGCAUCCAAUUUCGCUACUUUUUUUUUCAUUUGUUGCUUUUUAUAUUUCUAGAUAGCUUGAUAUUCGGCCAAGACAUCGAUAGGAGGGCACAUUGUGCAUGCACACUAGUGGAUGAUUUGGGCAUGCCGAAUCCAAUUAGCGUGGAUGACCCUUUAUAAGCAUCAGGCUUCUCUCAUACCAGAGCAAUGUAGAAUAUGUUUAUAAACUGUGGAUUACCCUUUAUAAGUUUAGACUUCUUCUAUACUCGAGCGAUGUGGAAUACCUGUAUAAGCAUUAAGCUUCUCUCAUACACUUUAUGUUAAAAAUAAUAAUAAUAAUAAUAAAAUAAAUCCAUUUUAAAAUAGGCUCUUUUUUUCUUUUUUUAUAUAAACAAAAUGCAUUCUUCAAAUCAAUAGUGGGUGGAAGAAGUGAGUAGAGAAGGACUAGGCCCCUUCAUUCCGCCUAAAACCUCACCGAAACCUCUCUUGUGAACUUCUCAGAUUCUCUCUCAAUAUUUCUUAUGAUCUCGUUUUUGAUAGAAUCACUUCUAUUGCAUGCUGCAUUUUGUGCGUCGUUUUUGGGUAAUAUCUUAUCUGGAAUGCUGUUAUGAUCAAUAGAACAAGUAAUCAAUUUUUGGUUUGACGGAAGUCGAUUUAUUUAUUUACUAUUGUUUUUUAUUUGAAAUUUUGACAGUUGUGUUUCAUUCAUUUCUUUCCUUCUUUUUUUAUUUUAUAUUUAUUAUGUAUAAUUGUGUUUCAUUUGAUAUUGAUCAUACUGUAGAUAACUAUGUGAUUGUAGCUGGGGAUUUUAAGUUUUGUGAAUUCAAGAAACUGUCAAAAUGCUAGUGAAAUUGGGACCUUUAUUCAUAAGCUUGUGGUUUUCAAAAGUAGCCGGGUUCAACUGAUGAAGUUCCUUUUUGGGAUUCUUUUUUUUCUAGGCUGCAAUUCGGAUAUGUACCUGAUAGACAAUCUUUUGUGAGUUUAGCAUAUCUUCUCCGAUUUUGUCUUUUAUUCCCCAACUUUACAGCUACACACCAUGAAUGCUGGGUGAUUGUACAGAAAAUUUGUGUUAGAACAAAAGCAUUGUGAAGGAGUUUCUGUGCUAUAAGUUAUUGGCUUCAGCUUUAUUGGCAUUAAUUGGGUAGAUUAUGUGUUACAGUGAUUCAAUUUGUGAUCCACACUUUAAUUUUCUCUUUUCCCCAAUUAUUUAUGUCAAAUUCAAAUCCAGAAGCAUGCGCUGAUUUUUUUUUUUUUUUGUGAUAAUCUGUGAAGUUUAUUUGGAAAGGACGUAUCUGGGUUUAAUGGAUUAAAUUAUGACAUUGAGGGAAAGGCACUAAAGGUUUUGCUUGACACAUUUGGUCUGUGUUUACUCUGCAAUAAAUAGCUUCGCUUAUCAGAAAUCCCUAUUUGGCUGGUGAAUUUCUCUGUGACAGACAGGCAAACACCUAAACCGCUUCUAUCCAUUUUUCUGCUGGUGAGGUAAGGGGUAAAAAGUCUUCAAAAUCAUCAAAUAGUAACAUCUCUGAGAAUUGGUUUUAGAAAAAUGGAAAAUCUAGACCUACUAGGACAAAAUGGCGUCCGGUAUCAGGAGGUACCGUUUCAAGUUUUCUUGGUAAAGAAUAUAUUAAACCUGCGCAACCAGCUAAUGGCACUUUUCUGGCAUCAAAGCCAUUGAAGUUGGAUCUAAAGGAGUUUUCCCAUGCCUGCAUUGUGCAGAGAAGAAACUAAACAAAAACAAUCAAAGAAUGACCAUUUGCAGAAGGAUACGGAAGAUUUUCUAUUUAAAUUGUUAGGAGAAGGGUCCCAGCUGAACAGGGAUGUGAUUCAGGAGGUUCUCGGUAAUGUCUUAAAUAUACUGAUGCCAAUUUAAUACAUAUUGUCCUUUUCAAUGUUCUUUCUUUCUUUCUUUUUUUUUUCCUUCUUCUUCUUUUUCUUUUCGUGUGCAUGUGAUCACUGAUUUGGUAUUAUGCUUAAGUUGCAGAUAGCUGUGGAUUUGAUAUGCAAAAGGUAAGGACUAUAUCUUCCUGAUGUAGGCCUCUGCUUUUUCCCCUUCUAUGUAAUUUAGUAAUUCACAUCUUCCUUUGUGAUUGUUAUAUCAUAUCGAAGUCAAGUCUUAAAUACUGCUGUCAUAUGUGAAGGUUCAACUUGCAUUUUGAUUAAGAUCCAUUUGCUGCUGCUUCCAAAAGUGAGAAUGAGAUACUUUGGUUAAUUUCAGUGGUUGAACCCAAUAGAGAACUUUAUUUAGAUCUUCAUGGUUCAAAGGCCUGAAAAAACUUGCCCGUAAUUGUAAAAUGACAUUCUGUGCUUUUUAUGCAAUAGGGAACAGGGAAGUAGAGCUUUGGAAAAGCCUGGAUUGAUAACUAUGGAGAGACUUAUUAUUUAAGUGAUGAAAAAUUCCCAUCGCCCGCAGUCAAGAAAAUUUCAGAUAGUUAAAGACUCCAUUUUGCUUCAGCCAAAAAUGUUUGUUUCAAUUAAAGACUUGAACCAUUUUCAUUGAACCUGAUUGUGAUCCUUUACGUUAUGCAUGUUCCUCUCAAUCAAGAAAAGUUGAGGUCAUGAUUCUAUAUUUCUAUAUUGUAACUUGAAAUAAUAAUUGGUCUACUUGUUUCUGUAUCUUGAUAAUAUGAAUUUUCCUUCUCAAGUUAAUUUGUUCAAUAAAGUAAUUCUUCAAAGAAAAUAUGCCCAUUCUAUAAUCAUUUUCUUAGCUCAGAUGUUUUUUCUUCACUCUUCAGAGCAUGUCAAAACUAAUUGAUCGCUUGGCAGAUACUUUGGGUAAGAAGACAAAAUUUCUUGGUAAAUCCUCGGAAAAGGUAUGCAUAAUUCCCGAGUAUUAAAUAACCAAUAGUCAUAAUUUUUGUACAUGACUCUUUUUUCUCUUUUUUGUGGAGAUCAUUAAAAUUGGUUGAUGAUCCAUUUUGUAACAUCAUAGAGGGAUCAUCAAUUCCUUCUCUUUUCUGUGGCUAGGCAACACUUUCAGGCCAAAGUAAGAAAAUCUAUUUUAGGUAAUGUGAAAACCAACGGUAGGAUGUAAUAGUUUAUUAUGCACUGACAAUAACUUUUUGUAUGGUUGGCAGUUUAAUGAAUACAAGAGGAACUUUGUUGACAAAUUCAUCCAAGAUAGAUGCUAAAAUUAUUUAUGCAUGCCAGUUGCCUUAACUAAUUUUUCUUAACACUUGUAUUGAACAGGAAAAUGAAUAAGCAAUCUGUAUAUUGUGCCAUUGUGGAGUAUUUGGAUAUUCUGAUUUAAAUAACAAGGAGAAUACUUGCCUCAUCUUUAAAUGAGGAGUGGGGGAUUGGAAGUGUCUUCAUGUAAAUGUUCAUUUAUUUGUAUUUUGAACUAUUAUGAGAAUCUUAUAUGCCAAAUCAGUAAUACAAAUCUUCAGAUGAUUUUUGCUGUUGAUCAUGGGUUUGUGUCUGCACACAACCAUUGUAUAUCACUUUAUUCUGAUGUGCAGGUAUGUGUAGCUUAGAAGAAAUGGAAUAAUAAUCAUCUAUUAUUGCUUGGUUCAUGAUUAUUAAACGAUUAUGGCUUUAAAAAGUCUACAAAUUCCUUCUGUUCAUAUAUGAAUGUGCCAAGUUUGCUAUAUCUUAGAUUAUCUUCUUCCAAGAUAACAAGUUCAUAUUCUUUUUAAUCUUUUUCCCUCACAGUUGACUUUUAGGUGUUAAGAUUUGUUAUUAGUCCCCUGUUAUUAUGAUUUCAUAAACAGUGUACGGAUAUGUGCUCUAACUUUGGAGGACCUCCACAUGAAAGAAAAUUGCAACAAUUGAAUUCUUCCGGAGGGUAUGGUCUUUAAUUUAUUUUCUCAACUUCUCGUAAGAUUAAUAUAUUUCAUUCAGUAGGCACAGCAUGGGGGGAAGGGUUUUUAUUGAAAGAAUUCUGAUAUUUCUUAGACUUUGUUUUGGAAGGGGGGUGGAGGGAUUUCUCAUCCAUGUAUGGUUACUUGAUUAGCUUUUGACUGUAUUUCCUCAGUCAUGUAAAGGAAGAUCCAAAUACCAACGAAGGAAUAUUGCCUAGACACCCGAAAGACAGAAAUGAGCUACAGAAGCAAGUUUUACUACUUUAUUUAGUGCUCCUGAGAAAUCUGAUGGAGACCGAAUGGAGGUCCAAAGCAUUGGAAAAGGUAGUGAGUGAACCGCCGGAGGAGUUGGCACCAGAAUGCAAGGCUAAUGUGGUGCACUUGCAGCAAGAUAACCAAACCGGUAUGUGCUCUUAUAUUAACUAGACUGACUGGAUUUGUGAGUGUGUGCAUUUUUUUGUGUAUACUCUUGUAUUUAUGCAUAUUAAUGUGUGUAGGAAUUUCUGCCACUUACUGGAGAACUAGUGGAAAGCUUUAUAUCGAUAUAUCUGCAAUAACUAAUUGGAAACUAUGAUAUUAAUAUUUUCUCUCACCUGAGGAACUGUGUAACAGAUAUACUUUGUGGCUCUGGAGUACUAGAAAUUCUGCAAUAACUAAUGGAAACUAUGAUAUGAAUAUUUUAUCUCAACUGGAGAACUUUGUAACUUGUAGCUCUGGAAUGUCUAAGGAAUUUUGUCUGCUUCAGUUAGAUCAAAUAUCUUUUAGUUGCAUACAUUAUAGAAAAAGAUAAAGUUCUCUGAAUCUGAAAGACUGAAACAUUUUGUAUAUUUUGUGAAAGGGAAAUAUCUGUAGAUACUAGUUCAUGCAUUGAGGUAACAUCAAUGUUAAAGAAAAACAGCAAUAAGUUAUUAUGUGGAACUAGGUUCACUUGCUUUAAAUGCUGGUCUGGUCAACCAUAUGAACCUGUAAGUUCUGCAGAAAUAUAUAUACGGGGAGAAACUAGCUAAAUUUUCCGUUCAUUGAUGGCUUUGGUCAUUUUUUUCCCCUUAUUUUUCAGCUGUCCUUCUCCUGAAGUAUGUUAACAACUGCAGAUAAUGAUGAAGAGGACAGCUUGCAGGCUCUUCUUAGAGCCAUGAUGGAAUAUAGGGGCACAAUGAAGGAACAUUGCAAAGCUGUAGGUUCUUUUUCUCCUGUCAUUUAUGUUUUCUCACACAUUUUUUAUAUGCUCCAAGCAUGCAAUUUUGUAUGUGUCAACUGCUUUCUAAGUUUUAAAAACCAUAAUGUAAGAAUACAGUUUCUUGUCAGGCUAUUGAUGCAUUUGCUCAGGGGGAUCAUGUUCGAGCAGGAAAACUUCUAGAACAGACAAGGUUUUCCAUCUACAGCCAUCUAUUGACAACAGAUAUAUUUUCAUUCAGCAAACACUGUUAGCAUUCAAGAUACUGGCAGAUUCACUUGAUUCUUAUUAGUAAUGUUUAGUAGCAAAGGAUAUAACCUGUAUUUCAAAGCCAAGUUGUGCUAUUGAUUAUGUUAGCUUUAUUGUUCACAUAAAGUGAUAUGGAGGAAAUAAUGUGAAGUGAUAUGGAGGAAAUAAUCAAUGUAGGAAAAUUAGGUGAAGAAAUGAUGUCAAAUCUUGAACCUCUUACAAAACUCCAAGCUCUUUACUUGAAUAAGCUACUAAAUUUGAACAGGGUCCACUGGAAGGCCUUGCCAUUCUCUGAUGCAUGCAGAAUUUUUGCAUUUAAAUGCCCAGAGCUUAAGAAGCUGCCACUGGAUCUUGAAAGGGCAGGCCAAGGUAAAAUUCUUAUCAAGGGAAAGGAAGAUUGGUGGAAACAACUUCAAUGGGAGGAUCAAGUAACUCAGAAUGCAUUGCUUCCAUUUUUAAAACAACCAGCAAGUGAUUGAAGGGGGCAUCAUCAACGUCAUCAACAUGGAUGGAGAGAUUCAGGAGCAGAUCAGCAGGAUUUAGUACGACCUGUGGUGGUUUCUUUUUUGUGACUUUUUUCCCUUUCAUUUUUUCACUUCCUGUCAUAUUAUCAUUUCUUUGUCUCUGUUUCUAUUGCUGGUGUUGCUGCAUGCUUGCUGUCCUUGACAAAGUUAGCUAGUUUUUUUUUUUUUAAUUAAAUUUUGUAUGUUCGGUCGGGACAGUCACAAAGUACUACUUGUUCUAUAUGGGGGUGAUGUGAAUCAACUUUUCAAUUAUAUAUUCUGUGGUAAUUGCGAAUUCAAUUUCAUUUGUCUCCAGCAAAUUAUGAAGAAAGUGCAGAGUUACAAUAUGGAGAAGUUCACUGGCAAAUACUUUGUAAAAGCUUCGGAGUGAAACAGGAAAUGCACUUGCAGCUAAGGACAAAUUGGUGGCCAGCUAAUGCCUUCAUUUUAUGUACAUUCAUCUUUUUAAUUAUUGAAGAUAAGUGGUUCGUUGCUUUUGUUAAGAUUAUAAGUUAGCGUCGGUGCAGGAUUUGCAGCAACAAAUCUUGACUAGCCACGUGUCAAAAGCACAAAUAAAUCAAGGGAAAGCACAUGACAUGGAUUAGGAUCUAAUAAAAUUUAAAUCCCAAGGAAAAUGACAACUGCAUUAUGAAGUUUCAAUAAGGGAUACUGACUAAUGAUAUUUUUUGGCUUUAUUAAUAAAAAAAGAAUAUUUUAUAACAAAUUAAAACAUAAUAUUAAGCUAAAUGUGAUAAUUAUAUACAUUUUAAAUAAUUUCAAUAAAAAAACAUUUUAAUGUUUUACGAUCUAUCAUACAUAUUUUAUUAAAUUAAUAUGAAUUUUUUUUUAUAAAUAGCAACAUAAUAUUACAACAAAUUUAUAAGGAUUUAAAUGUAAAAUAAUUUUAGUAUAAAUAAUACGUGGGAUAUAUUUUGUAAAUUAUAAAAUUAUUUAACACAAAGUUUUUUAAAAAAUAUUUAAAAUAAAUAAAAAUAAAUUAUUCACAUCUUGAUUUAAAUAUUUAAAAUAUUUUUAUAUAUUAGUCUACAAUUAUUUAUGUUAUAUUUUUAUUUAUUAGAAAUUUUGAAAGUCAAAUGUUUUCACCUCUAAGAGAAAGACACAUAUGCUUUAUAGCUUUAAAAUCGGUCUGUUUUAUAUCUGGAAACAAAUAUAUCAUUAUUGGUAAGGAUUAAAAAAAGGGAUAAAGAAUAUUAAUGAUUAAUGAAAUCUCUAUGGAAAUUGAAUUUAGUAGGAAAAAAUUGAGCUAAAUGAUUUAGACAUUUAGUGGUAUAGUAAUAUUUUAUAUAUAGAAAUGUAAAAGCUGCACCCGAGGUUAAGGGAAAUGUUCAAAACUCUUUUUUACUCAUAAUACCCUUUGUCCUAACUAACUUACAAAUUCGACUCUAAUAUUUUAUAAUAAAUAAAAAUGUAAUCCUAAAAUAAAUAAAAUAAGAUAUAUUUUAAAAUAAUCUCAAUAUUUAAAAUAUACUUUAAUAUUUUAUAGUCUAUCAGACAUAUUUAAUUAUAUUAAAGUAAAUUUUGUAAUAAAUACAAACAUACUAUUAAAAUAGAUAUAUAAAAAAUUUAAAGUAUUUUGGAUAUUAUAUAAAAGAACUUUAAUAUUGUUAAUACGUGAGAUAUAUUUUAUUAAUUAAAAAUUCUAUUUAACCCAAAGAUUUAUUUAAGAUAAAUUAACAAUCAUAUUUGUGAAAUUAUUUCAAAUAUUAAAAAAUAUUUUAAUAUUACUAACUAUUAGAUAGACUAAACUAUUUAUAUUAUUUUCUAUUUAUUAUAAAAUUUCAAAAUUAAUCUUUUUAACUACUAUUCAAAAGAUAUUAUGAUAAAAAUAAUUUUUUUGUGUUUUUAUUAAAAAUUUGGAAUUUGCAUAACUCUUUUUUUAAAUAUUGGGGUAUAGCUGUCUUUUCCCUUUUAUAUAUACAAACCACAGUGGUGAAAAAGCUUGAUUUAAUGUUAUUUAUUUAAACAACACCGAUAUUCACACCACAUUGAGCACCAUAGUUUUUUUUUUUUUUUUGAAAAGAAAGUACACCUUUCAUUGAAUUAAGAGAAAAGAAACAAAACAUCCUCUGGAAAUUCAUCCAGCCAAAUACAAGGGUCUGACUUUUUGAAAGCCAACUUUGCCAAAUCAUGCGCUAAAAAGUUACACAUCCUAAGGACGUGCUGAGCUUUAAAAUUCUGAAAGAUUUUCUUAGCUUCUAUAAUAUCAAAAAUCACCCAAAAGGUGUCUGUCAAAGUGCUUCUCUUGUUAUUGAUUAGCUCUAUCACCCCUUUAGAAUCAGACUCUAAGAUAACUGAAGUUGCCCCUGCCUUGGCAGCUGCCUGCAUUCCCCACAAAACAGCUUUUGCCUCACUCAACUCCACAUCUCCUGAGCUCUUAAAAGUGCUAACAGCUGCAGCAACUGUUUCUCCCUUAUGGUUUUUAACUACUGCUCCCAGCCCAGCAAGAUAAUUCACCCUAUCCAUAGCAUCAUCAACAUUUACCUUAAGCCAUCCUUCUUCGGGUGGACUCCAUUGGCUUUGCUGAACAUUGUUUUGUUCUGCUAAGAAAUCCUCUUCUGACAUUGAGCACCAUAGUUAAGUACAAAACGGUGCGUUUUGUUCACGCAUGUUAGUAAACACCCACGCAACUUACACACAUACGCGCGGCUCACAACACGCGCUCUCCUCGCCCUAAAUCUCACCUGAUUGAAGCCACAAAUUUGGCCACGUUCUCCCACAGCUCUCUCCGUUCUGACCGUUUACUCUUCCUCUAGCCCCAUCGAUUACAUCUCUCAUAGCACCUCAUUCAACCGACGUAAUUGCCAGAAAACAACCUACCUGGUAAUAAAAGUCGAUUCUCUUACAAUUUUGGCCCAAAAAAAAAAAUUGCACAACUGAAAAAUCAAAAUGCCACUCUUUAAAACCAAAAAUCAAUUUUGGGCCCCCUUCAUCACCGCCUUCACUCUAGAUUUUUUCAAUCCACUUUGUCGUCAAAACCGUGGUGUUCUUAAACCAUUAUUAUAUUCACCAUCCCCUUAAUCACAUCCAACCAUCCCCAUUAUUCGUUUGUCAAACACGCUGUUCUCUUCCCAAAUUAAUUAAUUAAUUAAUGACAGACAGGAACAAAAGUACUUUAAAUCUCUGCCAAAUCGUAUUGUUAUUACUUCUUCCGAGUCGAGGCCACGUCGUUCUCGAUGGAAACCAUUGCUUUUUAUUACCACUCUUGAGGAGUUCGAAGCAUUCUCGACGGAGACCCGCGCAAGCUGUGGAAAGAGAGAGAGUCAACGGUGAAAAGAGAGCAUGGUGAGAUGUGUGAGCGACGGGGGGAGAGAGAGAGAGAAAGAAAGCCGACGGAGAGAGCACAUAGAGCUGAGAUGCGUGAGUUGGGUGAAGAUUUGGUGAGCGUUGUGUCAGUUGCCCGUGUGUUGUGUGAGCUCUGUGCCAUGUGAUAUGCGUGCUACUUUGAGAAUUUAUAGAUAGCACAAAACUCAAUCUAUAUCCAAUUCAUACCUAGAUAGAUGCGGAUUUGACUCAAUUUAUAUCCAAUUCGUCAUUUGCGAACUAAAAAUUUUUAAUUCUCUCAAAUUCACAAACUAACUAAAUAAAUAAAAAUUUAAUAUAAAAAUAACUGUACUACCGAUCAAAUUUAAAAUUAAAUAAUAUUUAAAUAAAUUAAUUGUUUAAAUAAAGUUAGAAAAUACAUUCAAAAUUUUAAAAUAUAACACAGUAAAAAGAAAAAAUCUCAUUUGUUUAGACCUAUGUAUGAAAAUUAAUUGUUUAGGAAUCUAUAUUUAUUUAUUUUUAUAUUAUUAUCGGAUAAGAUAUAAUAUGGUGUUAAUGUAACUAUAUUUUAACUUAUUUAUUUAUAAGACCAAUGCUAUAUGUACAAGUUUAAUUUUUUAAUUAAAUAAAUAUUUUUUUUUGCGGAAUUGUGGAUUUUUGCGGAUUUACAAAAGUAAAUCUAUAUCCAAUCCACCGACUAUGGAUUUUCAAAUUUUCAAAAUUUCAAAUUUUCAAAUUUUCAAAAUUUCAAAUUUUCAAAUUUUCAAUCCAAUCCAAUCCACCAAUUCACAAAUUCGGAUUUUUACGGAUUAGAUUUCUACAGAUUAAACGAAUUGAGCAGACCAUAUUUGAUUUUGAACAUUGCUAAUUUGUAUGUUAAGUAUAACAUAAUCAAUUAUUUGGAUAAUCCCUUGUGUUUUAUCUCUAAUUAGAGCAUCAAUCUUCACAAUAUCUACAAAGCUACAAUGGCUACAAAACAAACCUGCUUGCAAAUUGUCAAGGAUACUUAUCCUUUCUCUUGACAAGUCAUUUGGAAAAAUACUGUCCCUUGGCGGCUCCAUGACUUCUCUGCUCCUCCUUUUGGUCUUAAUGUACGGUUGCAUAAUGAUAGUUUAGGCCCUUUAGGGACUACUUUCCCUGGGGUUGUUAAGUCUUAGCUUGUGCUAGGCUCGUUUUUCUUACCAAAAAAAAAGGGAAUACUUCUCCUAUAAGAAAUAAUCUCUAUAUAUAGGGUGGUUGGAUUCACUUGUUUACAUAACAGAUCAAUUAGUUCUCUGUAAAUAGAGAGUUUCUAGUAUAAGAGAAACGGUAGAUCUAUUGAGAGAUUAUGUGUUAUUAAAAUUUUAGUUGCGAAGAAAAGUACUAGAGUGAUUGUAUUAAUUUUUUACAUAGUAGAUUUUUCUAUCGUCAUCUUUAUGGCUGUGAUUUUUCUUCCAUAUAGAAGUUUCUCACGUAAAUUUUUAUGUUGUGUGAUUAGUUUUAUUCUCUAUCUAUUUUUUGUUUAAUAUUUUAUUUGUAAGAUGCUGGAUGGGAUUAAAAUUUCUUAACAAAUAACGGAUUAAAAAUCAUGAAGAAAAAGCUCAAGAGAUCUUCAAGAUUUGAAGUGUGCAAAAGUUCAUAUUACUGCUAGAUGAUAUAUGGGAGCGGGUUGAUUUAGUAAAAAUGGGUGUCCCUCUUCCUAGAUCAGAAAACAGCACAUCCAAAGUGAUAUUUACAAACCCGUUCUGAGGAAGUUUGCGGCUUAAUGGAAGUUCGUAGGAGUUUUAAAGUGGCGUGCUUAUCAAAUAAAAAUGCUUGGGAAUUGUUUCUAUACAAAGUUGGGGAAGUGAAAGAAAACAGAGAUGUACUGUUUGGUUGAAUAGAAAAUUACAGAGAAAAUUCUCAAUACUUGUAUUUGAUAAGAUUCAAUUCUUAAGAGCUUUUACAAAUCAGUACAAGUAUUUAUAUUAUUCCUUACACGUGAGAAUUGCUAGUAACUCACUAACUAACUAACUUUCUUUGAGCUGGAUCACUAACACUUGACUAAUCACACUGAGCUGUUAUUCUUCACUAACAACCUUCUGCUGACGUGGCUUCACCAAGCUACUUGAAUAAUGAGCAGCCUUGACAGCCCCCCUCAAACUCAAGGGACAAGACAUGACGUUGAGUUUGGCCCUAAGAUAGUUAAAAUGGAUGAAUGAGAGUGGCUUGGUCAUGAUGUCAGCUACCUGCUCCUCACUUGGUAUAUAUUGAAUGUUUAGUUCUCCAGCAAGAACUUUGUUUCUAACAUAAUGAAUAUCAAUCUCAAUAUGCUUUGUUCUUGAGUGGAAAACUGGAUUGUGAGCUAACUCUGUUGCACUGAGAUUGUCACACCAAAUAACAGGUUUCUCUAUGCAUUGUAAUUUCAACUCAGAAAACAGUGAUUGCAGCCAGCUUAUCUCGGCACUUGCUGAGGCUAGGGACCUAUACUCACUCUCUGCACUGGACCUAGCAAUAACAGGCUGCUUCUUAGACGACCAAGAUAUCAGAUUAUGACCAAGAUAGAUGCAAUAGGCUCCAAUCGAUUUUCUGUCAUCCAGAUCCCCUGCCCAGUCUGCAUCUGUGAAUCCUGUUAGUUUCAGAUCACCAUCCUUAAUAAUUUUGAGUCCAUAGUUCUGUGUAGCCUUUAGAUAUCUGAGCACUCUUUUGCAAGCCAUAAGGUGCUGCAGUGUUGGUGCAGAAACGUAUUGACUCAGCUUGUGAACACUAAAGGCAAUUUCUGGUCUUGUUAAUACCAAAUAUUGCAUCCCACCAACAAUGCUUCUGUAAUGUGUUACAUCUUCAACAUAACAACCAAGAUUACCUUGAGCUUCCUUCUGUAGCUUCAUUCCUGUACUCAUAGGAGUAUCAAUAUCUUUGCAAUUUAUCAUCUCAACUCUUGACAGCAGAUCCCUUAUGUAUUUCCUUUGAGAUAAGAAAAUACAAUCUUUAUCAUACAGUACUUCAAUGCCUAAGAAAUAAGAGAGAACUCCAAGAUCCUUCAAAGCAAACUUUGUACUGAAUUCUGUAAUGAAUUUUUCCAGCUCAAAGCUAUUUGGUCCUGUUAUUAAAAUGUCAUCAACAUAUAUAAGAACUAGAAUCAUAGAUGACUUAUUUAUUUUCAAGAAUAAGGAGGUAUCUGAGCUGGAAUUUGUGAAUCCCCACUGCAACAAACAGCCUUUCAACUUAUCAUACCAAGCUCUUGGAGCUUGUUUAAGUCCAUAAAGAGACUUGUGAAGCUUGCAUACAAAGUCUGGUUUCUCAAAGCUGAUAAAUCCCUCUGGUUGAUCCAUGAACACUUCCUCUGUUAAGUCUCCAUUAAGAAAGGCAUUAUUCACAUCAACUUGCCUUAUCUUCCACUGAUUCAUCACAGCUAAACUCAAGACUACUCUUACAGUUGCUGGUUUUAUGACAGGACUGAAAGUUUCAAAAUAAUUCACUCCUAUAAUUUGUUGAAAUCCCUUUGCAACUAACCUAGCUUUGUAUUUAGCUACACUUCCAUCAGUGUUGUAUUUAACCCUAUACACUCAUUUGUUUCCAACAACUCUUUGAUCAUUUGUUUUUGGCACUAAGGACCAUGUACCACUCUGCAUCAAAGCUGCAUAUUCUUCUUUCAUGGCUGUAAACCAUUUUGGGUUUUGCAUAGCCUCAUAUACAGAAUCAGGUUAUUUGUGAACAAGGGUUGCUGUAUAAAGCUUUGGUUUGAAGAUACCAGUUUUGCUUCUGGUAGUCAUUGGAUGUGUAUUAGGUUGGACUGGAAAAGAUAUAUCAGGUGUAGGUUGAGCUAAUAAGGAUAUGUCAGGUGCAGGUUGUGGUGAAUUUUGAGGCUCUGUAGAUGGUUCAAUAAAUGUGGUAUGUGUUUGUGAAUAGGAAUGUUGAUUGUCAGUAUGAAAUGGAUUAUCUGAAUGUUGUGAACUGCUGCUGGUAGAAAUUGCAGAUAGAGGAUUGCAUGAGCUAUUUCCAUCUGAUACUGGUGUUGUAGAUAAUAUGGUCAGAUGAAACACUGGUUGGGGUGUAAGGGAUUGACUCGAAUAAGAUGAUGAUUCAUUAGAAUGAAAAACUGAGUCUGUAGAAUAAGGAAAUGUUGACUCAUAAAAAACAACAUGUCUGGCUAUGUACAUCUUGCCUGAUGAAUGCAAGCAUUUGUAACCUUUGUGAACUGGACUGUAGCCAAGGAAAAUGCAUUUGCUUGAGUGAUAAUCAAAUUUGUGUUUGUUGUAAUCCCUUAGAUAAGGAUAACAUGUGCAACCGAAACACUUGAGCAUGCUGUAAUCAGGUUUAAGUUUAAAAAUUGUCUCAUAUGGGGUAAGAAGUUUCAGAGCUGUUGAGGGUAAUCUGUUUAUAUGGUAAACAGCUGUAAGAAAAGCAUCCCACCAAAAUUUAAAUGGUAGCUUAGCUUGUGCUAAUAGGGUUAGUCCUAGCUCAACAAUGUGUCUAUGUUUUCUUUCUACCACCCCAUUUUGGUGAUGUGUAUAAGGACAAGAAUGUCUGAAAAUGAUUCCACAUUGGUUUAAGAAUUGAGUAAAUGAUCUGUAUUCUCCCCCCCAAUCAGAUUGCAGGUUUUUAAUGGGGCUGUCAAAUUGGUUUUCAACCUGCAAUUUGAAUAGUUUGAAUACAUCUAAUGCCUCAGAUUUCAACUUAAGAGGAUAAAUCCAAGUGUAUCGGCUAAAAUCAUCAACAAAACUUAUGUAAUAGACAUAGCUAUCUCUAGAAGGUGUAGGUGAGGGUCCCCAUAGGUCUGUAUGUAUAAGCUCAAGGGGUUUUGUUGUUUUGGUUUCUGUGCUGGGAAAAUGCAGCCUAUGGGAUUUGCCCAUUUGACAUGCUUCACAGAUAUGCUCAAGUGUUUGUUUUAUGUUAUUUCUUGAGAGAUUAACUGAAGUAAUUCCUUUUAGCAAAUGCAUUAGAAUUUGAGAAUUAGGAUGGCCAAAACGUUUGUGAAGAAGAAGAAUUUUAUUAUUCAAUGCAUCACAAGAUGAAAUGUAGCUGGAAAAUUUAUUUAUUGAUGCAUUACAAACUGUGACACAACUGGAAUCAUUAUUCUGAGUGUUUUUAAGAACACUUGAAUCAAAAGAACAUGCAGAUAACAUUGACAAAGGUUGAGUGGAUGAAGGUUGACCCAUGUAAGAACAAGGAAGAGACUCAGAUGGUCUUAGAAGUAGCUUAUACAAUCCUUUCUCAGCAAUUCCUGUCAGAAGCACUUGCCUCUUCAGAGAAUCCUUCACAUAGCAAACAUUAUCAACAAAUUCAAUAGAGAUAUUGUUAUCAGCAGUUAAUUUUGAUAUGCUGAGCAGGUUCUUUGUGAUAUCAGGUACUAAUAACAUGUCAUUCAGUAAGAUAUGUGUUGGUUUAUAUGCAGCAUUUGAUCCUUUAUAAGUAAAACAUGGAUUACCAACAUGAGUUAUAGGCAAACCUUGGCCAUUGCCGAUGACAAGUUGAUUAGAUCCUCUGAAUUCCUCUCUGACAUUCAUGUUGGCCAUACUGUUAGUCAAGUGAUGUGUGGCACCAUUGUCAAGGUGCCAUCCUUCAUCAGCAGGCCCUUCAUAGUUGGUAAGAUAGGCUUCAGGAAUUACUGUGUCUGUUGAUGGAUAAGAGGAGAAGGAUAAAGGAUUGUAGCUUGAGUAGGGUGCAGCAUACUGUUCUUCAGUUGAAGGAGCAGCAUAGGUUAGAGAUGGAUCAAAGUUAGCUGUGUAUGCAGCCUUAGAUUCAAAAGAUCUGCCCCUUCCAAAAUGCCUAGGUAAUGGUUGAGGAUUGUCAUCAUAUCUAUGCCAGCAUUCAUCUGCUGCAUGUCCUGUUUUGUGGCAUAUCUGACAUAUGGUUGGUAAUUCAUCAGCAUGCAUGUUAGCUGAAGGAUGAAAGUUUGGCUUCAUAGGUGGCCUAAAAGGUUGCAUCAUCUGGCCCCUGCCAUAACCCCCAACAUUACCAACACCAGGUGAAAAACCUCUGGGAUGUGGAUUGUGAAACAUGCCUCUUCCAACAUUAAAUCCUCUAGUCAUAGGUCGACCAUAAUUUCCAUUUCCAACAACACCUCUUCUAAAAUUUCCUCUCAUAUAAGGAUGAUUCACAUUCAUUGUGCUAUAGUUUGCAUUAAACACAGUUUUGGCACUUUGAUUUUGUUCAAGUCUAGCUUCAUGAGUCAGUAAUAAUGCAUAAGCAUCAUCAUAGCUCAUCUUAUUAGCUGUGAUUAUGGAAGCUAGAUCUAGAUAACCUGAACCUAAGCCAUUCAAAACUCUCAUUAACAGAUCCUUUUCAGUGAUUACAUCACCAGCACAAGCAAGUUUGUUGGCGAGUAAUUUCAUUUUAGCACAAUAUUCCUCAACAUUCAUUGAAUCUUUUCUUAAGAUAUUCAUUUCAUAUCUGAGUUGCAUAAUCUUAGCCUCAGAUUGAACUCCAAACUGUUUUUCAAUAGAUCUCCACACAUCAAAUGAAGUGUCAUAGCUAAGAACAGAACUAAGAAUACCUUCACUUAUAGUUGAGAGCAGCCAGCCAAGGAGUAUUUGAUCUUGUGCUCUCCAGUUGCUGUAGGCUGGAUUUUCAAUGCUCUCACCAGAUCCUUCGAUCAUUGAAUCAACUAGAUACUGUUCUGGAAUAAUUUGCGGCUCUAGAAUGAAUCUUUCAAGGCGAUUUCCUCUGAUUGAAGUUACCACUUGUUUGCGCCAAAGCAAGAAAUUUGAUCGAUCAAGUUUCACAGUUGCAGCAAAAGUAAAUGAUGUUUGUGUAUGUUGAUUUGAGUUUAUGAUUGUUUGAUUUGAGAUUGUAUUGCUUGAGCUGGCCAUUUGUGGCUCUGAUACCAUGAAAGAAAACAGAGAUGUACUAUUUGGUUGAAUAGAAAAUUACAGAGAAAAUUCUCAAUACUUGUAUUUGAUAAGAUUCAAUUCUUAAGAGCUUUUACAAAUCAGUACAAGUAUUUAUAUUAUUCCUUACACGUGAGAAUUACUAGUAACUCACUAACUAACUAACUAACUUUCUUUGAGCUGGAUCACUAACACUUGACUAAUCACGCUGAGCUGUUAUUCUUCACUAACAACCUUCUGCUGACGUGGCUUCACCAAACUGCUUGAAUAAUGAGCAGCCUUGACAGGAAGAAACUUUGAACAAUCAUCCUGAUAUCCUUCAGAAAGCACAAUAGUUGUUAAGGAGUGUGGUGGUUUGCCACUUGCACAUUUUACCAUCGGUCGAUUUAUGGCAUGCAAGAAGACACAGCCGAAGAAUGGAGAUAUGCUAUUCAAGUGUUCAAUUCGUCCGCUUCCCGUUUCCAGGUCUGGAAGAAUGGAUAUAUACUCUUGUAAAAUUCAGUUAUGAUAGUUUACCCAAUGACACAAUUACACCUUGUCUGUUAUAUUGUAGUUUAUAUCCAGAAGAUUGUUGCAUUUCUAAAGAGAAUUUGGUAGAUUGUUAGAUCAGUGAAGGAUUUUUUAAUGAGAGUGAUUGGUUUGGAGAAAAAAUCAAGGAUACUUCAUUUUGGGCAUUCUUCUUCACGUUUUUUUUUGGAAAAGGGAGGAGAUUGUGAAAUGAAAAAUGCAUGCAUGACGUUAUUCGUGAUAUGGCUUUGUGGAUCGCAUGCGACUAUGAGAAGGAGAAGGAGAACUUUUUGGUUUACGCUGGUGUUGGUUUAACUAAGGUACCGGAUAUUAGAGAUUGGGAAAAGGUAAGGAGAUUGUCAUUGAUGAAAAAUAAAAUUGAGAAUCUAUCCGAGGCUCAUACAUGCCCUCAUCUCCUCACUUUCUUUCUUGACGAUAAUGAGUUUCGGAAGAUCCCCGGUGAUUUCUUCCAGUUUAUGCCUUCUCUCACUGUUUUAAACUUGUCAUGUAUUAAACUAAAGUCAGUUCCUUUAGGGACUUCAAGGUUGGUUCCACUACAACAACUCGAUCAUUCAUAUUCAAGCAUAAAAGAGUUGCAAGAAGAGUUAAAUGCCCUGAUUAAAGUUAAAUGCUUGAAUAUAGAUCAUGUAGAGGAGCUAAUUACAGUUCCACAACAACGGAUAUUUAAUUUUUAAGGUUAUAUGUGUUGAGAAUGUUCGAUACUAUUAGUUUAAAUUUUCAAGAAGCAUUAAAUAAAGACAGCAUUUUAUUUGGUGGGGAGGAAGUUUAAGCAGAGGAGUUGCUCGGUUUGGAAUAUUUGGAGGUAUUGAGCUUCACUUGAGAGGUGUUCGUGCUCUCCAAUUUAUUUUGAGCUCACAUAAGCUACGAAGUUGUACUCAAGCGCUGUUCCUCCAAUCCUUCAAUAAUUCGAUAUGGCUUGAUAUUUCACUUUUGGCAGAGUUAAAAGCACCACUGCAGAUUUAAGUAUUUUUGGCUGUAGAAAAUUGGAGGACUUGAAGAUGGAAUAUACAGGGGGAGCGAAAAACAAGCGGCAACCUUGUGUUUUCUAAGGCCUACAUACAGUUCACAUAGAGGUUUGUUCUAAAUUGAAGGACUUAACAUUCCUUGUUUCUGCUCCAAAUCUCAAGAACUUGGAAAUACAAAAUUGCCCUGCUGUGGAAGCAAUCAUCAGUGUGGGAGAAUUUGCGGAAGCUCUAGAGGUGGUGGAAAAUCUAAACCCAUUUGCAAAACUCCAGUAUCUUGGACUAGAAAAUCUGCCAAAUGUGGAGAGCAUCUAUUGCAAGCCUCUGCCCUUUCCAUGUUUGAAAAGAAAUGACUGUGGAUAGUUGCGGUUGUCUUAAAAAGCUUCCACUCUACUCCAACAGUGUAAAAGAGUGUACAAUUGUUAUUUCAUCAUUCGGAGAGUUAAUGGUGCAAUGAGAUUUGGCAGUUAACUCUCGUGGGAAGAGCUUGAAUGGGAAGACGAAGCCACUCGAAUUGCUUUUCAUUCAUGUUUCAAAUCUCUGAUUGGAUUGGAGAUUGCAUUUCGCCUCAGGUUCGUACUUUUCUUGAAUUUUUCUUGUUAACUUCAUUUGUUCAUUUAUCCAUUUUUUUUUAAAGGAAUCAGAAGGGUUAAUAAUUUUGGUUGUGUUAGGUCGACUUCUAAUCACGAGGCAGAAGGAGUUGAGAUGAAGUUUAAUUUUGGUGGAGAAAUUGUUUGAUUUAAAAAAUUUAAAUGAGUUGACCAUCAUUCUUUAGCAUAUUUGUAUGAACAGGAGUGUGUAAAUAUGCAAACUGUCCAGCUGUAUGUGUAUAGCGUAAUAAUUUUGAGGAGUUAAAACAUUGAAGAAUAUUGAUGUUUCCAUUGUCAAACCAAAUAUACUUAAUUACUUGAGGAUAAUGAUUACUGCUAAUACAUUUGCUAAUACAUUUGCAAAGAAAAAAACAUGCCUAUUGAAAAACUCAUCUUAUUAGCAACAGCAUUAUAAGUAGUAUCCAAUCAUAGUUUCAUGCAAGAUUUUGAGAUUUUUCAAAUGCUGAUUCCGGGAAUGGAGAUUAAUAGAUAAUGGAGACAGGUUGACUGCAAUGGCUAAUUGCAAGAGGGAAUUUUAGUCGUAAAAACAGACCAACUAGCAAAGCAAAUUCCAAAUCUUGGAAUGAAGUGGCAAAAAAACGAAACAAACAAAUGGCAAGAGGAAGUGACUAUACAAUAAUAACAUCGACUUGCAAUUCAACAUUUAUACAGUUUUACUCACCAAGAAAAGAGAAAAUUACAAUAGCAAUUUGGCUACUAGAAGAUGUUCAUUCAUGCUUAUGCCUGUCAUAUGGAUUUGAAACAAGGAGUAAAAGCAUUUAGAGUGGCUUCAUCCUUCCACUGCAGCUCAUUCCACCAGUGUUGCUCUCCCCUAAUAACAAGUUUGCGUUCCUUGGCGCUGUUGUAAUCGAGUGGAAGCUUCUUGAGGUUCGGGCAUCCAGAUACAAACAAUUCUAAGAGAUUUGGAAAGUGCACUUAAAUUCUUAUGAAUUGCUUAAGUAUGCAAGCAGCAGAGCAGAAAACAAACAACCUUUUCAUAUAUUAUAAUAACAUGAAUAAUCAGAUAUACACAUCCUUCACAUAUUUAUACUAAACGUGAAAAAUGGUAGCUUGCUCAAAGGGAAAACAGAAAUGAAUAAAACAAAAGAUUACAGCUGCACUAGCCAAUCAUUGGAAACAUUCUAGAAACUCCAGCUUGCAGUAUUCACGUGUAAAUAUUCUCCUGCAUAACAGUUUUGCCAGCUCAUUGAAUACACCUCAACUUCUUCAUCAGCUGGUUGCUGGAUAUGGCUGCUCAGGUGGCAUGCCAGCAUGGCCUUUGGGUCAAUUGUUGACUCAUCUUCAUAAUCUGAAUUCUCAACACCCUCUCUCAAACUUAAGGUCUUGUCGAAGACAUUAAGUUUGCUUCUAAAUUGACUGAACUUGUAAUAAGGCAAUGGCUUGGUUAAUAUGUCUGCAACUUGAUCUCUGCUGGCUACAAAACUGAUUUCCAGCUCUCCUUGAGUGACUUUGUCUCUAAUGAAAUGAAGGUCUAUCUCAAAAUGCUUUGUCUUUGAGUGAUACACUGGAUUUGUGGCUAUUGCUGCUGCACUUGUGCUAUCACUUAAGAUCAUUGGAACUCUUUGCAUCUUGAUUUCCAAUUCACCAAACAGAGAAUUUAUCCAAGUGAUUUCAGUAGUACACAAAGCUAUGGCCCUGUACUCGGACUCAGCUGUCGAUCUUGCUACCAUGCCUUGCUUUAUUGAGCUCCAAGCUACUAAAUUGUCUCCCAAAAACACACAAUAUCCACUUACUGAUCUUCUGUCAUCUGGAUCACUAGCCCAGUCAGCAUCAAUAUAGGCUAUCAAAUCUAGAUGUUCUGACUUCUGGAACUUUAAGCACAUGUUUGCAGUGCUCUUUAGGUACCUCAACACUCGUUUGCAAGCUGUCCAGUGAGAUUGUCUUGGGUCAGACAGGUAUUGGCUAAGCUUGUUCACAGAAUAUGCAAGCUCUGGUCUUGUUAGAACAGCAUAAUGUAGACUUCCUACAACACUCCUAUAAAAUGAAGGAUUGUCAAGUUUGGUGCCUUCACCCUUCUUUAGUUUCUCUGCUGUGCUGAAAGGUGACUCUAUUCCCUUGCAAUUCUCCAUCUCUGUUUUAGCUAAUAGGUCUUGAACAUAUUUAGCUUGAGAGAGCAAAAUGGAGUUCUGAUUUCUUAUAACAUGUAUCCCAAGGAAGUAGCUUAAAUUUCCAAGAUCUUUCCACUUAACUUUCCUAUCACUUCCUCAAUACCCUUGCUGUUAUUUCCAGUCACAAUUAUGUCAUCUACAUACACAAGCACAAUGAUUAUUUCAGCACUGCUUCUUUUGAAGAAUAGAGAAAUAUCACACUUGGAGUUGUUGAAUCCCCAAGAGCACAGAGCAUUCUUUAAUUUGUCAAACCAUGCUCUGGGUGCUUGUCUCAGUCCAUAAAGAGCUUUCUUGAGCUUGCAUAUGUGGUUUGGUCUUCUCCUAUCCUCAAAUCCCUCAGGUUGUGGCAUGUACACUGUCUCUGUCAAAUCUCCAUUCAGAAAUGCAUUAUUUAUGUCAACCUGCCUCAACAGCCAAUCAUUACUUACAGCCAAAGUUAAAAUGAUUCUGAUUGUUGCAGCUUUGACCACAGGGCUGAAAGUCUCAUUAAAGUCAAGUCCUGGUGUCUGCAGAAACCCCUUCAAGACAAGUCUAGCUUUGUAUCUAUUUAUGGUGCCAUCUGGAUUUUCCUUUACUUUGUACACCCAUUUGUUGCCAAUGAGUUUGUAGUUCUGGUCAUGUGGAAUUAAGGUCCAGGUUUGGUUUUUGACAAGAGCAUUAUAUUCAUCCUCCAUUGCUCUUCUCCAUUUAGGAUCUUUCAGUGCCACAGUGGAGUCAGGGGGUAAGGAAGUUUGAGAUUGAGUGGAUAUUUGAUAAACCUUUGGCUUGCAAAUCCCUGCUUUUGACCUUGUGAUCAUGGGAUGUAAGGAGGCUUGAGUGUUUGGUUAUGUUAUGAGAGGCAAGGUGCAAUUUUCUACUGAGGUGUUUGGUGAGAGUUCAACAGGUGAGUGGUUGUCUGAUAUAGAGUUGAAGCUCAAAUUCUAACAAGCUCCAUCUUAACUAAAACUUGGGAGCUGUUCUGAGUUUCCAGCAGUGGCCUGAGAUUAACUAUGAGCUGCAUUUUGCUGUGUUGACUCAGGGGGAACAGUAGUGGAGAAAGAUACAACUUGAAAUUUUUCUAGAACUGUGGGGGAAUCAUUUUGGUCAGUGAGCCUUUGCUUGCAGAAAUUUGAGUCAUUUUGAAAAGGGAAUGAAUGAUCAUUAAAUUGACACUGGCUGAAAUGUAGAUCCUCCCAGAAUGAUGCAUGCAAAUGUAACCUUUGUGACUGAUGCUAAUGCCUAGUAGUGUGCACUUGAAAGUGUGAAAAUCAAACUUAUGCUUGUUGUAGGGUCUUAAGUAUGGAUAGCAUUCACAACCGAAAACUUUAAUUUGGGAAUAAUCUGGUUUGGUGAGAUAUAACAGCUCAAAUGGAGUUUUAUUUUCAAGAAUAGGUGAGGUUAAUCUGUUUAUGAUGUAGGUGGCAUAGCUGAAAGCUUCUUGCCAAUAUCUCAAAGGCAUUUUUGCUUGGGCUAGUAAUGUUAGGCCAGUUUCCACAAUGUGUCUGUGCUUUCUCUCCACCUUUCCAUUUUGUUCAUGUAAAUAAGGGCAUGAGUGUCUUAAGGCUAUUCCUUCUUUCUUGAGAAAGGGUUCGAAAGUUUUAAACUCCCCACCCAUGUCUGUUUGUAAAGCCUUGAUUCUUAAAUUUAGCUGAUUUUCUACUUGGUUUUUAAACACAAUGAAUGUGUCAAGGGCCUGUGAUUUUGUUGUUAAGGGAAACAACCAUGUGUAUCUUGUCUUGUCAUCCACAAAUGAUAUGUAAUAUCUGUGUCCAUGGGUAGAUGGAAUAGGUGCUGGUCCCCAGAGAUCACUAUGUAUUUGUUCUAAGGCUGUGCUGGUCUUGGUUUCAAUGCUUUUAAAGUUUAGUUUUGAUUGCUUUCCAUACUGACAAGCAUUACAGAAUGAGGGAAAUAUAUUUUUAUUUAAGUUGAGCUGAUUACAAGAUAAUAGAGUAUUUUUCAGAACUGACUCAUUUGGAUGCCUCAGCCUAUGGUGCCAGAGAUCUAUUUCAUUUGUUCUAAGAUCCCUACUGCUUGUAUCAGCUCUACUGGACUCGACAACACUGGCACCAACACUGGCACCUAAAGACUCAUUACUACUGAAAUUGAAACAUGCCAUUGACAUUGGAUUGCUAAUGCAACUUAUUGACUUGGGUAUUGGAAAUGAAGAUAACUCAGCAGCAUAAGUAACCUUGUUGCCACUCAAAUGAGUUGGCAUGCAUAGCAGCUCAUAUAGUCCAUCUCUAGCCACUCCUUUCACCAGAAUUCUCCCUUGGCUCUUGUCCUUGAUGAAGCAAACAGAUUUUUGAAACUCAACAUCAAUAUCAUUAUCAUGAAGCAAUUUGGAAACACUAAUGAGAUUUUUGGUAAUAUCAGGUACAAACAAAAUAUGAUUUAAUUUGAUGUGUUUGUGUGGACUGUAAGUGGGCAAUAUAGAAUAACCAAUGUGAGAGAUAUGAAGUUUGUUACCAUUACCAACAGUGAGCUUGUCAUUACCUUGGUACUCUGAGUUCAGGUUCAUGUUUCCAAUAGCAUUGGUCACAUGAUUUGUGGCACCACUGUCAAGGUACCAGGCAUUGCUGUUUUGUCCUUCUGUUGUGGCCAUGUAGGCUCCUCUCCUCCUAUUUAGCUGUGGCACAUAAUUUUUCUUAAACCUAUGCCAGCAUUCAACAGCUGUGUGCCCCAUUUUGAAGCAGAUUUGGCAUGGACCCUUUGAUUCAGAACCUUCACCUUCUGCAGCAGCUUUGCCUUUGCCUUUGUCUUGAAUAUUUUGAUUUCCCUGACCAUGACCACCAUUGCCACCAUUUCCAGUGCCACCACCAGGAUUUCUGAAGACUAUCCCAGGUUGUUGCUGACUGCCAAAUCUUUCACCAUUGCCCCAGUUCCUCCUGCCAUUUCUCAUCUGUGUGAAGUUAGCCUCAAGAAUCCCUGGGCUGAGAUUUUGCUCAGUCCUGGUUUCUUGGCUGAGGAGCAUGCUGUAGACCUCUGACAAUGAAGGAGUUUCUGGCAUAGAGUUAAUGUUAGUGACAACAGAGUCAUAUUCAGAUCAUACUCCAGCUAAGACACACAUAAUAAAGUCCUCAUCACUCAUGUUAUUUCCAGCUGCUCUGAGUGUAUUUAGGAUAGUUUUCAUCAUGGAGUAAUAAUCAUGGAUUGUAAGAGAGCCCUUUUUAGUGGUUUGAAUCUGUGUCCUCAAAUAUAGGAUUCUAGCUCUUGUUCUUGCACCAUACUGAUUGGUAAGAGUUGUCCAAACUUCAUGUGAAGUAGAACAAUCCACCACAGUGCCGAGGACACCCUCACUGAGAGAUGAGAGCAACCAGCUCAAAAGAAUGUGGUCCUGUUUCUUCCAGAUUUGAUAUUCUGGAUUUUGGUGGGUAACGGUAGCUUGGUUAGGUCCAGGACUGGUGAAAUAUCUGGGGGGACAGGUAUAGCUUCCAUUUAUGAAGCCUUCAAGCUCAUUUGCUCGUAUGCUGGAGACCACUUGUGAUCUCCAGAGCAUGAAAUUGUUCUGUGUUAACUUGAUGGGAGUGGUGAACACAUAUGUGUUGCUGGUGAUAUGUUGGGUAGGAGAUGGGUUCAUUAUGGUCACAUUUCUUGUGUUAUUAUCUGGAUUCUGAUUGUCGAUAUUUUCAGGUUGGUUUUGAUUCAAAUCAUUUGGUUGAUCAUCUGGAUUUUCCAGAGUUUGAUUCAUGUUUGUUUGUGAAUUUCUGCUGCUUUCCAUAGCUCAAAAGUUGCUCUGAUACCAACUUAAAUUCUUAUGAAUUGCUUAAGUAUGCAAGCAGAAGAGCAGAAAAAAAAUAACCUUUUCAUAUAUUAUAAUAACAUGAAUAAUCAGAUAUACACAUCCUUCACAUAUUUAUACUAAACGUGAAAAAUGGUAGCUUGCUCAAAGGGAAAACAGAAAUGAAUAAAACAAAAGAUUACAGCUGCACUAGCCAAUCAUUGGAAACAUUCUAGAAACUCCAGCUUGCAGUAUUCACGUGUAAAUAUUCUCCUGCAUAACAGUUUUGCCAGCUCAUUGAAUACACCUCAACUUCUUCAUCAGCUGGCUGCUGGAUAUGGCUGCUCAGGUGGCAUGCCAACAUGGCCUUGGGGUCAAUUGUUGACUCAUCUUCAUAAUCUGAAUUCUCAACAAUGCAUUCAAACAGAUCUUCUUCAAAUUUCUUAGAACUUGCAACCGAAGAUAUUGGAGUUUCGCAAAAGGUUUUAGCCCUGUAACUUCUUCCACUUUCCAAACACUGAUUAUUUCUUCCAUCUCAUAACAACGUUCUACAUGGACCAUCUUCAGAUUUGGGGCAAAAACAAGCCAUGUCAUCUCCCUCAAUUUACUGCAAUAGUCUAUGGUAACACUUUGAAGGCUGUUGAAACCAUAAGUUCUCUUGUUGUUUGAACUUCUGCAUAGUCAACCUUUAGCUCUUCCAAACUUGUACAAUACACAAAAUCUAGUUUGUCAAGAUACUUGAGAUCUGCUAUGGACAAAAUAUUCCAUGACCUUGAAUCCUCACAGCGUCGAAGCUCUAAAGCAUAUUUACAACUCUUGUACUGUUGGCAGCUCAAAAGUCUUCGUAGAGCAUAAAAACUUCUUAACGUGACGCUUAAUACAUUUAAAUGUUCCAAAGUAAUCAACUCCUCUACCAAAAUUUCACUACCACCAAAUAGAACGCUAUCUUCUGGUACUGUAUUAGCAGAGCCACAAUCUAGCAUCCUCAACACCUUUAACCCAGAAAAAUUACAAAGCAGUUGCCGUGGAAUCGUAUGGAGAUAACGCAUGUACUCCAAGUUCAAACACUUUAGAUUUUUCAAGGCUUUUAAUUCAUGUGGUAACUCUUUGAUGAAAGUUUCUGAAAGAUUAAGAUAUUGUAGUGAAACCAAUUUUGAAAUUCCUGAAGGCAAUUGACUCAAGGAGCGAUUCUUUGAUAGGUUUAAAACUUUAAGAGAAGGCAUAAAAUCGAAGAAAUCACUAGGGAUAGUAUCUAACAUAUUAAUGCCGAGGAACAAAGUUAUAAGAUGAGGGCAUAUUGGAGUUAUUGGUAAAAUCACAAUUUUAUUUCUCAUCAACGAUAUCCUUCUCUUAUCUUCCCAUUGUUUAACCUCGGGUGGUUCAGUUAAUUCAAUACCGGCAGAAACCAAAAAGUUUUCAUUCUCCACUUCACAGGCUAUCCACAAGGUCAUAUCACGAAUCACAUCAUGCAAUUUUACAUAAUCUGAUCCUGCUUCUUCCAAUAGGCAUGCAUGAACAAGAACACCAAUAAUGUAGUAUCCUUGGUUAUGUACUCCAUUAAUUCCUUCAUAUUCCUUCAGAAAACCCUCACCAAUCCAACACCCUAUCAAUUCAAUUUUGCUAAUUUGAUAAUCCUCAGGAAAUAAACUACAGUAUAACAGACAAGAUCUAAGGACGUCACUAGACAAACUAUCAUAACUGAAUUUUAAAAGACGAAACACCUCUUUCUCCAUACCUGGAAAUUCAUAAGCUGAUCUCCUUAACAUCUGAAUUGCAUAGCUCCAUUCUUCGGGUGUCUUCUUGCUGCUCAUGGCACGACCGGUGGUAAUAAGUGCAAGUGGCAAACCACUACACUCCUUUGCCACAGUUUUGGCUAACUCCGGAAUAUCGGGAUGACUUUCAAGAGUCUCUUCUCCGACCUUCUUUAGGAACAAUUCCCAAGCAUCUUGAUCUGCCAAACACUCCACCUUGAACUUUUUUUGAGCUUCCAUGAGGCCACAGACGUCCACAAGACGAGUCGUAAAUGUUGAAAGUCAUGGCUGGCGCCGGCCAUCUAGAUGGCCGGUGCCAACCAUUCAACAUUCAACACGGCCCGCCAUUAUUGGUGGUGCCGUGUUGAAUGACUCCAUAAAAAAAAAAAAAAAAAAAAAGAGCCAAAAUUUUGGCUAUAUAAAGAGGGCUUCCCACCCUCAUUUAUAAUCCAAUCUUGAGAGAGCAAUUUAGGGAGUUGAGAGAGAGUUUAAGAGCUUGCAUUUAUAAGCUCUUAUUUUAGUGAUUUGAGAGUUUGGGUGUAUUGGGGUUUUGGGUAGUGAGCUAAAAUACUACAAUACUUGUAACUCCUUUUCACUAGUAAAAUAUUUCCUUCUGUCUUUGCCCAUGGACGUAGGCUAAAAGCCGAACCACGUAAUUUCUGGUGUCCUCUAUUGUGCUUGUUCUUUAUUUUAUUUCCAAUUUCAUUUUAGCUGCGGUCCUGCUUCACCCACCAAUUUCCUAACAGUGGUAUCAGAGCUAUUGGUUGUAUUUUUGGAGUCGGGAACUGUUCACGUAAGGGGUACUAUUCACGUAUACGACACUAUUCACGUAUACUGUACUGUUCACGUAUACGGGUUUGUUCACAUAUACGGUACUGUUCACGUAUACGAUACUAUUCACGUAUACGGUACUAUUCACGUGAAACGGGGAAGCGAUCCAAGAAUUUUCCGGUGCAAAGCAGGGAAUAGUAGUGUGAGAAAAGCAACUGUGGUUUUGUACAUGUCUAGGAAAGUUCUGUCACAAAGGCGAUAAGAGCUUAAGGAGUCUGGGUUUUAAGUGGGACCAUUGUGACCCCUCCAGUCUUUCCUGGGAACUUUCCUGGUGUGCAUUCUCACACAUACUCACAACUAUUCAAGGUGGUAUACUAGCUUGUGUGCAGUAUUUAUCAACAAAAUGGCGGCAAAGUAUGAAAUUGAGAAGUUGAACGGAAAUAAUUUUUCGUUGUGGAAAAUGAAGAUGAAAGCUGUAUUGAGGAAAAAUAAUUGUUUGGCAGCAAUUGGAGAAAGGCCCAUGGAGAUAACUGAUGACAAGUGGAACGAGGUAGACGGUAACGCCAUUUCUGAUCUACACUUGGCACUUGCGGAUGGUGUAUUAUCUAGUGUGGCAGAGAAAAAUACGGCGAAGGAAAUAUGGGAUACUCUCACAAAAUUGUACGAGGCCAAGUCACUACACAACAAAAUCUUCUUGAAGAGAAAACUAUAUACUCUUCGAAUGGCGGAAUCUACAAUGGUGACCGACCACAUCAACACUUUGAAGACUCUAUUUUCACAACUCACAACGUUGGGUCAUAAUAUAGAGGAGAAUGAACGUGCAGAGCUUCUACUUCAAAGUCUACCAGAUUCGUAUGAUCAACUCAUCAUCAACCUGAUGAACAACAAUCCAGUGGAAAGUCUAGUUUUCGACAAUGUUGCAGCCUCCGUAUUAAAUGAGGAGAGCAGACGGAAAAAUAAGGAAAACAGACAAGCAAGUUCGCAGCAAGCAGAGGCGCUAUCGGUGACGAGAGGGAGAUCAACGGAACGUGGCCCCAGUGGGAGUCAAAGUUAUGGUAGAUCAAAAUCCAGAAGUAAGAAAAAUGUUAAAUGCUACAACUGUGGCAAGAAAGGGCACGUCAAGAAAGAGUGUUGGAGUAACCAGAAGAGAAGAGAGGGUAAAGAACCUGAGUCAUCAAAUGCUCAGGGGUGUGUAGCAAGUACCUCGGAUGAUGGCGAAAUUCUCUACAGUGAGGCAACAACUGUUUCAGAAGGCAGAAAACGACUUUCUGAUGUCUGGCUUAUAGACUCAGGAGCUACCUGGCACAUGACCUCUAGGAGAGAAUGGUUCUACACAUAUGAACCUAUCUCAGGAGGAUCUGUAUAUAUGGGUAACGAUCAUGCCUUGGAGAUCGCUGGUAUUGGUACUAUCAAAAUAAAAAUGUUUGAUGGUACAAUUCGCACAAUUGGGGAGGUACGACAUGUCAACGGCCUAAAGAAAAAUCUAUUGUCUUUAGGACAAAUGGAUAGUCAUGGGUACAAAACUCAUGUGGAGAAUGGAAUUAUGAAGAUCGUUAAAGGCGCGCUUGUAUUAAUGAAGGCAGAAAAGAUCAGUGCUAAUCUAUUCAUGCUUAAAGGAGAAACACUACAGGAGGCUGAUGCGUGUGUCGCGUCAAAUGGAGAAGAAUCAACGAUGAUGUGGCAUCUCAAACUCGGCCACAUGUCAGAACAAGGCUUGAAGAUUCUCUCUGAGCGAAAAUUGCUUCCGGGGCUCAAAUCAGUAAGUUUACCAUUUUGCGAGCAUUGUGUUAUAAGUAAGCAGUAUAGAUUAAAAUUCAGUAGAUCUAUUGCUAGAAGUAAAUGCAUUCUAGACUUGAUUCAUUCUGAUGUUUGGGAAUCACCGGAUAUAUCCAUGGGAGGUGCAAAGUACAUGGUGACUUUCAUUGAUGAUUAUUCCAGAAGAUGUUGGGUGUAUCCAAUUAAGAAAAAGUCAGAUGUAUUUCCUGUGUUUAAAGAAUACAAAGCGCGGGUGGAACUUGAAUCUGGUAAAAAGAUCAAGUGCUUAAGGACAGAUAAUGGUGGAGAAUAUACAUACGACGAGUUUCUUGCUUUCUGUAAGCAAGAAGGUAUUCAGAGGCAAUUCACGGUGGCAUACACUCCUCAACAAAACGGAGUAGCAGAGCGGAUGAACAGAACUCUUACAGAAAGAAUAAGAGCUAUGUUGAGGACUGCUGGUUUACCCAAUUCAUUCUGGGCAGAAGCAGCCAAAACCGCCUGUUAUAUAGUAAAUCGGUCGCCAUCUACAGCUAUUGGGUUGAAGACAGCGAUGGAGAUGUGGACUGGAAAGCCAGCUGAUUAUUCCUACCUACAUGCAUUUGGAUGUCCUGUGUACGUGAUGUACAAUGCCCAAGAAAGAACAAAGCUGGAUGCAAAAUCUAGAAGAUGUAUCUUCUUGGGGUAUGCUGAUGGAGUAAAGGGGUAUCGUCUGUGGGACCCCACUGCCCAUAAGAUCGUCAUCAGCAGAGAUGUUAUCUUUGUAGAAGAUCAACUACAAAGAAAAGAUGGAGAUGAUGGCACUGUAAAAGAAAAGUCAGAGACUGUACCAGUAUAUGUCGAAAAUAAUCUAGAAGAUUCAGAUUCUUCUGAAGCAGCACCAGAGCACGAGGAACAAGAACCAGUCGAGUCUGAGGCUCCAGAAGUUCGUCGGUCAACUCGUGAGAGACGACCACCGGCGUGGCACUCGGAGUAUGUCACAGAGAUCAACGUUGCAUACUGUCUUCUAACAGAGGAUGGAGAGCCUUCAACUUUCCAUGAAGCUUUAAACAACUUAGAUGUUGCUUUGUGGAUGACAGCAAUGCAGGAAGAAAUUGAAGCUCUACACAAGAACAAGACAUGGGAACUUGUACCACUACCACACGGAAGAAAAGCCAUUGGAAACAAAUGGGUCUACAAGAUCAAACGUGAUGGCAAUGACCAAGUGGACCGGUAUCGUGCAAGAUUGGUGGUGAAAGGAUAUGCUCAGAAAGAAGGUAUUGACUUCAACGAGAUAUUUUCUCCGGUGGUUCGACUCACAACAGUCAGAAUAGUCUUGGAGAUGUGUGCUACAUUUGAUCUACAUCUUGAGCAGUUAGAUGUUAAAACUGCAUUUCUUCAUGGAGAACUUGAAGAAGAAAUAUAUAUGCUCCAACCAGAAGGUUUUGCAGAAACAGGAAAGGAGAACUUGGUUUGCAGGUUGAACAAAUCUCUAUACGGUCUCAAACAGGCGCCGAGGUGUUGGUAUAAGAGAUUUGAUUCCUUCAUCAUGAGCCUUGGAUACAACAGACUCAGUUCAGACCAUUGUGCAUAUUACAAGAGGUUUGAAGAUAAUGAUUUCAUCAUUUUACUGUUGUACGUGGAUGACAUGUUGGUAGCAGGCCCCAACAAAGAUCAAGUCCAAGAAUUGAAGGCACAAUUGGCUAAGGAGUUUGAAAUGAAGGACUUGGGACCAGCAAACAAGAUUCUAGGGAUGCAAAUUCACCGAGACAAAAAUAACAGGAAGAUUUGGCUUUCACAGAAGAAUUACUUGAAGAAAAUCUUGCGGCGCUUCAACAUGUAAGAUUGUAAGUCAAUUUCUACCCCACUUCCUGUUAAUUUCAAAUUAUCCUCAAGUAUGUGUCCUAGCAAUGAAGUGGAGAGGAAGGAGAUGUCUCGAGUACCGUAUGCAUCAGCAGUGGGAAGUUUAAUGUUCGCUAUGAUAUGUACUAGACCAGACAUUGCACAAGCAGUGGGAGCAGUCAGUCGAUACAUGGCGAAUCCUGGUGGAGAGCAUUGGAUAGCUGUAAAGAGGAUUCUGAGAUACAUCAGAGGAACCUCAGAUGUUGCAUUAUGUUACGGAGGAUCAGAGUUUACUAUCAGGGGCUAUGUGGAUUCAGAUUUUGCAGGAGAUCUUGAUAAAAGAAAAUCCACUACUGGUUAUGUGUUUACACUUGCAGGAGCAGCUGUAAGCUGGGUUUCGAAACUGCAGAUCGUUGUGGCUUUANNNNNNNNNNNNNNNNNNNNNNNNNNNNNNNNNNNNNNNNNNNNNNNNNNNNNNNNNNNNNNNNNNNNNNNNNNNNNNNNNNNNNNNNNNNNNNNNNNNNAUAUUCUUGAUUAAUCCAUUUUCUGAAAUUUUUUAUUUUGUAUGGUCAAUUAUACCUUCAUACUAAAAAUUUCUGAUGUUAUGGGGUUGUUGGAUGUGUUUUGGAUAUUUGCAGCUAAGUUUGAGUUUAUAUCUCAACUUAAAAUUUGUAGUUUUCACUUGAAAAAAUUCAGUUAAAAAUUGAUUGGUAGAAUUGUGAAGAAGUUUAAAUUUUUAGUUCAACCCGAUUGCAUAUUUAAGAACAUCUCAAAUGAAUUGCUUACUGCUAUCAUCAUCAUAAUUGUCAGAGAUGGUUAAUUGAUAGACUAUGUGCCUGGGUCGAGCACUGGAAGCCUGCAAUGCAGACUGAUUGAUUUAUCAGUUUAACGUGUGCCAGGAAUGAAGAACUGGAAUAUCACCGUCAAGCAAGCACCCUGUGGAGCAAUACCAAAGAAUGCACAAUCCGGCUUUGCAAGGUGACACUGGAGGCUUUUUGAAAAGUGCUUCACGCUCACUUGCACAGAUUGAGCAUCCCCUCUGGAUAUUGCCCUCUCUGAUCGAGUCUGAGCACUCAAAUUUUGGUCCUCAGAGGGAGCUACAGUUUUCUCUCCAAUAACCAACAAUUUUCUAAACUCAGCACCUAGUGUGAUCAGAGUUGUUGAUAUUUAUAAAUGGAGAUCCCCAUAUUUGCAAGUGGAGACAUUUAACAAUUCACCAACAUGCUUCAUCCGGUGUACAAAAUUCUGCAGCUGAUUCAAAUCCGGAACCUGAACCAGAGUCGGAGGUAUAUCUUGAGCCAUAUCUAAAGUAGUUUGAAGUUCAAGACCUUGAGCCCUUGACAAUGGUUUUGAAAUUGGAACAUCUUGGAUUACUGCAGACUUGUACCCCUUGGUUUCAAAGGUAAGGAAAGGCAUUGCUUGAGUACAAUUUGGAGGCAGCUUCUUCACCAAUUUUAUUUGGAGGCGAUUGGCAGCGGAUCCAGCAGCACCAAUUUCAGAGCAAAUACUGACACUACUUCGAACAGCACACUGAAGAAGUGAUAUGUCUACGGCAAAGGCAAUGCAGUCCUCAUUUUGGCUUGAGAUGCAGUAAUCAUCGAAGAGAGUUUCCUUGUGAAACUGGGCAACACAUUGAAUCCCUUCGCCACUGAGAAGGUUGUGGAGGAAGUAAGCUUUCUCUCUAGUGAGGCAGAGGUGGCAUACCUUCCCCAUUUUGUCGAGGGCAGGUAGGAAUCUUUUUUCUAAGAGAUUUACUUCAUUCUCUGUGAGAAAUGCUUUGAACUUCAUCCCUCUGUCUCUAUCCUCACUUAUCAGGAAAUAAGUUGAAAGCACUACGAAGAGAGAGAGAGAGAGAGAGAGAGAAUUAAGAUAUAUAGACAAGAAAAAUAUUAGACGUUGAUCUUACAAACUAAUACUUCAAGCAGUAUCCUGGAAAGCUAAAAACUGCAAGAUGGCUUGAAAUUUGAAAAGAGCACGUGCUUUUCCUCCUUAACUUGAGAAAAUGUUUAAUAUAGUGCACCUUAUGGAAGCAUUUAAGCAAUUAGAACUUUGCACAAAAACAUCAAGAAGACUAAACAAGUCAGAUGCAGUGUAUUUGUCCAAGCACAAAUUGCAUUUUGUCCUCAACUUUAAUAUUUAUUGAUGAGAAUCAAUACAGGUCCCUCAUUUGUUAUAGAAAGCUUUCUUUCUUGUAGUCUCACCAGUUAAUUCACAGGUCUAUAAUCAUCUUGCAAAGUUAAGGGCAUUUCUUUUGAUCUAAAGUCUUUGCAUCACCACCUCAUCACACGCCAAGCCAAUAUUCCAUUUACCUCUACAACAAAAAGUUUUAAUUAAACAAUCCUAAUGCACGCAGCCAAAUAAAAUGCAGUAAGAAUAUUCAACUUAAAAAUCUGAAAGCCAACUUGGUGAAUUGCCUCCUUAGGUGAAGUUCCAUGCUUUACUAUAGUUGACAGAACUCAGCAAAAGCUUCCAUACAACAGAUUUUGAAAAUGAUGAUGCCAACAGAUACUCAUUCAAUCCAUUGAAACUCCAAAGGUUCAUUGUUCAUAGAAGUUUACAAAGUUUUGGUCAUCAAAUAGCUCAGACCUAAUCCCAAACAAAAAAAGAGUGAAAAUUAGAUCACGAGCAGCUAAUUGUAAAUUCUAACUUAACUCUUCAUCUCCUUUGUAAACAAGAAACAAAAUGGAGACACGCAAAAUGAAUAUGGAGAAAAUUUGAACUCAAAUGAAAUGAGGGCACGAAAGCAAACAAAUGGCAUGCACAAAAAAACCAAGCCUCAAUCAAAAACUAAUUAACCAUUAAGAAAAAAAUUGGUCAGACAAUGAACUCCAAAUUCAGGAGUCAAGCAAGAAGCUUUCAUUAUUUCAGAAGCUCCUGUACAAAUUAAUAAGUUAUGCUCUUUGGAAGCAAAACCAAAUUCCAAGAGAAACAGAACCCAAAAAAUUUGCAAUUAUUCGCAAAGGAAGUGAAGCACAGGAUUCUAUCACACAUAGGAAUUUUAUAACAAGAGAUCGAUAUAUCGAAUUAGAAAACUCAAUUCGAAUUUGUGUGAAAAAUCAAAAUUAGAAGAUUUCACAUUUCGAGAGGAACAAGCAACAGAUGAGUUUAAUUUCAGCCAUAACAUGCUAAAAAUGCUACACUUAACGGUUCCUUGUCAGCUAUUGAUGCGUUCGCUCANNNNNNNNNNNNNNNNNNNNNNNNNNNNNNNNNNNNNNNNNNNNNNNNNNNNNNNNNNNNNNNNNNNNNNNNNNNNNNNNNNNNNNNNNNNNNNNNNNNNAAGGGUCAUGUUCAAGCAGGAAAACUUCUAGAACAGGUAAGGAUUCCAUCUACAGACAUCCAUUGACAGCAGAUAUAUUUCAUUAAGCAGACACUGUUAGCAUUCAAGAUGCUGGCAGAUUCACUUGAUUCUUAUUAGUUUGUUUAGUGGCAAGGCAUAUAACCUGUAUUUCAAAGCCAAGUUGUGCUAUUGAUUAUGUUAACUUUAUUGUUAACAUUAAGUGAUUUGGAGGACAUAAUCAAUGUAGGAAAAUUAGGUGAAGAGAUGAUGUCAAAUCUUGAACCUCUUACAAAGCUCCAAGUUCUUUACUUGAAGAAGCUGCCAAAUUUGAAGAGCGUCUACUGGAAGGCAUUUCCAUUCCCAGAUGUAUGCAGAAUUUUUGUAUUAAUGCCCAGUUCUUAAGAAGCUGCCACUGGAUUUUCAUGGGGCGGGCCAAGGUAAAAUUCUUAUCAAGGGAAAGGAAGAUUGGUGGAAAGAACUUCAAUGGGAGGAUCAAGCAACUCAGAAUGCAUUGCUUCCAUUUUUCAAAUCAACUGACAAGUGAUUGAAGGGGGCAUCAUCAACAGAGAUGGAGAGAUUCUGGAGCAGAUCAGCAGGGUUUGUAUAUGAUCUUUGGUGGUUGCUUUCUUUUGUGAUUUUUUUUUUCUCAUUUUUUUACCUUCCUGUCAUUUUAUCAUUUCUUUGUCUCUUUUUCUAUUGCUGAUGUUAGUGUAUGCUUACUGUUGCUUGACAAAGUUUGCUUGCUUCUUGUUUAUUAAAUUUUUUAUGGUCACAAAAUAUUACUUGUUCUAUUUGAGAGUGAUGUGAAUCAAUUUUCAAUUAUAUAUUUUUUGGUCAAUGUGAAUUCAAUUUCAUUUGUCUCCUGCAAUUAUUAAAAAAAUGCAGUCUCAUAAUAUGGAAAAGUCGACCGGCAAAAAUUUUGUGAAAGCUUCGGAGUGAAACAGGGAAUUCACUUACUACUAAGGACAAUUGGUGGCGAGCUAUUCCAUUCAUUUUAUGUCCCUACAUCUAUUUAAUUAUUAAAGAUAAGUGGUCCAUUUGUAAAUUUCAGAUUGUGUCUCUCUGAAAAUAACAAUAUUUAAAAUGUCUCUUAAAUUAUUAUAAAUUUUAAUUCACUCUCGAUUUAAAAUGGAACAUGCUGAUGAAAAUUUUUUUCUUCUCAAUAUUCAAUAAAAUUGAAAUAAAUUGUGUUUGCAGUAUUUUGAAAUAUUUUAAAGAUUAUUAUUUUAUAAGAGAGUAAUAUGAAAUGAAAUUUACUCUUCAUGCGUGAAAUGUUGAAAAGGACAAAGGAAAGUGUCACUGCUUUUAUUUUAUUUCAAAGUGGAGUCAUCUCACAUACUUUACCUCUAUCAUUACAAUUUUUCACGUUACAUUUUGAUUUAUUUAUUUCUUUUAACACAUGCAUGUGGGUUACUUUUCCGUAAGCUCCUUAAUAUAUGUUUAACACAAAUCAUGGAAGAGAUGGGAGUAUAUCAAGAUGAUCAAAGCAUGAGACAAAAAUAUUUAAGAAGUAAAACACUGAAAAUAGAGGAGAGAUGCAAGCAAAAGAUAUUCCAAAGAAAAGCAAUCUAUCCCCUUUCGAGGGCAAACUUAAUCAGGUUUAAGAAAAGUACAUGUUUUGGAUUGGUAGUUGCAGCCUUGCAGGAUAAUUGUUUUUGCCAUUAUAUUAGUUGGAGGAGUUGAACCCAGCGAAGAAUGUUAUGGAAGAGCAAAUUAAUGAUAUUUCUGAUAGAGUCUAUUUGAUUAUGUAGCCUGAAUGGAUGUCUUGUUGAAAGAUAUCUCAGUGCAUUAGUUCAUCCUUGUCUGUCAAUGUGUUUUUAAUGGUUUUUCCAAUUGUUUAUUAUUAUAGAUUGAUUGUAAAUUUAUAUGAAAAUUUGAUAUGAAUUUAAUGUUGAAAUGUUUUCUCUUUAGUGGAAUGAAUUUAAAUUGAUUGAUUGUAAAUUGAUAUGAAUUUAAUGUUGCAAUGUUUUCUCUUUAGUGAAAUGAACUUAAAAGUGUAAAAGAUUAUUGCACACAUAGAAAUAAACAUAUAUGCUUUAUAGUAUAACUUUAGCAAUCGAUUCUUUUACGGCUGGAAACAGAGAUGAUGAUUAUCAUAGGGGUGAAGAAAAGGACAAAAAAUAUUAAUAAAUGAUCUUAAUGUUCCACAAAAGCAAAUCGUAAUAUUCCACAAGAAAAAGCAAGAUCUUAAUGUUCCACAAAAGCGUUAUUUAUUUUUUUUGGUGAGCCACGUGGAGCUCAAUUAUCAUUGUCUUUACUUUAAAAACGUUAUUUUAUUUUAUUUUCUUACAAAUUAAUGCUAACAAGAAAAAGCAAGAUAUAAUAUUCCACAAAAGCAAAUCGUAAUAUUCCACAGAGGAAUAAGAUCCACAAAAGCAAACAACUAGCUGGAUUCUUUUAUUAAACUACAAAUUAAAGUGGAAUCGUUUACUAAACAACAAAUUAAAGUUCAAAUAUUUAAAUAGUAGUGCGUUAGACGAUUAGGCUCUUUUAUUAAAGUCAAGUAUAAAGUAGUCCAGAAUCGAACAUCUCUAUUGUCUAGUCUUUUUUUUUUUUAAUUCUUCUUUUAUUAUUUUUCAGAAUAUGUUUUGGUGAUUACUAUUGGGUUAUUAUUCAGAGUUAUUGUUAUCUUCCGGGGCAGUUUCUGUUCAUCGAAAUCGUUAAUUAAAAUUUUAAAACUCUUAUCGGAAGAAUGUUUUUCCGUUAUUUUUUUAUAUUCUAAUUUCAAUUGUAAGAAGUAGUCAUUUUAGAAUUUGGGUCUUGAAUCGAAUUUCAAUGCAUGAAUUAAUAUUUUAAAAAAAUUUACUACAUGCAGUUUAGGUUACAAACUAUUUUUUGCAAAGUUGACUAUGAAAUUGGAGAAAUUAAGUAAUUUAUAAUGUUUGCAAAGAAAGAGACCAACAUACUUCCAAUUACACUAUAUCUCAAUUAUCAUAAUGUUAAGAUUAAACUAACUUAAAAUAAAAUUUAUUUAAAAAGUUUAUCAAACGCAGUCUAAUUUUAUUAACUUGAAGAGAUAAUAGUUAUAGAAAUUAUUAUUCUAACUUAAUUAGUAAAAGUGGUAUAAAGGUUAAGUGUGCACUAAAUCUAUUUAAAUUUUUUUCCAGUAUAACUAACAGAGGUCAUUACUAGAAUUAUAUUACUAGUCUAUUAGAUAGAAAAAAUUAUUUAUAUUGUUUUAUAUUUAUUAAAAAAAUUUAAAGUCAAUCUUUUUAAUUACUAUUUAAAGGAUAUUAUAAUUAAAAAAAUUUUAAUGUCUUCAUUAAAAAUUUAAAAUUUUAUAUGACCGUUAUCUAAAUAUUUAAAGUGUAACUGUCAUUUUCUCAUAUAUAUAUAUAAUUUCAUCAACCCCUUAUACUUUAUGUUAUUUAUAUUUUAUUCAUGAAUAUUAUAAAUUUUUUGAAAUAUAAAAUUUCGUUUAACCCUUUAUACUCAAUUUUAUUUUAUUAAAACCCUAGAGUAUGAAUUCGUCCCUAUAAUAUUAAAUUCUCAAAAUAACUUCCAUUUAAUUAAAAAAUAUAAUUAUUAUUAAAUGAAUUAUAAUUAUUAUUAUUAUGUUAUUAUAAUCAUAAAAAGCGAGAUCAUAUUCCACAAAAGCAUAAGUGACAAAACAACCAACUGGAUUCUUUUAUUAAUCAACAAAUUGUAUAGUCUUUUUCAAAUUGUUAUAAAUUGGUGGCCCCUACAAUCCUCAAUAAUUGUACCGAAAUUCACAAGUUGGUGGGCCCUACAAUUCUGUUCCGAUAAUUUAACUGUGCAAGUGCUCAUUCACAAUCUUCCAGGUCAUGCUCUUAACAAUUGUUUUUUCUUUUCUGCACGCCCUUUCAUGCUCUUAAUAAUUGAAGAGCAUACUUUUCAAAUGUGAAGCCGCAUCUAAUGUCGCUAAUUUAAUUUGGGAUUAAAUUACGGGACUAUUAUAUUGCAGUGUGCACUAAUUUUUAUGUUUAUCUAAACUCUUCAAAUUUAAAACAUAUUAUGGCAUAAAUAAGAAUGUAACAAUAACAAAAGAGUAAGAAAGUGUAGAGAAAAUCUUGCAGAAAUAUAAAUAAUAUUUAUUUUUAAAAUAAUAUUAAUAUUUAAAAUAAUUUUUAAUAUUUUAUGGUCCAUUAGAUAUAUUUUAUUAUAUUAAAAUAAAUUUUAUAAUAAAUAAAAACAUACUAUUAAAAUGAAUAUAUAUAGAAAAUUUAGAGUAUUUUAAGUAUUAUAUAAAAUAAUUUUAAUAAAAUAUGUGAGAUAUUCAUAUUUUAUUAAUUUAAGAUACCAUUUAACCUAAAGAUUUAUUUAUGAUAAAUUAAUAAUUAUAUUUUUGAAAUUACUUCAAAUAUUAAAAAAAUUAAUAUUACUAAUAUAUUAGAUAGAUUAAAUUAUAUAUAUUAUUUUUACUUAUUAAAAAAAUUUUAAAAUUAUUUUUAAUUACUAUUCAAAAAACGUAUUCAAAAAACAUAAUGAUAAAAAAAUCUUAACAUCUUUAUUAAAAAAUUAAAAACUUAUAUGAUAAAUUCUCUAAAUAUUUACGGUAUAUGUGAACCACGGUGGAUAAGCUUUAUUUAAUAUUAUUGAUUUAAAUAAUAUGUCAAUUAAAAAUGUACAGAGAAGAAAUUUCGGUGGGUAUUUUAGUCUUUUAAGCAAUUAUCAUGAUCAGAUCAGCCUUUAGCCUUCAAACGUCGGUCAGAAAAGUUUUAAAAUUAAUGCUAAAUUGUUUUUCACUUUUAACGUUGGUGGCCUUGAAAUUGCUUGUAUUUUAUUAAAAAUUAAUGCUAACAAGAAAAAGCUAGGUCAUAUUCCACAAAAUCAAAAGUGACAAAACAACCAGCUGGUUUCUUUUACUAAACUACAAAUUAAAAUAAAUUUUUUCGAUAAAUUACAAAUUAAAGUGGAUUCUUUUGAAUACAAAUGGGACAGACGAUUAGGCUCUUUUUAUUAGAGGCAAGUAAAAACUAGUCAAGAAUCGAACAGUCUUUUUCCAAUUCUUGUUUUAUUAUUUUUCAAAACUAGUUUUUGGUAAUUACAACCGGGUCAUUAAUCAUUAUUCAGAGUUACUGUUAUCUUCGGGGGCAGUGGGUAAAAGAUAAUUACUAACUGUUUUUCCUUCAAAAGUUAGCGGCUCAUGUUUGCAAGUGUGAAUGUGCGAUGCUCUUUUCUUAAAGGCCAUUACAGUGGGGCCCGAAUCAGACGUGCCUAAAUCUUUUUAAAAUUUUUGCCGUAUAACGAACAGAGGUCAUUACUAAAAUUUCUCUUCCACAGCCUACAGCAGCUUCAGUUUAUCAAACUCCAUCAAUUUUCUUUCUUAACAAAAUUCCAAAGAUGUGUAGCAUUUUUCAGAUCACAUGCGAUGGUGCUCUUUUCAAUCGUUGCUUGGAUUGCUUUCUUGGAAAAGCAGCAUACAUACGUAACCUCCAAGAUAAUCUUGAUGCCUUGGACACUGAACUGGGAAGACUAAUCGCUAAAAAGAACGAUGUGAUGAGGAGGGUUGUCGACGCUGAACGACAACAAAUGAGAAGGCUGGACGGAGUGCAAGUGUGGGUUUCGAGGGUGGAUGCUGUUAAAACUGGAGCCGAUGAACUUAUCACAGACGGCUCUGAAGAAAUUGGCAAAUUAUGUGUUGGAGGCUACUGUUCCAAGAACUGCAGGUCAAGCUACAAGUUCGGAAAACAAGUGGCUAAAAAGCUACAAGAUGUGAAGACUUUAAUCGCCGAGGGAGUUUUUGAGGCGGUGGCUACUGAGGUGGUGCCCGAGAGAGCUCCGGAACCUGUAGCAGAUAAAAGACCCAUUGAGCCAACAAUAGUAGGCUUGCAAUCACAGCUUGAACAAGUUUGGAGAUGUCUUGUAGAAGAAUCAGUGGGAAUCAUUGGCCUAUAUGGUAUGGGCGGUGUUGGUAAAACCACACUAUUGACCCGUAUCAACAAUAAAUUUCUUGAGAGUCAAAACAACUUUGAUUGUGUGAUUUGGGUCGUAGUUUCAAAAGACCUGCGGCUUGAAAAAAUUCAAGACGAUAUUGGGAAGAAGAUAGGUCUGUCUGAUGAUUCAUGGAAGAAUAAAAGUUUUGAAGAGAAAGCUGUGGACAUCCUGCGGAGAUUAGGAGAGAAGAGAUUUGUAUUGUUGUUAGAUGAUUUAUGGGAGCGGGUUGAUUUAACAAAAGUGGGCGUUCCACUUCCCAGCGCACAAAAUACUACCUCAAAAGUCGUAUUCACAACCCGUUCCAUUGGUGUUUGUGGCAGCAUGAGAGCUAGGCCGGUUAAAGUGGCAUGCCUAUCAGAAAAGCAAGCUUGGGAACUGUUCCGCGAAAAUGUUGGGGAAGAAACUCUUGAGAGUGAUCAUGAGAUCGUUGAGCUAGCCCAAACUGUGGCCAAAGAGUGUGGUGGUUUGCCACUCGCACUUAUUACUAUUGGUCGAGCUAUGGCCUUCAAAAAGACAGCCGAGGAGUGGAGUCAUGCAAUUGAUGUGCUAAGAACAUCAGCUUCUGAGUUUGCAGGUUUGGGAGAGAAGGUGUAUCGUCUUUUAAAGUUUAGCUAUGAUAGUUUGCAGAAUGAGACCAUUAGAUCUUGUUUCUUAUAUUGUUGUUUAUAUCCCGAGGAUUAUGGCAUUCUUAAAUGGGACUUGAUUGAUUGUUGGAUUGGUGAGGGAUUCUUGGAGGAAUCUGACAGGUUUAGUGCAGAAAACCAAGGAUACUACAUUGUGGGCACUCUUGUUCAUGCGUGUUUGCUAGAAGAGAUGGAAGAUGAUAAAGUAAAAAUGCAUGACGUUGUUCGUGAUAUGGCUCUAUGGAUAGCUUGUGAAAUUGAGAAGGAGAAGAGAAACUUUUUGGUUUGUGCAGGUGCUGGAUUAAAAGAGGCACCGGAUGUUAAAGGAUGGGAAAAUGUGAGAAGAUUGUCAUUGAUGCAAAACCAAAUUAAAACUCUGUCAGAGGUUCCCACAUGCCCUCAUCUCCAUACUUUAUUUCUUGCCUCUAAUAUGGAGUUGGAGAUGAUCGCGGAUGGCUUCUUCCAAUUUAUGCCUUCUCUCAAAGUUUUGAAGAUGUCACGCUGCUGGAAUUUUCAAUUACCUGUUGGGAUGUCAGAUUUGGGUUCAUCACUAGAACUUCUUGAUAUUUCACAUACCACCAUAAGAGAGUUACCCGAAGAGUUAAAGUUGCUGGUAAAUCUGAAAUGUUUGAAUUUGAGGUGGACAGGUGCGUUAAUUAGAAUUCCACGGGGACUAAUAUCAAAAUUUUCAAGGUUACGUGUGUUGAGAAUGUUGGGUACUGGCGGGUUCAUUUUUUAUGAAGCACCAGAAGACAGCGUUUUAUUUGGUGGGGGUGAAGUUUUGAUACAGGAAUUGCUCGGUUUGAAAUAUUUAGAGGUAUUGGAGUUGACCUUGGGAAGUUAUCAUGCUCUCCAAAUUCUUUUGAGCUCAAAUAAGUUAAAAAGUUGUAUUCGAUCUCUUUACCUCUAUUUGACCGGAGAUAAAAAGUCGAUUAUUGAUGCUACGGCUUUCACAGACCUAAACCACCUCAAUGAAUUAUGGAUUGAUAAUGGAAUUGAGUUGGAAGAAUUGAAGAUUGAUUAUACGGAGAUAGUACGAAAAAGGCGGGAACCUUUUGUUUUCCACAGCCUUCACCUUGUUACGAUAUAUAGUUGCCAUAAAUUGAAAGAUUCGACAUUCCUCGCUUUUGCUCCAAACCUCAAGUCUCUUUCGCUAUUCAAAUGCCGUGCUAUGGAAGAAAUAAUCAGCGUCGGAAAAAUUGCUGAGAAUCCUGAGAUGAUGGGACAUANNNNNNNNNNNNNNNNNNNNNNNNNNNNNNNNNNNNNNNNNNNNNNNNNNNNNNNNNNNNNNNNNNNNNNNNNNNNNNNNNNNNNNNNNNNNNNNNNNNNNNNNNNNNNNNNNNNNNNNNNNNNNNNNNNNNNNNNNNNNNNNNNNNNNNNNNNNNNNNNNNNNNNNNNNNNNNNNNNNNNNNNNNNNNNNNNNNNNNNNNNNNNNNNNNNNNNNNNNNNNNNNNNNNNNNNNNNNNNNNNNNNNNNNNNNNNNNNNNNNNNNNNNNNNNNNNNNNNNNNNNNNNNNNNNNNNNNNNNNNNNNNNNNNNNNNNNNNNNNNNNNNNNNNNNNNNNNNNNNNNNNNNNNNNNNNCACUGUUUUUAUUUCAGUCUCUCUCUCUCUCUUUGUCUCUGCUAAUCACAAUUAAAUGUGAAUUAAUGGAAUUAAUGCUUCAUAAAUUUGCCGGCACUGCCAUUACUUUUUUUUUUUUAAUACAAAUUGAUACUUUAUUUAUAUCUUCUUAGCGAUUUAAUUUCCUGUCAAUUGACGAACGAGAAGAACAUAUGACUUGAACCAAUGCUCGCAUAAACUUGCUGUAAAAAGAUAUAAUCUCACUGAAAUGCACACGCCUAGAAUGAAUAGAAUUAAAACAGGGAAAAUAUUAAGUAUAUUAGCCCUCUUUACCGAAAAUCAAAUGACAAUAAAUUUUUUGAAGUUUUGAUUUUCUAUGGUCAAUUCCACCUUUUGCAAUUUCUUCUGUUCUAACAAAAACCAAUUUCUUUGUUCAAGUAUUUUCGUUUGGGUAUUAAUAAUUCUCCACCGAAAGAGUGAACUCUUGCUCAAGGGAUCUCUAAUCAAUAGCCGGAAGGGCGCCGAGACCUGAUCGGACCUAGGCCCAAGUUUGGUCUUAAAGCCUGGGCUUGAGCCUGGCAAUUAAAUUAAAACAGUAAUUGAUUUCUUGAAUGAAUUGUCGUGUAAUUGAUUUAUGGGGGAUGACACAUCAACAUACUUGAAAAUACACUAAUCUCAGCAUCAUCCGUUAAUAACUUUUAGAUUUAUGGGCAAUCAAUAGUUAAAUUAGUUGUCAUUAAUACUAAAUAAUUUUUACUUUUUUUGUCUCUUCUAGAGGAUCUUCUAGAAAAAUGCAUCCACAAUUAAAUUUAAUACUUUACAUAAUAAAGAAAGCAUAAAUGUUAAAUUUAAGAAACUGCAUUGUAUUUCAGCUGAAGUUGACUUUAAUAUUUAGGGUAGAAAAAAAUUAAAUCCUUAAUGUGUUUAAUUUAUAUCACUUGUGUCAUUAAAAUUUUCUAGUCACCCUAACCAAUUACAUCUCAACCCACUUUUUUUUGGAUGAUUUUAUUUUUAUACUAUUAUUUUCAACAUUUUUUUUUCCUUUUAACACCAACAUUAGUGUAUGUUACGUAACAUAAUCCAUAUUUGGAUAAUUUGAAAUUUGUUUGUGUUUUAUCUCAAAAUAGAGCUUCAAUCAAUUUGUACCUCAUAAAUUCACAAUAUCUGGCAGGGCUAAUAAGACCAAACUCUGGCAUAUUAUCAAAUGUGCUUAUCCUUUUGCUUGACAUGUCAUUUUAAAAUUGUCAUUCAAUGCCAAAAAAAUCACAUCAACUGAUGGCCGACUACUUUAAUUUGAAAGCAUGCAUGCGAUCGCCACCAAUAAUUAUAACUUAAUUGUUAUAUUGAAAUUUUUUUCUUUAUAAUUUUUAAGUUUAAUACUGCUACAUGUGCGGCACAUAAGUUGGAAAAUAUAACAUAAAAUUUGAAAAAUGUGUAGUUUUCGUUCCUUUUUUUUCUUAAAAAUGGGGAAAAAGAAUGUAAUUUUGUUUAAAUUACUGUUGUGAUAACAAUUAUUAUUUUAUUGAUUAAUUGGCAGAGAAUCGUUAUGGUUUCGCAUGGUUGUUAAAACAUUGGAAAAUCCACUACAUCAUCCGAUAAUAACUUUCAGAUUUAUGGUUAAUCAAUAGUUGAGAUUUGUUAUCAUUAAUGUUAAAUAUUUUUUUAAUAUUUUUUCUCUCUCCUAGAGGAUCAUCCACAGUUAAAAUUUAAUAUUAUAAAUAGUAAACAAAGUAUAAACGUUAAAUCGAAGAAACUGCAUUGCAUUUCAGCUGAAGCUAACUUUAAUAUUUAACAGAGAAAAGUAAUUAAGUCCUUAAUGUGCUUUAUUUACCCAUAUAUAUGGCUAAUUUUUUAAGAUAAAGGGGAAGGAUGAUGCUCAAAAAUAUAAAUUAUAGAAUUAAUUGAGCUCUCAAGUAAGUUUAAAGUUCAUUAUUUUUAAUUACAUGUUUAUAAUUUAUUUUUAUUUCGUAUUAAUCUAUAGAUCUAAAUCCACUUUGGAUUCAUAUACAUAUAUAGACAUAAUGUGUAUGUUAAUCUAUAGGUCUAAAUUCACUUUAGGUCUAUAUAGGUAUUUUGACAAAUGUACUCCAAUCAUAUUGGCAAGUUCUAACUACUAUAUUGGUAUGUCAAUAUUAUCUCUAAUUGCCCUAUACAUUCAGAAAUAAUCUAGAUAUACAAAUUAACAUAAAAUAAAAAUAAUUGGUAGAAAAUAUAAAUUAUAAACAUGUAAUUGAAAACGAUAAACUUUAAAUUUACUUAAGAGAGUAAUUAAUUUCAUAGUUAAAAUCUUUAAAUUUUACCCCUCAUCUUAACUUAAGAAAAUUAAUCACUUAUUUUAUUUAACAAAGAAGAGAUUUUUUUCCCCUAUAUUUCCCAAUUAUUUCUCUCCCUCUCGCUCCCGUAAGUUAUACAACUUGAAGUGAAAUAUGAGUGGUCUGAUUCUAGCUUAAAUAAUUUAUUGUGACAUGCUAUCUAAGGACAAUACAUUACCUAGCUCUACAUAUUUUAUUUAACCUCCGGCUCACCCUGUGCAAACUUGCCUUCCCCUACAAGACAAGAUUAAUCAAUCUAUCAAGUCUCAAAUUCAAUUUGGAAUAUGACCAUCGUACGUUCUUGUUCUUCCCUCUUUACGAGUGCAUUCCCCCCAACCUCAAGCUCCCUCUCUCGUCUUCAAUGUCACUGCCUAUAUCCUUGUGUUGUUCUAGUUUGAAAUAGUGGCUUCCACAAUUUCAGGGCCCCCAAAAAUCCAGAAACAUAGUAUUCAUCACGAUGACAAAUUUUUUGGCAGGCAGGUGCUUCCUGACUUUCACACGGUAAUUCUCAAAUUCUGAUUUCACCAUAUUUUAAUUACUGAUUAGCAUAUAUUCAAGUGCUCUCCAUUAUAAUAGAAGCCGCCGCCUCACUCGUGAUUCCAAACUUUAUCUUUUUUCCUUUUUUAAAUUAAUGCAAGUAGCCGCUGUCCUUUUUAUUAAUUAAUUAAUUAAUUCGGCCGCCCACAUUUCUUUUCCUAAUGUCUUCUACUGUCGAUUUUCUUUUAUUUUCUUUUUAUUCUUAAAAUAUGCUUAUAAUAAUAAAAUAUAAAAAUUAAAAUUAACAUAUCAAAAUAUAAUUUAACAGAAAAUUAAGAUAAAAAUAAAAAAAAUAAAUUAUGAGCAUAUCAAUCAAUAAAUGAAAAAUAAUAAUUUUUAUUUUUAUUAAAUAUAUAUUUUUCAGUAUUAAUCAAUUAUUUGAAUAAAUAAAAUCAUUUAAAAAUAAAUAAAUAAAUUAUUCUUAAAAAAAAAGAAACUUUUUAUAACACUCACUAUGCUGGUUGUAGGGUAGACGCUUUGGGAACUGAAGCCGGUAACUUCUACAAGUAGUCUGAAGUUGACUGGCAACAACUAUAUUGACAUUUAGACAUAAUGUACUCCAACCGUAUUGGUAUGUUUAAAUGUUCUUACUAUUGUAUUGGUGUGUCAAUAUUAUCUCUAACUGCCCUAUAGAUAAAAAAAUAAUCUAAAUUUAUAAUUUAACAUAAAAUAAAAUAAUUGGUAGAAAAAUAAUUAUGGUUCAUUUACUUAUCAGUAAUCAGAAUAGACUAAAAUCGAAAUGAGUUGUAUUACCGUUGAUGUGUUUAUGUUGUCCUGGAAUCGGAAUGAAUUAUUUUAAGUUACUAAAAUAUCCUUGGUUUGUUAUUCUAAUUAUUAUUUAAUAUUUAUUAUAAUAUUUGUCAUAUCAUUAAAAAGAAAUAAUAAUGAUGAUAAUAUUAUCAUUAUUGUUUGUUACAUUAUUAUUAUUCAAAAAAAUUAUUGUUAAUAAUAAUAAUUUUUUUAUUUCAAUAAUAAUAAUGAUAAAAUUAAUAAUAAAAAACAUGACAACAACAAUAAUUAUUUAUUAUGCCAAAAAAUAACAAUAAUAAUAAGAAUAAUAAUCAUCAUCAUUUUUUUGCCAAAGAAAUCAUCAAACCAGACAAGAAAUCAUCAAAAAUUGCUAUUUCAAUUUAGGAAGAAGUUCUUUCGGUGUGCUAGCGAUGGGAGAUGUUGUGGCUGCGAUUCGGGGAGCUAAUAGUUUAUUGCACUAAUAACGGCAGGUGCUGCUGCUUGAUGCGAGGUCCAUGGCCAGUUGUCAGCAGUUCGACUUUGGCAUGGGCGCUGCUGGUUCGAUUUUAGGUGUUGUCUAAUUUCAUUUUCAGGAUUUUAAUUUUAUUUUUUUCUUUUAUAUUUUCAUUAAUUAAUCAGGGCAAAGUUUGAUUUUAGAAUUUGGAAUGAAGGUAAUUUUGUUAAUCAUGGAAAUGAGAUUUUGAUUGUCGAGAAUGAACUUACACAAGCAACUGCAAAUUAAGUGAAAACAAAACGCUUUUUCUCUUUGUGUGAUUAAAACAUGAAAUAUACCAUAAAUAAAUAGGUAAAAAUUAAAUCAACACAAUCCAAAACAGUAAACCAAUUAUAAGAGGCACAAAUUUUUAUGUGAAAUACCGAAAACGGAAAAAACCACAACAUGUUAGUAUGAUAUAAUCUUCUACUAUAUUAAUGGGAUUAUAACACAAAUUCUUCCCUAUAUUACACUAGAGAUUAACAACAUCAAGAAUCUCAAUAAUCUUAACUUACAAUACAACCUAAUAUAUGUCUCUCUAAUAAAUAGAUAUCUAAAAUAACAAUCUCUAAUAAGUAAGUAUCUCAAAUAACAGUCUCUAAUAAGUAGGUAUCUCAAAUAAUAGUUAAUAAGAGGAUAAAACAAAAAUUAAGAUUAGUAGGAUGUGUAUAAGGCGAUGCUAUCAACUUAUCUUCUAAAUUUGAGAAAAAUAGUUAAAUUCACUUUUUUGAUUGUCCGACCAAAGAUGGAAACCUUGCCCCAAAACCAAAGGAGUCACCAUUGUGUUUCUCUCUCUCUCUCUCUCUCUCGUUCUUUUCUUCUACUUUUCUUAAUGUUAGCCGCCACUUGCUUUUAUUCUUUAUAGCAUUUAAAAAGUUACUUUUAAUGGUAAAUUUCAUCUAAGUCCAAAACUUAGUGAUAAUUGCACACUAAACAAUCCUUUUUGGACUAUAGACUUUUGGACCUCCAAAUGAGACGAAUACAACAAAUCUCCCCUUUUAGAUCAUGUAGGAGGCACCACAAGCCCACUCUCUGCAUAUAGCUUUUUAACUUCUCCUUGAAUAAUGACUUUGUCAUCAUACAUAACUCAUUCUCCGUUGUGUAAAUCUUCUCAAGCUAUAACCGUUCUUUCUCAAACACGUCUCGUAUCUAAUAAUACUUCACAUCAAUUUGCUUAGAUUUCGAAUGAUAUAUCAAAUUCUUUGAACGACACUCUGAUUUUCGCAGUACAUAAUAUAGUUGUCUCAUUUUAUACCUAGCUCUUGUAGGAAAUUCUUCGUCCACAGUAUUUUUUUGCAACCUUCAAUAAUUGUAAUAUCAUUUGCUUUAGUAGUAGAAAAGACAACUUAUUACUAAAGUUUAGAUUACGAUGAGACUGCUCCUCCUGCAAAAGUGAGCAAACAUUCUAGUAGGAAUUUUUCGGAAUCAACAUCUCCUACCAUAUCUAUACACUUGUAACACAGGUUUGUCACCACCAAAAUAUAAACAUGCUCUGGAAAUGCCUCUAAGAUAUCUGAGAAUUUUUCACUAUUGUCCAGUGCUCUUUACCGGGAUUGAAGAGAAACCACUAACUACACUAGUUGUAUAAGUAAUAUCUGGUCUUGUACAAAUUAUGGCGCACACCAAACUGCCAACUGCUGAAGCAUAAGGAACUCCUCUCAUGGAGAAAUGGGUUUUGCUCUUGAGAUUUUUGGGAACAUGAAGAAUAAAUAUGUAAUUUCUUGGACUGCCAUUGUUUCGAGGUAUAUAAACAGAGGACAAGUCUAUAUAGGUCGACAGUGGUUUGCUCAGAUGCCAGAACGAGAUUAUGUCUUAUGGACUGCCAUGAUUGAUGGGUACCUUCGAGUGAAUAGGUUCAAAGAGGCUUUGACGCUUUUUCAGGAGAUGCAAACUUCAAAUAUAAUGGGAGACGAGUUUACCAUUGUUAGCAUUCUUACAGCUCGUGCGAAUCUGGAAGCACUAGAUCUGGGAGAAUGGAUAAAGACUUAUGUUGAGUGUUAGAAAAUGCAUAUUUAUAAAGGAGAAAACCAUCAUUUUACAUUUCAAGUCUUACUAACAACCCUUACUUUUAUGUAUUUAACCUUCUUGUGAUUUAAUUACAUGUGUUUUAUUUUAAUUAAGUAUUUUAUGUAUUUUAGGGACAUUAUAGUCAUUUCACAAUAAAGGAGAGAUCAGACGGCAAAACAGACAUCACUUUUGAACUCAGGACGGUCAAAAACCUUAGGAGGAGCAUAAAAGGAAAAAUGGCACUAUUCACAUGUACGGUACUAUUCACGUGUACGGUACUGUCCACGUUACUGUUCACGAUACUGUUCACAUAGACAGAUCGAUGACGUGGCAUUGACUGAUGAGGUGUCACGAUCCUGUUGGGCUAAAAUUCUUAUGUACUGUUGAUGGUGACGUGGCAGCAUAUCAAUGGACGAAAAAUCUCGCAUACAGUACAUGCAUCACACAGGAUUAUUGUCAACCAAAUCGCGUUACUGUUCAUCCGGGUCAAACCGUGUUACUGUUCAUCCACGUAGUCAAACCGCGUACUGUUGACUGAUGACGUGGCGCAAUCCUGAGCGUCCAAACUGUUUUUAAUCCGAUGGCCAUGAUUUACUCCAUGUAUCUAUAAAAAGGGGGCCUCCCCCCCUAAUUUGACAACUCUGAAUCUAUUUUGGGAUCCAUUUUCUAUAAUUCCCUCUCCAUCUUGUAUUUUCUACGUAUUUUAAUAAAUUUCCAUUUUACCCUUAGUUCAAUUAUGAGUGGCUAAUUUCCUUUCAAGCUUGGGUUGAAGGUGAAGUCUCAACAUGUGUCAUGGGCUUUAUUUGGUAAAUUUAUUUUCUUUUCCCCUCUAGUUUUUGUGGAUGAUUUGACUUUUCGUCGACAAAUAAUAUUGAUCUUGUCUAGAUACCACCUUGGUUACACCGGCUCUCUAGUACAAGGUUAUUAUUAUUUGGCACGAUAAGCCCUUAGCACCAUAUUGAUUAGAGCGUGGUUCAUGAGGUGUGGAUUCCCCCCUCAUGAUUUAAUUGGCAUUAAUAAGGAUUAUAUAGCCCAUGAUGCAUGUUGAUACGGAUCUGGAUACCCAAGUGCUUCAUUUCAAUAGAUCUAUCUUCAAUUUCUUCUCGCCAUUUUAAUUUAAGUUUUAGAAUAUUCCAAAUCAUUUCCACCACAAAUCCAAUCCCCGAUUCACAAAAUUAAUUCUAUACACAAUUAAAAUCCACAUCCUCGUGGGAUCGACACUCGUCACCAUUAGUCUAUACUACAAUAGAUUCGUGCGCUUGCGAGUACAUUAAAAUUUACACAACAACUUAUAUUGACAAAAACAAAGUCAAGAAUGAUGUAUUUGCGGGGAAUGCUUUGAUAGACAUGUACUGUAAAUGCCGAGAUGUUGAGAAAGCUCAAAAGGUAUUCAGGAAGAUGCUUUGAAAGGACAAAUUCUCAUGGACGACCAUGAUUGUUGGCCUUGCCAUCAGUGGCAAUGGUGAUAAAGCUCUUGAUAUGUUUUCCCAAAUGCUUAGGGCUUCGAUCAAACCGGAUGAGGUAGCUUAUGUUGGUGUUCUGUCUGCCUGUACUAACAAUGGUAACGAAACUUUUGUGAUAAAUAGUUGCAACUUAAGGUGAGAAUUGGAGGAAAGGAAAUAGACUGAAGUUGUUCAAUCAUCGGUCGUCUCUAUUUGGUUUUCUCCGAUAUCUCAUCUUCAGUUUUGACUCAGAUUCUAUCUUACCACUUAGGGGUGGGCAAAAUCGGGUUCGGGUCAACCCGAUCGGGUUUCGGGUUGUUCGGGUUAGACAAGGAACAAUCCGAACAUAACCCGAAUUAAUGACCCGACCCGAACUUAGUUCGGGUCGGGUCAUUAAUUCGGGUUAUGUUCGGGUUGGAUUUAAAAUGGGUAGGAUUGAGUUCGGGUCAAUUUGGGUUAGUUCGGGUCAAUUCGGGUCAGUUCGGGUCAAUUCGGGUCAAUUCGGGUCGGUUGAAAUCGGGUCAGUUCGGGUCAAUUCAGGUCAGUUCGGGUCGGUUGAAAUCAGGUCAAUUCAAGUCAGUACGUUUUUUUUUUUUAAGAACCCGAUCGGGUAUUCGGGUCGGGUCGGGUUUGACCCGAACCGAUCACAACCCGAUCGGGUUUGUAAAUUUCAAACCGAUCGGGUUUCGAUCCCGACCCGAUCCGACCCGAACCCGAAAUUUAUCGGGUCGGGUCGGGUCGGGUAAAAUGCCCACCCCUAUUAAUACCACUAGUAAUUACAUAGACUUGCUGCCAAAGGUAAGAAUGAGAAUAAAUUAAAUAGAUUAUGUCGAAAACGAAAUAAAUUUACCAUUGUUCUGUUCAUUCUAUUUGUUUCCUACAGAAUAUUUCUCCAGCCUAAAAUUUUUUGAAUUAGUAAGUUUUUAUCUUAUGCAAGAAUUGUGCUGAGAGUAAUUCCAUUUCUCAGUCUCUUUAUGUUUCAAUGAAGACGUAAAACUUGUGUUCUAGUGCACCAAUGUUUAUGCUUCUUACAAUUUGACUUUAAUUUAGUUUGUAAAACUUUUGUCAAAAAGUACUAAAAAGUAGUGCACCAAACACAAACUUUAUUACAGAGAGGACUUCAGUUAAAUUUUAAGAAAACACUCAAAAGAACGAGUUAUAAAUUAUUAUCGAAAUAUUUCACAUAAAUAAAAGCCAUCCCAUGCUGCAAAGAUCUUGCUAUAAUCACCAAAAACUAUCGGGAGCUUUUAGGGUUUCCAUAAAAAUGUCAUUUCGUUCCAAAAGUCAAUGGUGGGUAGAAAGUGGUGCAAAUGAGACUCAUUGUUAAUGGUAUAAGUUUUUGCUUAAUUAUGUCUUCCCCAAAAUGAUGAUUUAAUUUCCAUUCUCAAUUAAUUUUCAAGUUUCAACACUUUUCUAUGUAGCAUGACAUUGGAAAGAUCUUGUACAGUUGUACUACUAAAAGCUAGCACCACACGUUAGUUAUUGUUAAGUUCUUUUUCAACGUGAAAUAAAGGAAGUAGUCCUUCGUUAAAACCAUUAUAGCCAAAUUUCACGUAAUUGGACAUUUACAGACUUUUAUUUCAAGUUGGAUUUUGGUCCAACAUUUCAAAGUUGGCCCAAUUAUUUUUGUCUGGUCAAGUCCUUCGCAGCUAAGCCCCUCAAUGAAUGAGGGUGAGAUUGCUAAAAAUUACGACAGGUGAUAUUUUAUUAUUAUUAUUUGUUUGAGGGAAAAAAUAGGAAAAGCAAUAGAGCGCCACGUGUCAACCAAUGGAAUGAUUCCUGCACAAUCUAAGGUACCCCACACAAUCCGAGGUACCCCAUAUAAUAUGAGGUACCCCACACAAAUAGGGGUACCCCGCGUAAUAGGAGGUACCCCAUGUAACUCGAGGUACUCGGCAAAGCGGAUGCAAGAGAAUCCUCCGAAAAUAUCCGCCAUGAGAAACGUCUCCGCCUCCUAAAAGAUAUUAUUCAAUUUUGUCAGAAUUAUGAAUAAAAAACGACGCCCUAAAAGGAGGGACAGUCGCCUGCGACCUCUGCCAAAAGUGAAGGACACUGUCCCAAGGACAGUGGUCCCCAACGCCUACCCGACAGCUACUGCAAAGGUACCCUGGACCACUCUCCAGCGCGCGCCACGUUUCCAAAAGAUGAGAUACGCCGCGAACGUGCAGAUAACUGCCCAAAAAUUAUAAAGAGGUAAAAGGACGUUAGUAAAAAAGGGUAUGCCAUGUGGCAGCUGAGGUACUCCAUAUAUAAAGGCGCCUAGGUUUCAUUCUCCAUCAUGUUCUCACUCACCAUUAACACUCGCACUCCAAAAAAUAGGUUUUCUUCAACCUUAAACCCUAAUUUACAGAGGGUUAGUCAGCUCUCUUUACCAUAAAAGCUUGAGUUUGCUAACUUGAGCGUCGAAGUGUGAACGCCGGGGUACCCCGGCUUCACCUCUAACCUCUAUUUCACUGUUUUGCAGGCGUGAAGCUCAUUUGGAAGGACACAUCUCUUAGUUCUAAACCUUUCACCAUUGUUACCACUCUCUCUCCCUUUCUCACCUCCCCUGGAUUUCAGAUACACCACACCGCACACAAUAAACUAGUGAGGUACCCCGUCUCCCAUAAAAAUACAAAUUCAUUGUUCUAGAUAGAUUUGGCUUUUUUUACCCCAAAAUCUGUUGAAAACACUAUUUUUAAUUUUGGGGGAUAAAUCCUCACCAAAGUGAGGAGAUUUUAUCAAAAUCAAAAUAAAAAUAUAACAAGAACUGAAAGUCGGGCAGCCUAAAAGCUAGAUGAACUAAAAGUCAGGCGCCUAAAAACAACCUUAUGCAAAAGAGAAGCAACAUGAGACCGAUCAAGUAAAAGAAUCCACCGCAACACCUAAAUUGGCCAAAUUAUCUGUUGGUAUUACAAGUUUCUUGUUAUAAAAGUGUAGAAUGAAGUAGGUGACAGUAGUUUUAAGUUACAGCUGCAUGCCUAAUCGCAAUAUCAAAUAAUGAUUAAAUAUCAAAUAAUGCUUAAAGUAGUUGCCUAGGCCCGCCACAAUUUAUAUUAACUCUUAAAUUUAUAAAUAAUUAAAUUUUUAAAAGUUUGGAUUUAUAUUAAAAAAUCUUCAUAUAAAUAAAUAAUAUAUGCACUUUUACAACACAGUCUUUAAAUUUAAAUUUUUCUAGAAAAAUCUUCUGUAUAUCUUUUCUAUUAAAAAAUUUCCAUAUAAAUAAAUAAUAUACCUAAUUUAAUUGGACCCAGCACAUCGCAUAUGCAUAGAACACAUUCCACAAAGCCAUGCUAUUCGGAAAUUGACGAAUGAAAAGUGAGGAGGCAGCAGUCAAUGCUAUUUGGGCUUGGCCCAAAAUUGAUUUAUCAGGUUGACGUUUGCCAGGAAUGAAGAACUGGAAUAUCACCGUCAAGCAAGCAACCUGUGGAGCAAUACCAUAGAAUGCACAAUCCAGCUUUGCAAGGUGACACUGGAGGCUUUUUGAAAAGUGCUUCACGCUCACUUGCACAGAUUGAGCAUCCCCUCUGGAUAUUGCCCUCUCUGAUCGAGUCUGAGCACUCAAAUUUCGGUCCUCAGAUGGAGCUACAGCUUUCUCUCCAAUAACCAACAAUUUUCUAAACUCAGCACCUAGUGUGAUCAGAGUUGUUGAUAUUUGUAAAUGGAGAUCCCUGUAUUUGCAAAUGGAGACAUUUACCAAAUCACCAACAUGCUUCAUCCAGUCUACGAAAUUCUGCAGCUGAUUCAAAUCCGGAACCUGAACCAGAGUCGGAGGUAAAUCUUGAGCCAUGUCUAAAGCAGUCUGAAGUUCAAGUACUUGAGCCCUUGACAAAGGUUUUGAAAUUGGAACAUCUUGGAUUACUGCAGACUUGUACCCCUUGGUUUCAAAGGUAAGGAAAGGCAUUGCUUGAGUACAAUUUGGAGGCAGCUUCUUCACCAAUUUUAUUUGGAGGCAAUUGGCAGCGGAUCCAGCUGCACCAAUUUCAGAGCAAAUACUGACACUACUUCAAACAGCACGCUGAAGAAGAGAUAUGUCUAUGGCAAAGGCAAUGCAGUCCUCAAUUUGACUUGAGAUGCGGUAAUCACCAAAGAGAGUUUCCUUAUGAAACUGGGCAACACAUUGAAUCCCUUCACCACUGAGAAGGUUGGGGAGGAAGUAAGCUUUCUCUCUCGUAAGGAAGAGGUGGCAUACCUUCCCCAUUUUGUCUAGGACAGGUAGGAAUCUUUUUUCUAAGAGAUUUACUCCAUUCUCUGUGAGAAAUGCUUUGAACUUCAUCCCUCUGUCUCUAGCCUCACUUAUCAGUAAAAUAGUUGAAAGCGCUACAAGGAGAGAAAAGAAGAGUAUUAAGAUAUAUAUAGACAAGAAAAACAUUAGAUGUCGAUCUUACAAGCUAAUACUUCAAACAGUAUCCUAGAAAGCUAAAAACUGCAAAAUGGCUUGAAAUUUGAAAAGAACACAUGCUUUUCCUCCUUAACUUGAGAAAAUGUUUAAUAUAGUGCACCUUACAGAAACAUUUAAACAAUUAGAACUUUGCACAAAAACAUUCAAGAAGACUAAACAAAUCAGAUGCAGUGUAUUUCUCCAAGCACAAAUGGCAUUGCAUUUUUUCCUCAACUGUAAUAUUUAUUGAUGAAAAUCAGUACAGGUCCCUCAUUUGUUAUGGAAAGCUUUCUUGUAGUCUGACCGGUUAAUUCACGGGUCUAUAAUCAUCUUGCAAAGUUACAGGCAUUUCUUUCGAUUUAAAGUCUUUGCAUCACCACCUCAUCACACACCAAGCCAAUAUUCCGUCUACCUCUACAACAAAAAGUUUUAAGUAAACGAUCCUAAUGCAUGCAGCCAAAUAAAAUGCAGUAAGAAUAUUCAACUUAAAACUCUGAAAGCCAUCUUGGUGAAUUGCCUCCUUAGGGGAAGUUCCAUGCUUUACUAUACUUGACAGGACUGAGCAAAAGCUUACAUACAACAGAUUUUGAAAAUGAUGAUGCCAAUAGAUACUCAUACAAUCCAUUGAAACUCCUAAGGUCCAUUGUUCACAGAGGUUUACAGAGUUUUGGUCAUCAAAUAGCUCAGACCUUAAUCCCAAACAAAAAACGAGUGAAAAUUAGAUCACCAGCAGCUAAUUGUAAAUUCUAACUUAACUCUUCAUCUCCUUUGUAAACAGGAGACAAAAUGGAGACACGCAAAAUGAAUAAGGAGAACAUUUGAACUCAAAUGAAAUGAGGGCACGAAAGCAAACAAAUGGCAUGCGCAAACAAACCAAGCCUCAAUCAAAAACUAAUUAACCAUUAAAAAAAAAAAAGUGGUCAGAGAAUGAACUCCAAAUUCGGGAGUGAAGCAAGAAGCUUUCAUUAUUUCAGAAGCUCCUGUACAAAUUAAUAAGUUAUGCUCUUUGGAAACAAACCUAAAUUCCAAGAGAAAGAGAACUCAAAAAAUUUGCAAUUAUACGCAAAGGAAGUGAAGCACAGCAUUCUAUCACACGUACAAAUUGUAUAACAAGAGAUCGACACAUCGAAUCAGAAGAACUCAAUUCAAAUUUGUCUCAAAAAUCAAAAUUAGAAGAUUUCACAUUUCGAGAGGAACAAGCGACAGGUCAGAUGCAAAAUUUUCAGCCACAACAUGCCACAAUUAACAGUUUAUUUCCAUGGAUUUAGAGAGCUGACUGACCUUUUGGCUUUUGGAAUUGAGAAGAUCGCGGGCCAAAAUGGAAGAGGGAAAGCGAAAGUGCGGGUUUUAAUAGGGUAUUGGAUUAGCAAAUUUAAUUAGUUUGCGAGGGUAAAAUAGGAAAGAGAUAUCACUAUUAACUUUUUUUUUUAUAAGAAAAAAGAAUAAUAAAGAAUAUUUUAUUGUCAUUUGCAGCCUGCAAAUGACAAUAAAUCAAAUACGUCAUACAGAAGCUUAAAGCUGAAUCUAAAAAAUCUAGAGCUCUCAACUACAAAAAUUACACUUGAUGAUCCUCUACAAGAUGAAGCUUGUUCAAUAUCUUAUCCAAAGUUUAUAAAGUAACCUUGUAACGAUCUUGAGAUUGCCUGCCUUCCUCGACGACCUGCACGAUGCGUUUGUACAAAUCAUCAUACCUGUGCACCGGAUUUUUAAUAUCAACGCCACUGCAGCUGUGAUCAAGAACAUAAGAGCGUUUAACAUCUUUUCUCCAUCGAGAAAGAAUGUAGUGAGAUGGGAUCUCCUGCAUGCCACUCUGGUUUAGAACACAAAGAAUGUGUCUGGAUAAAUAUCCUCUGAAAUUGAACAACCCACAAACACAAAGCACCUCCAAGUCGGAGGCAUUGUACAAAACAUCGAAAGCCCUUGAAUCUUUCUCGUUGCUACCAACCUCAAAUUCUUCCUUCACUAUGUAUGUUAUAGGUCCAUCAGCACUGACAUGUUUUGUGCUAUAGCAAGAGUACAUAGCCUCCACCUCCGUCUGAAACUUCCUUCACAUUUCAUUUGUGUACAGUUUUGAGAGUUGAAAUUCAUAGUCACAUCUUGGUUUCUGGAUACAACUUGAAUUUCUUGAAUCCAUAUCUGCCAAGGCUUCCGGUUGAUAAUUCGCCUGCAGUGCUUGAUCAUACUUGUGUAAGAAUUCUUUCAAAGGAGUACGCUUAUCAAGAUAUCCUUCAAAGUAUGAAGUAGAAACCUCAUUCUGCAGGAAUGAAAACACUCCUGAUAAAAAUGCUUCCUUCAAAUAAACAGGAGCCCACCUUUUACGAUCUUCAUAUAAAGUUUGAAUCCAUCCGUGAUCCUUUAUUCCAUGACGUUGAAUCAUGUCUUCCCAAGCUGCUUCAAAUUCCUCAGGCCUGAGAGAGUGAUAAAUUGCUCUAUGUAAUGCACCUCUAAUAGCUUCAUAUUCAAACAAUCCUUGGAGUUUCUCUGGAAUUUUUUGCAAGAUGCAUGACAAUGAAAAGCAAUGAUAAGCUCUUGGGAAAACAUCGCCAACAGCAAUUUGCAAGAUUCUACAUUGGUCAGUGAUGAUUGUUUGUGGAGAGCGUCCUAACAUACAUGUAAGCCACACCCUAAACAACCAUGUAUAUGAUUCUAUGGUCUCCCUGGCAAGUAAACCACAACCCAACAACACUGAUUGUCCAUGAUGAUUCACCCCAAUGAAUGAAACCAGUGGUACAUCAUAUCUUUCAGUCAAGCACGUAGUAUCAAUUAAGACUACAUCACCAAAGUACCUAUAUGCAACUCUUGACCUGGUAUCAGUCCAGAACAGGUUUCUCAAGCAUCCCUUUUCAUUUAGAUCCACUACAUUAAAAAAGUUUGGAUCUGUCAACUGCAAACGACAAAAGAAACUCUGGACAGCUUGUGCAUCUCCUGGUUUAAGCUUCAAUUGAUUUGAGCUAUUAACAUUAUUUCCAAAUACUCCAUUAACAUCUACAUUACCAUUUCCCUCGGUAUCGAUGAUAAGAGUUCGAAACAGUCUAAUUUUUUGAACGUCUUCAGCACUAUCUAAUUGCAAUGUUCUUUUGGUUCCAAUACCUAUGUGCUUAUGUGACUUGUAAAACUUUCCGCUUCUUGGGCUUAACAAGUGGUUAUGCUCAAGCUCGACUUCAAUGAUUCUCCACCUUUUGGUUUCCAUCAACCUAAACUUUAUCAUUGCUGGACAGCCAGUUCUUGUUUCUGGUCUUGGGCGGUUUGCCUCGCUUUUCUUCUUGAAGCCUGCACUACUACAGCUCAGCUUUCCUCUAUACUUUUCUCUACUCUUUCGGUACCAUGUAUUGCUAACUCUAACACCAAAACCCUGUUCCUUGGCAUAGCAAUUGUAAAAGUAAUAAACAUCAUCAUACGUCUCAAACUCCAUUCCAACAGCAGGAGCCAAUGGAUUUUGGAUUAUCCCAGUUUGUCCAACAUAUUCAGUCAUUGCACAAUCUCCUACGACCUCAAAAUCAUCAGCAUCAUCAUCACCUACUGGUUCAGUAUUCAGAGAAACUUCAUCCAUCUACAAUAGAUGUUUAAUGAAGUGAACUUUAAGGAGAAAAAGCAAAAUCAGUUCAAGGAAUGAUAAUAUAACCAUACAGUUACUUUCACAAAGCUGCGUAUUUCAUCAAUACCUUAACAACAUACAACUGCCUGAGAACGUAUAGACAUGUCAUAGACGCUUGAAUUAAGUAUUGGUACAAAUUCAUGUGGGACACAAUUUCAGUCACUAAACCCAAUGCCUUUUUUUUUCACAUCAUACCAAGGAACGGAUUAAACCCAAUACCUUCUUUUACGCCAUACCAAAGAACAGAUUAAAUCAUCAAUGAAAAAUUAAUCACAUAAUAAUUUAACUAGACAAAUAAAGAGCUCGAAACAGCACAAAACUUGAAUAUGAUUAUGAUAAUUGUUGAGUCAUUGUAUCUACAGCUUUCCUUCAACAAGAAGAUUAUGAACAUAAACUACACACAAAAAAUUUAUUUUAAACUGACAUAAAUUUAUUCAGUUACAUUGAAACCCAAAAAAGGAAGCAGGAGCUGGAGAAAAACAACAGCAGAGAAACUUAUUUCCAGAAGGUUUACGAAAUAAGGAAUUUAUUAAGACACAAAAUUUGAGGUCAACAAUAAGAAUUUGGUUCUCAUUCUCUUUUUCUUCAUUUUUCACUUAUUGAUGGAGUUACCAUACAAUCCUAAAUGAUAAAACCCCAUCUCCAUCUUUUUGAAAUAGAGUUAAAGCAAAGCUUUUUAAGAUGUUUUUCCCUAAAAGACUCAAUAGUACAAUGUUUUUCAAUAUUAAAUACACAACUCAAUCUUCCCCUAAUUUACUCUAAUAAUCUCUUAACUAAGGAAGAUUAAGCUCCACUUGUAAGCUAAAACAAGUUUCUUAAAUCAAGCCCCAAUGCUCUAUGCUAUUCAACAAGGCCUCAUAAAUGAUAAAACUACCUCUACAAAGAUACCCAUUUUAAUUUCGCAAACUAAAAUCGAACUCCUGAAACGUAACGAGCAUUAAAACAAACAAGUCCGAACAAGAACUGAAAAAUGAUACGUAAACCCGUUUCGACAAACAGUUUCCAAUCAAUGAGCAAAAAAGUUAAUGGAAAACAUGAAAUUCAAACGAAACAUACCUUAGGUUGAUAAAUUAGUAGCGCAAAAGAAAUUUUAGCGAGAUAUGGGAUCAGGGAUUUUGCCACGGUGAUGUUAAUUGCGACAUUCGGGUGACUCAGCAGCCUUCGAGGCUGAAACUUUGAUUGACCAAAAGCUUCCCGUUCGUUGAUUCUCUAAUUGCAGAAACGAAACUGGCAGUGUACAGAAGACGUACGCUGAUUUGAUAAUUCUGUGAAAAUCAUUGUUUUUUUUCAGAUUUUUAAUGUGUUCGAUAAAAUAUCAAAAUCUCAAAAACUUUUGUCUUUCAUUUUGGGGGGGAAAAACCCAUUGAGAUCCUUAUGUUUUUUCUUAUAUAAUCUGGCUUAAUAAUUUGCAAAGUCUAUUACUUAGCACCCAUGCAUGCUGCGUUCCAAUUUACAAAAUUGUACGUGAGUGCAUCCAGCUAAAAUUUGUAAAAAGAAAAUAGCAAUAACAUGUUAAAAAUGUGAUUAUUAUGAAGAAAUUUUAAUUUAGUUAAAUAGGUGACGAUGGAUAGGUAUAAAAUCUGAGAUCUUUUAUAAGGUUAAUAAAUAUGUUGAGUUUGGAUUAGUUCAAUUUUGAAAUAAUAAUAUUCAAAAUAUCUCUUAAAUCAUUAUAAACCUCAAAUCUAUUUUAAUUUUAUUUAAAAGAUAAAAGAAAAAUAGGUUAUGUUGGUGAUUUUUUAUUAUCUUUUUAAUAAAAAUGAAAUAAAUUGAUGUUUAUAAUUAUUUAAAGUAUUUUAAAGACUGCCAUUUUAUGAGAGAAAAAUAUUUCACUUUUUUUUAGUGUGAAAGGCCGAAAAAGGACAAAGCAAGUUUCCCUAGUUUUUAUUUAUUUGAAAUUGGUCAUCUCAUAUACUUCACCCUUCAACACUAUAAUUUUUUUGGUUAUAAUUUUAUUAUUUUUUCUCUUUUACACAUGCAUGUGAAUUACUUUUCUUUAAGCUCCUGAAUAUUUAAGAUAAAUCAUGGAAGAGAUGAGAGUAUAACAAGAUGACCAAAAUAUGUAACAAAAAAAUUUUAUAAGUGAAAAAUAUGUUAGAGACUUACAGUGGAAGUAAAACUCUGAGGUGAUGUUUGAUUUGAAGAAAAUGGAGGAAAUGAAAAGACUGGAAUGUAGAGGAAAAGAGAGAAAAGGAGAGGAGAGGAGAGUGAAAUUUUUUUCUAAUGUUUGGUUUGUCACAUAAUUAUACAAAGAAAGGAAAUCUCUAAUUUUUUAUUUAGACAAUUUUAACCUUAAUAAGUAUUAAGUUUUCAAUAUUUAUCAUGUGUAUAAUUAAAAAAAAAAGAAGUAAAUGGUAGAAAGCGGUUUCUGAUUCCGGCCACAUCGCCCGCAAUGGAAGGUACUUAUCAGAACAUCAAGAGCCAGCCAUCAUUCCCUAGCCAUCACUGCUGUCGGAACACUGCCGGAAAGCUGCCGAUUGAACCGCGAAAAGUCGUGGAAAUCGCUGCCUCAAAUCGGUGAGUUUCGCCCUUUUCUGGUCACGCCGUCGCCAUGGCUUUGUCCAUCAAGCCUGCCACUUCCAUUUUCAACCAUCCAUAGCCACUAUUAAUUGCCAAAUCACCGCCGAUCAGCGGGAUCUGUGGAAGUUAAAAAGUUUCUAAAUUUUUUUAACUGGAUUUGAACAACAUACGACCAUUUUUUUAUCUCGAUAACGACGUAGUAAUGUUGAUCGUUGGUCGGCAAGUCGUAUGGUAGUGGCAGUGAGUAACACGCGCCAAUCACAUCGGCGGCGGCGGCGGCACUAUCCGGCGACUGUUAAAAUAAUAUUUUAUAUUUUCAGAUUAAAUAAAUUUAUUUUAUUAAAAUUUUUAAAUCAUUAUUUAAAUUUAAUUAAUUUAAAAUUAUCUAUAAUGUUGAAUUGAUAAAAUAAAUUUAUAAAUAAUAAUUAUGUGAUUACAUUAAAUAAGUUAAAAAGUUGAAGGGUUAGUUUUGGAAGAUUUAGUUUCCAACACAAAGGGAAUUUGAAUUCUUCACUUCUUAGUGUGGAAUUCAAAUUCUAUAUUGUAAUAGAUAUUAAAUUUCAAUAAAAAUUAAAUUCUUAUAAGUUAUGUCAAACCAAACAACGAAAAUAAAAAAGAAAUUUAAAUUAUUUUUCUUUCCUCCACCCUCUCCUUCCAACUAAAUACAUCCUGAAAAUAGAGAUAUUGAUUAAUUUAGAAGAGAUUCAAGCAAAAAAUAUUCCAAAAAAAAAAGCAAUAUGUCCCUUUGGAGGGCAAACUUGUCAGUUUCAAAAAAGUACAUGCUUUGUAUUGAUAGUUGUAGGAUAUUUGUUUUGUCACUAUGUAUUAGUUGGAGAAGUCCAGCCUUGUGGAGAAUGUUAUGAAAGAGCAAAGGAUAUUCCUGAUAGCUGAUAGAGCUCUAUCUGAUUAUGUAUCCAGUGAAUGGAUGUGUUGUUGGAAGAUAUCUGAGUGCAUUAGUUCAUAUGUGUCUGUCAAUGUGCUUUUAAUGAUUUUUCCACCUGUUUGUUGUAAAAGAUUAUUGUAAAUUGAAAUGAACUUGAUGUUUUAAUAUUUUCUUCCGUAAAUUGAAAUGAACUUGAAUUAAAUCUCGUUGAAUUUAAUAUUAUCUCCUUAGUGGAAUUUCACCUAGUAUGUAUUCAGUUGUGUUGUCUAUAAUUUUGCAUUCGAGUAAGUUUCACCUAAAACAUUAGCAUGAGUAGUGGCCCUUGAACCUUUGGUCAAAAUUAUUGUUAUUAUUUCUGACUAGAUGUAAAUUUUGUAUUAAAUCUCGUUAACACAAUUCUUAAUUAAAAGUAUAGGUUAGUGUUGGUGCAAGAUUUGCCACACCAAAUUCUGCCUAGCUGUCAAAAGUGCAAAAUAAAUGAAGAGAAAGCACAAAUACACGACUUGAAUAAGGAUACAACGAAACUUAAAUUCAAGAGAAAAUGAUAGCUAUAUCCCAAGAUUUGAAAAAGUAGUCAUGUAGGUUUUUAAGAUUUCAAUAAGCGACUGAGAUUCAAAUAAUAUCCUUUAAUUCUAUUAAUAAAAAACAAAGACUCAAAUAUUUUAUGAUAAAUAAAAAUAUAAUAUUAAAAUAUAUGUGAUAAUAUACACAUUUUAAAUACUUUCAAUCCAAAAAAAUAGUUAUGUUUUACAAUCUAUUAGACAUAUUUUAUUAAAUUAAUAUAAAUUUUCUAUAAAAUAAGAAUAUAAUAUUAAAACAAAUUCACAGAAAUUUAAAGAAUUUUGAAUGUAAAAUAAUUUUAAUAUAUUAAUACGUGAGUUUUUUUAUUAAUAUAAAAAUUAUUUAACUUUAAGAUUUUUUAAAAUCUUUACAAUAAGUAUAACUAUAUUAUUUACAUUUAAAAAUAUUUAAAUAUUAUUAACCUACAAUUAUAUUUGCAUUUGUUAGAAAUUUUUAAAGUCAAAUAUUUUGCACUUCUAUAUUAUUAGAAUUAUUGCACACAAAGAAAGAAACAUAUACGUUUAGAAAUUGUUUUCUUUUAAAAUAGAGAUGAUGAUUAGUAUAAGGAUCAAAAAAAGGAUAAAGAAUAUUAAUGAUUAACGAAAACUCUAUACAAAUUGAUUUUAGUAGGAAAAGAGUGAGAUGAAUGAUUUCUUUUACAGUUAGAAAAAUAGAUGAUGAUUAUUAUAACGAAGAAGAAAAGAUAAAGAAUAUUAAUUAUUAAUGGAAUCUCUAUGCAAAUUGAUUUCAGUAGGAAAAAAAAUGAGUUAAAUGAUUUAGAGUGCGUUUGGAAUUGAGAUUGGACAGCCAUAGAUUUUAAGUUACAACACUGAAGUGUUUGGUAAAUACUAGCUGCUGCAGAUUGAAAGUUAUGUUGAUAUGAUUUUUCACAUGUAUCAUAGAAAAUAUAUUACAUCUUUAAUAAUUUUUUUAAAAUUUGUAUUUGCUAUAUAUUGUUUUUUUUAUAUAGUUAUAACUUUUUUUUUUUCCACAGCAGCUGUAGCUUAAAAGCUACAGCACCUCAAUCUCAAACAAGUCCUUAGACAUUCAUAGUGUGUUUAUUUUUUGGAUUGGUGAAUCAAAAUUAUUGACAACGCUAACUUCAUCUUCACCGUUCGCAAUCCAACAGCAGCAAUUGUCGCCAAUAAUGAUAUCGCCGAUGAUGAUGACAAUAAUAAUAAUAAUAAUAAUAAUAAUAAUAAUAAUAAUAAUAAUAAUAAUUAUUAUUAUUAUUAUUAAUAAUUAAUAUAUUAAUAUAUUAAUGUUAAUAUUAUUAUUAUUAAGAUUAACAAUAAUUAUUAGUAAUACAAUUUUUUGAAUAAAAAUAAUCACAAUAAUUAAAAUACAAAUUAACAAUUAUGACAAUAGUUAAUUAAUGUCUUUUUAGUAAUUUGUAAUAAUCUAACUCAUUUUAAUUCUGAUUAUUACAGUUUAAGUAAAUAAAUUAUUAUGAUUCCUAUUCUCCUUUUCUAUUUUAACUCACUUCGAUUCCAGUCUAUUCUGAUUUUUGUUUAAUAAACGCACCAUUAGUGCUAAAGUAAUAUUUCAUACAUAGAAAAGUAAAAACUACACCUAAGGUUAAGGGAAAGGACUUCAAAACUCUCUUUUGAUCAUAAUACAUUUUGUACUAAUUAACUUAAAGAUUUUGAAUCUAAUAUUUUAUAAUAAAUAAAAAUAUAUUCCUAAAAUAAAUAUAAUAUCAAUAUUUAAAAUAUGUUUUAAUAUUUUACACAUUUUAUUAUAUUAAAGUAGAUUUUAUAAUAAAUACAAACGUCCUAUUAAAAUGAAUAUAUAAAAAAUUUAGAAAAUUUAGAAUAUUAUAUAAAAUAAUUUUAAUAUAAUGCGUGAGAUAUAUUUUAUUAAUUUAAAAUGUUAUUUUACCUAAAAAAUAUGAUAAAUUAAUAAUUACAUAUUUGAAGUUAUUUCAAAUAUUAAAAAAAUUUAAUAUUAUUAGUCUUUUAGAUAGAUUAAAUUAUUUUUUUUAUAAGAGAUAGAUUAAAUUAUUUUAAAAUGCCUUAAUUAUUUUUACUUUUAACGUUACCGGCCUUUCUUUUAUUUUAUUGCAAAUUAAUGCUAACAAGAAAAAGCUAGAUCAUAUUCCACAAAAGCAAAAGUGACAAACACAACCAGCUGGAAUCUUUUAUAAAACUACAAAUUAAAAUGGAUUUUUUUUUUGAUAAAUUACACAUGAAAGUGGAUUCUUUUGAAUAUAAGUGGAGUAGGCUCUUUUAUUUUAUUUUUGAAUAUUGUAUAACGGGACUGUAGACUCUUUUAUUAAACUACAAAUUGUAUAGUCUUUUUAAAAUUGUUAUAAAUUAAUGGCCCCCACAAUCCUCAACAAUUGUACCGAUAUUCACAAGUUGGUGGCCCCUACAAUUCUGUUCCGAUAAUUUAACUGUGCAAGUGCUCAUUCACAAUCUUCCAGGUCAUGCUCUCAAUAAUUGUUUUUUUUUCCUGCAUUCCCUUUGGGAAAUUUACGAAAAUAAUCAUUAAUAUUUUAUUAUUUUUACAAUUAACCGUCUUAAUUUUUUUCUAUCAACAUUAGCCAAAUACAAGUCUUUCUUCCCAAAUUACCCUUCUUUACAGAACAAAACCAACAUUGUUUCUCCCAUAUCGCCAAACCAAAAGCAGCUUUUUAUUCUUAAAUCAUCAGCCAACGGCGACCGCAAAAGACAACGGUAAAAGUGAUAUCCGAUCAUAAUCUAUCCGGAUCCAACACAAAUCUACAUCACUCAGUGGUAUGAAUUAUUUUUUGAACUUACUGAACUCAGUCGGGUGAAUCUGAGUCUGGCGACAGGCUGCCUGUCGCAGUAAAACUUGGUGCGACAGGCAACCUGUCGUACCAAACCUUGGUGCGACGGGCACCCUUGGAGAUUUAUUAAAAAUGUAUUAUUUUAAUAGGACUCAAAUAAUUUUUUUUUAUAAUUUCAGGCUUAAUGGAUUCAGUUGUACUUGAAUUGUGUUACGAUGGUUGGUGGGAGACAUUAGAGAAUGGCUGUAUGGAGUACGUGAAUGGUAAAAAUCGAGCUUUUUUGGUUGGAAAAAAUUACUUGUUUGAUCAGUUAUUGGCAAGAGUAUACGAGGUAUUAAAAAUAAACCCUAAUGACUAUAGUAUCACAAUGAAGACAACUUUGAGGUCUAGUAACACAUUAUAUCGUAUAUGUGCAAUGCCCAUGGAUAUAUGUGAUGAUGAAAUGGUGAGGGUUGUGUUGCAUAUGGCAUCUGACGUAGCUAAUUUUGGAUGCAUUCCUAUAUUCGUGACCACAUCACCUCGACUUCCGAGCGAAGGUAUUGAGCCACAUGUCGAUAUAGAAACUUCGUUUAGAGCAAAUAUGUCUGGCCCCGAUAAUGAUGAAGAGGUGUUGCCAAGGACAAUAUCGCUGCAGCAAUAUUACUCUCCAAUCCACGACAAUUAUGAUAACAUUGAUGAUAAUAGCGUUACGUUACAGGAUGUUGGAGCAACGGUAUUUCCAAUAACAACGUCGUUGGAGCAACGAUAUUCUCCGUAUCACAACAAUGAUUUUCGGGACAAUGAUGAUUUUCAUAAUGAGACAGAGGAGGAUAAUGUUUGUGCAGAACCUUCUAAUAAUACGAGGCGGGGCACUCGUUUCAAUAAUGAUGGUGAUGAUGGAGGAGUCGGUCAUUCGAAUGUUCCGUCGUUUCAGCAUGAGGAUGAGUGUGAAGACAAUACUCCUGUGAAUAACAGAGGCAAUAGACCUAUUCCUUCUAUGGUUCGAUCGAGAAGGAGAAUUGACCCCCUUACAAGUCUUGCUCCAACUUUACCUUCGAACAUGGUUGCUCCAAGCUUUGUUAGCAGUUGUGACUCAGAUGAUAUCAGCGUGGGUAAGCUAUUUGUUGAGAAGAAUGAGCUUAUAUUACAACUACGCAAGGUGGCCUUUAGAGAUAAGUUUGAUUUCAAGAUUGCACGGUCUACUACGACACGUUUCGAGGCUCACUGUUGUUCAGAAUCAUGUAAAUGGCAUAUUCGAGCAACUAGAAGUUCGAACGAGCAAAAUGUUCCUUGGGUGGUGAAGAGAAUUGAUAAUGUACACACUUGUCAUAAUGAGGUAUUGAUUGAUGGACGUCAUCAAGUAAGGAGCCGGGUUGUCGGUCAUAUUAUCGCAGAAAAAUAUAUUCAAGAUAAGAGGAUUUAUACUCCCAAUGACAUAAGAGCAGAUAUGCAACAGGAAUACGGUGUUCAGUUAACAUACCAGCAGGCAUAUAGGGCGAGAGAAGUUGGUCUUGAAAUAGUUCACGGCAACCCUGCAGAGUCAUACAACUUGCUCCCUAAAUACUCUCACGUACUAACUACAACGAAUGAGGGUACAGUCACUCACCUCGAGCAGGAUGGAGAUGGUAAUUUCUUGUACUAUUUUGUAGCACUCGGAUAUUCCAUCAAGGGGUUUAUGCAGUACAUUCGGCCUGUCAUUGCUGUAGAUGGUACUCAUCUAAAGAGAUUAUAUCGUGGAAGCAUGUUCGUGGCAACAUGUCUUGAUGGUAACAAUCAAUUGUAUCCGUUAGCCAUUGGGAUCAUGGAUUCAGAAAAUAAUGAUGCUUGGGAAUGGUUUAUGAUGAAGUUACACGGAGUGAUUGGUGAUAGACCUGAGUUGGUAAUUAUCUCUGAUCGAUGCACUGCCAUAAGGAGAGCCGUUCUUAAAGUAUUUCACAAUGCAACUCAUGGCGUUUGUUUUUACCACGUCAAAGGUAACAUUAAGUCACAAUUUAGAAUGUCCAAAGCUCUUUGGGAUGAAUUUGAGCAUGCCUUUAUUAAUGCAGCAAAAGCAUAUGGCCACGAGGAAUUUAAGAGACAACUUGAAGGGUUGUGGAUGAUCCACUCGGGUGCGGCUGAUUACUUAGAAAAUAAUGUCGGCACGUGUAAUUGGGCAAGGUCUCAGUUUCAAGGUAGGAGGUACAACAUUCUUACCACCAACAUCGCGGAGAGUGUUAAUGCUUUCAUGAGGGAACCUCGAAAAUUUCCUGUUACUCAUCUUGUUGAUCACUUCAGGAAAACAUUGCAGCAAUUGUUUUAUGAUAGAAAAAUUGUGGCUGAAUCAAUGACUACUCGGCUAACAACAUGGGCGGAUGAAAUAGUCACUGAGAGGAGAACUAUAGCUGAAAGAAUGAUAGUUCGGCCGGUGUCUCCGCAUCGCUUUCAAGUUAUAGGCGGUGGGCUUAAGGAAGGGUUGGUUGACUUGCAAAAGAGAACUUGCUCCUGCAGAGUGUUUCAGCUUGAUCAGCAUGUGUGUGCUCAUGCAAUUGCGGCGUGUCUAACACACCGGGUGGAUUUUAUUAACCUUUGCUCGGACUUUUACACUACAGAAUCGUUGGCGAUGGCUUAUGCACAACCAGUGGAGCCAGUUGGUGAUGUGGCUGAUUGGGAAGUUCCAGAUGAAAUUCAGGAGAUGCAGGUAUACCCACCAGUUGAGGCACCACUACCUGGCCGUCGUAAAGAGCUCAGAAUACCCUCGACUGGCGAGGACGUUGACCGGCGGACUGUAAGAUGCGGCCGGUGUCAUGAACUAGGCCAUAAUCGUAAGCGAUGUAAGAAUCCUAUUGCGUCGACUCGAAGUUAGUUGUAUUUUGUGUGUUAUUCGUUGGUUAAAACUAUUAUUGUUUUUGUGUUACAUUGGUUAAAACUGUUAUUGUUUUUUGUAUUUCGUUGGUUAAAACUGUUAUUGUUUUUUGUGUAUUGUACACUUAUAUUCAUAAAACUUUAUUUUAUUUUAAAGUUCAAAAUGUGAGGCAUUAAAAUUAUAUAAACUUAAGUGCGGAAAUUAAAAAAAAUGCAAAUUUCAACAUUGAAAUUACUACAUAGGUCUACAAUAUAAUAUCGUCAUUAAAUAUAUCAACCGCAAUCUUCUUUCUAAAGUACUCGACAUGACUAGCGUUAAACUCCAAUCUAAGCCCGAACAUUAAAUACAUCGUAACCAUCAAUACAAAAACACUGCAAUCGCUAGUUCCGGGCUCUUGUUGUGGUGCGCUCUUAACUGCGAUAACUUUCCACGGGUCUUCACUCCGCAACUCAGGUCGGAUAUUGUAGAAGCCAACAUAUUCCAACCAUCGAGGGAAUAUAACUUCAAGUGGCUUGAAUUUCAACUUGUACUUUUUGUCGUCGCGAAAUGUGAGUAAUGAGUCAUAAAUCCAGACUUUAUUUUUCCGAAAGUCAACUCGUGCUAGUACCCAAUGCGCGCCGUCCAAGUUAACAGGGAUGAGUAACUGCAUAUAAAAAUUAAAAAAACAUGUUCGUUAUAUAUGAAAUUGAAAUACAACAAAGAAAAAGCAACAACUCGAAUAUUUUCAUUAUAGAGCAUGUGAAAUGUAAUAAAAUACACACCAUAUCGACAUCCGUCAUUAAUUUUGACAUUGUGUGCUGUCGCCCACAAAGAUAACUAUUCAAGCGGUCGUCGAAUACCAUUGAAUCAACUGCACAAUUCCUGUUAUUCCAUAACUGAUUCAAGAACACCUAGUACAUAGAUAACCAAGAAAUGCAUAAAUUAAUAAAACUUAAAGGCAAUAAUUAAACAAAUUAAAUAGUAUUUAUAAGUUUUGUCGGCACGUUACCCAAAAAAAUGUGUCAGUAUGUGUGACACGUUGGAGUAAGGCAUUUGGAUACUGCCGUUGUUUCUCGCUAAUCAAGCGGAGAUACUCGUGAAUAUGCUGUAGAGAAACAAAAAUAUUACGAUUUAAAAAAAAAUUAUACACAAAUCCACAACAGUAUACACCACGAGGAAAAUAUAAAUACCUCAUCGCCUAGCCAUCCCAUCGAAGCUGUCCCCAAAAUUAUUUGAAAGAAUGACCGCAGGUGCUGGACUCUCCGGCGGACUCUGCUAUCACCAGUGAACCAUCGAUCAAACUCAGCAAACAAACUAGAGUCCUCCAAUCCUCUCAGUGGAUUUACAUCCACACUCGUACUCAUGUCAAUCGCAUGCUCCAUCAUUUGGGGUCGAGGUAACCUCCGGACGUUCUGUCCACGCCUGACCGGAGGAAUCAUGUAAGGACUGUUAUAAACAUACGACGGUAUGUACGCGCGGCCGAACUUACUAACGCCCGGAGGCACCUCUGUGAACACCUGCAUGCUCUCCCCACUAACAUCCCCGUAUAAACUAUAAAAUGACGUGGGCGUAGACAAAUUUUCAUUGCCCACGUCAGUAUACACUCCAUAGUCAUCCGGGGCCUGUACAUUCGCCAAAAAGAACAUAUUAAAUAAUUAUCAAAUUAAAAGUUAAACGAACAUAAUUAUUUAAUUUAAAUUAGCUUACCGCAUACGAGCGUGCAGUGGGAGAAUCCUUAUUUGGAUGUUUAGAAAAUGUGUCGAUGAAGCCAACAACGGUUUCUUUAAAAUCUUUUAAUUCUGACUUUAUUUCAUACACAUUACGAUCAAUCUUAUCCAGCCGUCGUCGUACGUAAUCAUUAAACUGCUUUGUCCUCGACUAUUACAAAAGAAAAAAAUAAAACUUUAGAAUAACAAUAAAAAAAUAAUAAUUUAUAAAGGAAAAAUAUCGUAUAUUAUUUAUAACCUCAGAAUCCCGUGCGUCAUCAGAGUUGUCUGUUUGCUGCUGGUGGUCAUCAACAGCCACCUCAUCCUCAAAAGUGUCAAGACGCUGCUCUGGUAUUGGGUUUAGUAUGUCGUCAUGAUCAUCAUGCUCGUCCGAUUGUCUUGUAACCGACGGCAUCGCGUUGAUUGAGGGUUGGUGCUGUAUAAAGUAUCAUUUAAAAUUACUAAAUGAAAAGUCAAAAAUUUCGAUAAAAAAAUUUUUAGUACUUACAGUAUACCGACCUUAUGAAUCCAAUCUGGAAUGCUUGGCAAGUAAUCCUUCACAGAGAGUCAAUAUUUUCUGCUACUCUCUUUUGAAUUUGGCUCAAGAGUUUGUAAAAUGUCCGUCUGCCAUAAAUUCAAUUGAAAAAUUUAAGUAAGUAUACCCAACUUAAAUUUAGUAAAGUUAAAAAAUAAGUAAUACAUAUUACUUACAAGACGAGAUUCGUCGUUGAAGAACGAAUAAACCUCCGCAAAGUUGAUUCUCGAAGACGUCAUGGGCUUCCAUUGCAGAAUGCGGGGAAUCUUACUCUUCGUUUUGACGACCCAUGUUGAUGGCAACCCUCCGAUUGCUUCGUAAAUCCAAGCCUACAACAAACCAAAGUGAAAAAUCAAAUAAAACAACUAUCAAAUAUUUAAUACUAUAAAACUUAUUAAUAAACAAAAAAAAGCACCUGCACCCCAGACGUAAAGCCGUAAAGAUUAUAUUUUUCAAUAUUAUGAUCUGAAUUUUUCAACCGAGUCUUCUUAAAUUUCUCGUCUUUCUCGAACAGUGCAUUGUCAAGACUCUCGUAAAUCAUUUCCCACGACAAUAGACCCCAUGGCGCUUUCGGAAGUACUGUAUAUCAUCAACUUGGUCAAGCCAAUCGAAAUUAAUUUGACAGUGAUUUUUUCUUGCAUUUAGUACUCUGUCCGCAAAAUAAAACAGCGCAAUCUUUAAUGCGUCCAUAUCGUCCAUUUCCUCGAAAUUCAACUCCUUAAAUACUGCAUCAAAUUGCUUCACAUUAAUCUUACGAUGCACACCACCAAAAUACGUAUUCCGUAGCCUCUGCUCCAUUUCAUCAUUUUUUUCAUUGGUAUCAACACCAAAUGAAAGUCCAGUAACCAAGCACCAUUCGAUAAUUGACAAGCGAAUCAAAUGCUUACCAAUUUGAAACCAUAACUGAUCCUCACAGCUAUCUUCUUCAUGGGCCACUUGCCGCAGUAAACGAUUGUGCAAAAUUACCCCACUAAAUGGAAAACUUCGGCACUCCAAGAAAUGCCCAAAUAUAUCCUUUUUGAACAUACUCAACUGCCGCUUUGUUAAUUUUUCCUCGAUGGCUUUUACGACCGAAGAUAACAUACACAUGCUCGAAAUUCGACCAGGAAAGUGAUCAGCAUAACGAAAAUACAUCUUGCCUACUUCAAUAUCCGGUGAUUCUGAUUUCGCCAUGUAUCUGUAAUAUUUAUAAAAUUAUUACAUUACAUUUACAAAAUUAUUACCAAACUCUAAUUUUUUGGUGCGACAGGCGCCUGUCGCUCCAAAAAACUGCCUGUCGCACCACAGCUGGUGCUCCAAAAUCGAAAACAAUACUCCCAAACACUACCAACUACCACAAACAUCAUCACCACCACUAUUAAUCUCAAGCUAUAACUAUUAUUAUUCUAAAAUCUCAUUUUAAAUUAAUGAAAAUAAGAAAAAUGACUAACCUAGGUUUUGUUGAAGGUUGUAGAUCGUAGAUCGGAUGCCGGUGAGAGAUGGAGCCGCCGCCGACGAGGGUUGAUGUCGCCGCCGAUGAUGGGAGUUGGAUCGGUUUGGGAGAGAUGAGUGAAAAAGGGAGUGUUGGGGAAGAGAUGAGGGAUGGGUAUUUUGGUCUCAAAUGUUGUUUUAUGGCUAAUGUUGAUAGAAAUAUUUUUGGGGGGUUAAGAUGAAAAAAAACAAAUUUGUUUUGGUUAUUACUGUAAAUUUCCCAUUCCCUUUCAUGCUCUUAAUAAUUGAAGAGCAUACUUUUCAUUUUCAAAUGUGGAGCCGCAUCUAAUGUCGCUAAUUUAAUUUGGGAUUAAAUUAGGGGACCAUUAUAUUGCAGUGUGUACUAAUUUUUGUGUUUAUCUAAACUCCUUAAGUUUAAGACAUAUUAUGGCAUAAAUAAGAAUAUAACAAUAACAAAAGAGAUGCCGGAGCAGAUCAGCAGGGUUUGAAUAUGACCUUUGGCGGUUGCUUUUUUUUUGUGAUUUUUUUCAUUUUUUCCUUCCUGUCAUUUUAUCAUUUAUUUGGCUCUGUUUCUAUUGCGGGUGUUACUGCAUGCUUACUGUUGCUUGACAAAGUUUGCUAGCUUUUUGUUUGCAGUGCUGCUAUUCACCCCGAGUCAAGCUCCGAAAAUUUAUUAAACAACGCCGUUUCGAUAGUAACAAUUUUUUUCUUUUCCCUUUGUCUGUCUCUUUCAUCUGCUGUUUCUCUAUCACUUUUCAUUUUUUAUUUCCUUACUUCCCAGCUGCCCCUAAAUUGUUAUUCUAGCAAUAUACUUUCUCAUCUUUGAAUUUUCAUCCUUGAGUACUCCCACAGCCGUAAUUUCAUCAUUAUAGACUUCACUUGGAAUGCUGUAUUUUUUCGAUUCUUAAGCUACUUCAAUUACAUCUCCCAGUAUAGGAUCCUCAUCUUCCUUUAUUUCUUCAUCUUAUGAGGUAACAAAUGGAUUUCACAACUCAUCUACUUUUAAGCAAUUACAUAUUAUACCUUGAAUGAUUCAACUGUUCCGACAGUUAAAGAUUUUAUGCUCAACCUGCAGUGCUACGAACAUUGUCCAUGAAAGAUGAGUUUCAGCAUAUAAAAUGAAAUAUAGAUGUUUAAUCUAAAAUAACCCUUCACUGCCAAGAAACCUAGGUCACAAAAUUCACAGAUAAUGAUAAAGAGCUAAAAAAUUUGAAAAACUCUACAGAUCACACAUCAAGCAAGAUAUCAUGUUUUUUUCCCUCAUUCGGUGGUGAUUGAUUCGCUUUUUGAUGAUGGAUAUGGUAUAAAAGUUUUGACCCAAUUUCAAGCAAACACAAAUAGAAACACAAAUAGAAACACAAACACAAUCAGGACUAGAGUUGUGGGCGAUUAUCUUAGGUGUACAAGUGAAACGGUGGUGGCUGUCGAUGGUGGUAGUGGGGUGGUUGGGUAUGCGUGAUGGCUAGAUUUUAGGACAAUAAUGGUUGGAGUUGACCUCGAUCAACGAAGGAAAGUGACAACAAUUUUGACAUCAAACGGUGCAUUUUUUAGCUUAGUAAAAUGGAGCCGUUUCGAAUUUGGGGUUUAAUCCGGGGUUUGACUCGGCGCAAGUAUCAUUUUCCUUUUGUUUAUUAAAUUUUUUAUGGUCACAAAGUAUUACUCGUUCUAUUUGAGAGUGAUGUGAAUCAAUUUUUCAAUUUUAUAUUUUGUGGUCAAUGUGAAUUUAAUUUCAUUUGUCUCCUGCAAUUAUGAAAAAAUUGCAGUCAUAAUAUGGAAAAGUACACCGGCAAAAACUUUGUAAAAGCUUCGGAGUGAUACGGGGAAUUUACUUACUACUGAGGACAAUUGGUGGCAAAGCUAUUCCAUUCAUUUUAUGUCCAUCCAUCUAUUUAGCUAUUGAAGAUUAGUGGUCCAUUUGUAAAUUUCAGAUUGUCUCUCUCUCUCUCUCCCACUUGAAAUAACAAUAUUUAAUAUAUCUCUUAAAUUAUUAUAAAUUUUAAUUUACUCUCGAUUUAAAAUGGAGCAUGUCGAUAAAAAAUUUUUCUUCUUAAUAAAAUUGACGUAAGUUGUGUGUUACAGUAGUUUGAAGUUUGAAAUAUUUUAAAGAUUAUUAUUCUAUAAGGGAGUAAUAUGAAAUGAUAUUUACUUUUCAUGUGUGAAAUGAAAAAGGACGAAGCAAGUGUCCCUGCUUUUAUUUUAUUUCAAGGAGGAGUCAUCUCACAUACUUUAGCUCUUAACAUUACAUUUUUUCUGGUUACAUUUUUUAUUUAUUUAUUUUUUUUUUUUUACACAUGCGUGUGGGUUGCUUUUCUGUAAGCUCCUUAAUAUAUAUUUAAGACAAAUCAUGGAAGAGAUGGGAUUAUAUCAAGAUGAUCAAAGCAUGUAAAAAAAGAAAAAAGAAAAAAAAAAAUUAAGAAGUAAGACACUGAAAAUGGAGAAGAGAUGGAAGCAAAAGAUAUUCCAAAACAAAGCAAUCUAUCCCCUUUCGAGGGCAGACUUAUCAGGUUUAAAAAAGUACAUGCUUUGGAUUGGUAGUUGCAAUCAAGGGAAAAUAAAUAGGAUCCAAUGAAAUUUAAAUCUCGGAGAAAAUAAAUAAUCAUGCAGAUUUUCAAGAUUUUAAUAAGGGAUACUAAUAUCUUAUUUUGAUUAAUAACAUUCUUUUAUUGUGUUAACUCAAAAAAAAUAUUAUAAUGCUUUACAAUAAAUACAAAUGUCCUAUUAAAUGAAUAUAUAAAAAAUUUAGAAAAUUUAGAAUAUUAUAUAAAAUAAUUUUAAUAUAAUGCGUGAGAUAUAUUUUAUUAAUUUAAAAUGUCAUUUUACCUAAAAAAUAUGAUAAAUUAAUAAUUACAUAUUUGAAGUUAUUUCAAAUAUUACUUAAUUGUUUUUACUUUAAACAUUACCGGCCUUUCUUUUAUUUUAUUGCAAAUUAAUGCUAACAAGAAAAAGCUAGAUCAUAUUCCACAAAAGCAAAAGUGACAAACACAACCAGCUGGAAUCUUUUAUAAAACUACAAAUUAAAAUGGAGUUUUUUUAAAAAAAUUGUUAUAAAUUGGUGGCCCCUACAAUCCUCAAUAAUUGCACCGAUAUUCACAAGUUGGUGGCCCCUACAAUUCUGUUCCGAUAAUAAUUGUUUUUAUUUUUCUGCAUUCCCUUUCAUGCUCUUAAUAAUUGAAGAGCAUACUUUUCAAAUGUGGAGCCACAGCUAAUGUCGCUAAUUUAAUUUGGGAUUAAAUUAGGGGACCAUUAUAUUACAGUGUGCACUAAUUUUUGUGUUUAUCUAAACUCCUUAAAUUUAAGAUAUAUUAUGGCAUAAAUAAGAAUAUAACAAUAACAAAAGAGUAAAAAAGUGUAGAGAAGAUCUUGCAGAAAUAUAAAUAAUAUCUAUUUUAAAAUAAUUUUUAAUAUUUUAUGAUCCAUUAGAUAUAUUUAUUAUAUUAAAGUAAAUUUUAUAAUAAAUAAAAACAUACUAUUAAAAUGAAUAUAUAGAAAAUUUAGAGUAUUUUAAAUAUUAUAUAAAAAAUUUUUAAUAAAAUAUGUGAGAUAUUCAUAUUUUAUUAAUUUAAAAUACCAUUUAACCUAAAGAUUUAUUUAUGAUAAAUUAAUAAUUAUAUUUUUGAAAUUACUUCAAAUAUUAAAAAAUUAAUAUUACUAAUCUGUUAGAUAGAUUAAAUUAUAUAUAUUAUUUUCUAUUUAUUAAAAAAUUAAAAUUAUUUUUAAUUACUAUUCAAAAAAUAUAAUGAAAAAACAUAAUGAUAAAAAAAUCUUAACAUCUUUAUUAAAAAAUUAAAAACUUAUAUGAUAAAUUCUCUAAAUAUUUACGGUAUAUGUGAACCACGGUGGAUAAGCUUUAUUUAAUAUUAUUGAUUUAAAUAAUAUGUCAAUUAAAAAUGUACAGAGAAGAAAUUUCGGUGGGUAUUUUAGUCUUUUAAGCAAUUAUCAUGAUCAGAUCAGCCUUUAGCCUUCAAACGUCGGUCAGAAAAGUUUUAAAAUUAAUGCUAAAUUGUUUUUCACUUUUAACGUUGGUGGCCUUGAAAUUGCUUGUAUUUUAUUAAAAAUUAAUGCUAACAAGAAAAAGCUAGGUCAUAUUCCACAAAAUCAAAAGUGACAAAACAACCAGCUGGUUUCUUUUACUAAACUACAAAUUAAAAUAAAUUUUUUCGAUAAAUUACAAAUUAAAGUGGAUUCUUUUGAAUACAAAUGGGACAGACGAUUAGGCUCUUUUUAUUAGAGGCAAGUAAAAACUAGUCAAGAAUCGAACAGUCUUUUUCCAAUUCUUGUUUUAUUAUUUUUCAAAACUAGUUUUUGGUAAUUACAACCGGGUCAUUAAUCAUUAUUCAGAGUUACUGUUAUCUUCGGGGGCAGUGGGUAAAAGAUAAUUACUAACUGUUUUUCCUUCAAAAGUUAGCGGCUCAUGUUUGCAAGUGUGAAUGUGCGAUGCUCUUUUCUUAAAGGCCAUUACAGUGGGGCCCGAAUCAGACGUGCCUAAAUCUUUUUAAAAUUUUUGCCGUAUAACGAACAGAGGUCAUUACUAAAAUUUCUCUUCCACAGCCUACAGCAGCUUCAGUUUAUCAAACUCCAUCAAUUUUCUUUCUUAACAAAAUUCCAAAGAUGUGUAGCAUUUUUCAGAUCACAUGCGAUGGUGCUCUUUUCAAUCGUUGCUUGGAUUGCUUUCUUGGAAAAGCAGCAUACAUACGUAACCUCCAAGAUAAUCUUGUAGCCUUGGAGACUGAACUGGGAAGACUAAUCGCAGCAAAGAACGAUGUGAUGAUGAGGGUUGUCAAUGCUGAACGGCAACAAAUGAGAAGGCUGGACGGAGUGCAAGUGUGGGUUUCGAGGGUGGAUUCUGUUAAAACUGGAGCCGACGAACUUAUCACAGACGGCUCUGAAGAAAUUGGCAAAUUAUGUGUUGGAGGCUACUGUUCCAAGAACUGCAGGUCAAGCUACAAAUCGAAAACAAGUGGCUAGAAAGCUACGACAUGUGAAGACUUUAAUCGCCGAGGGAGUUUUUGAGGCGGUGGCCACUGAGGUGGUGCCCGAGAGAGCUCCGGAACCUGUAGCAGAUAAAAGACCCACUGAGCCAACAAUAGUAGGCUUGCAAUCACAGCUUGAACAAGUUUGGAGAUGUCUUGUAGAAGAAUCAGUGGGAAUCAUUGGCCUAUAUGGUAUGGGCGGUGUUGGUAAAACCACACUAUUGACCCAUAUCAACAAUAAAUUUCUUGAGAGUCCCACAAACUUUGAUUGUGUGAUUUGGGUCGUAGUUUCAAAAGACCUGCGACUUGAAAAAAUUCAAGAAGAUAUUGGGAAGAAGAUAGGUCUGUCUGAUGAUUCAUGGAAGAAUAAAAGUUUUGAAGAGAAAGCUGUGGACAUCCUGCCGAGAUUAGGAGAGAAGAGAUUUGUAUUGUUGUUAGAUGAUUUAUGGGAGCGGGUUGAUUUAACAGAAGUGGGCGUUCCACUUCCCAGCGCACAAAAUACUACCUCAAAAGUCGUAUUCACAACCCGUUCCAUUGGUGUUUGUGGCAGCAUGAGAGCUAGGCCGGUUAAAGUGGCAUGCCUAUCAGAAAAGCAAGCUUGGGAACUGUUCCGCGAAAAUGUUGGGGAAGAAACUCUUGAGAGUGAUCAUGAGAUCGUUGAGCUAGCCCAAACUGUGGCCAAAGAGUGUGAUGGUUUGCCACUCGCACUUAUUACUAUUGGUCGAGCUAUGGCCUACAGAAAGACAGCCGAGGAGUGGAGUCAUGCAAUUGAUGUGCUAAGAACAUCAGCUUCUGAGUUUGCAGGUUUGGGAGAGAAGGUGUAUCGUCUUUUAAAGUUUAGCUAUGAUAGUUUGCAGAAUGAUACGGUUAGAUCUUGUUUCUUGUACUGUUGUUUAUAUCCUGAAGAUUAUGGCAUUCUUAAAUGGGACUUGAUUGAUUGUUGGUUUGGCGAGGGAUUUUUUGGGGAAUCUGACAGGUCUGGUGCAGAAAACCAAGGAUAUGACAUUUUGGACACUCUUGUUCGUGCAUGUUUAUUAGAAGCGGUGGAAGAUGGUGAAGUAAAAAUGCAUGACGUUAUUCGUGAUAUGGCUAUAUGGAUAACUUGUGAAAUUGAGAAGGAGAAGAGAAACUUUUUGGUUCGUGCAGGUGCUGGAUUAAAAGAGGCACCGGAUGUUAAAGGAUGGGAAAAUGUGAGAAGAUUGUCAUUGAUGCAAAACCAAAUUGAAACUGUGUCAGAGGUUCCCACAUGCCCUCAUCUCCUCACUUUAUUUCUUGACUUUAAUCAGGAGUUGGAGAUGAUCGCGGAUGGCUUCUUCCAACUUAUGCCUUCUCUCAAAGUUUUGAAGAUGUCAAACUGUGGACAGAGGAGGUUGAAAUUACCUGUUGGGAUGUCAGUGUUGGGUUCAUCACUAGAACUUCUCGAUAUUUCAUGUACUGGCAUAACAGAGUUACCAGAGGAGUUAAAGAAGUUGGUAAAUCUGAAAUGUUUGAAUUUGAGGUGGACAGGUGCGUUAAUUAGAAUUCCACGGCAACUAAUAUCAAAAUUUUCAAGGUUACGUGUGUUGAGAAUGUUCGCUAUUGGCUAUGAUCGUUUUCAUGAAGCACCAGAAGACAGCGUUUUAUUUGGUGGGGGUGAAGUUUUGAUACAGGAAUUGCUCGGUUUGAAAUAUUUAGAGGUAUUGGAGUUGAGCUUGGGAAGUUAUCAUGCUCUCCAAAUUCUUUUGAGCUCAAAUAAGUUAAAAAGUUGUAUUCGAUCUCUUUGCCUCGAGUUCGCCGGAGAUACAGCGUCAAUUAUUGAUGCUACGGCUUUCGCAGAUCUAAACUACCUCAAUGAAUUAAAUAUUUAUAGUGGUUUUGAGUUGGAAGAGUUGAAGAUUGAUUAUACAGAGAUAGUACGAAAAAGGCGGGAACCUUUUGUUUUCCGCAACCUUCACCGUGUUACUAUACAUAGCUGCCAGAAGUUGAAAGAUUUGACAUUCCUCGUUUUUGCUCCAAACCUCAAGUCUGUUCAGCUACUCGAUUGCUAUGCUAUGGAAGAAAUAAUCAGCGUCGGAAAAUUUGCUGAGACUCCUGAGAUGAUGGGACAUAUAAGCCCUUUUGAAAAUCUCCAAAUGCUUGAUUUAGAAGAUUUGCCACAUUUGAAGAGCAUCUUCUGGAAGCCAUUGCCUUUCACUCAUCUGAAAGAAAUGGCGGUAAGUGGGUGUGAUCAGCUUGAAAAGCUUCCACUCGAUUCCAACAGUGCAAAGGAGCGUAAAUUUGUAAUUCGUGGAGAAGAAGACUGGUGGAACCGACUUCAAUGGGAGGAUGAAGCCACUCAAAUUGCUUUUCGUUCCUGUUUCCAACCUUAUUCCUGAGCGGUGGUCGCAAAUUUUGAUUCUCUGUUUUUAUUUCUGGUUAGUUUCUCUCUCUCUCUUUCUCUCUCGCUCUCUCUCUUUUUGUCUUCUGCAAAUCACAAUUAAAUGUUGAAUUAAUGGAAUUAAUGCUUCAUAAAUUUGCCGGCACAGCCACUACUUUUUUUUGGGGGGGGGGGGGGGGGGGGUCGAAUUGGUGCUCUGGUUUUUGACUUUUUGUUAGCGAUUUAAUUUCCUGUCAAAAGACGAGCGAGAAGAACAUAUAUAUGACGUAAACCAAUUGAUACUUUAUUUAUGUGCAUUGUAUGUAAUAAAUAUUAAGUAUACUUUAUUUUUGCCCUGUUCUCUGUUUUUAUUUCAGUCUCUCUCUCUCUCUCUCUGCUGUCUCCUGUCUCCUGCAAAUCACAAUUAAAUGUUGAAUUAUAUGGAAUUAAUCCUUCAUAAAUCUGCCUGCGCUGGCUUUUUUUUUUUUUUUGUGGGGGUCGAAUUGAUGCUCUGGUUUUCGACUACUUUUUGUUGUCAAAAUUUUCUCUGUUUUUUCAAAUUGAUGCUUUAUUGAUAUCUUCUUCGUGAAAAGUGAUUUAAUUUCCUGCCAAAAGACGAACGAGAAGAACAUUAGAGUCAAACUAAUGCUCACAUAAAUUUCCCGUAAGAAUAUAUAAUUAUUAAGAUAGAUCUGCUCUUUCAUUAAAUAUAUAUUCCUUUUUCACAUAUUAAUUGACCUUUAUUUAAUUUGUUUAAAAAGUUUAAUUAAUUGUUGUUUGCAGAGAAUCAUCUACGCCGCUCGCCGAUAAAAGUUGAGGUGUUCGAGCAGGUGCUUGCCUUUUUUUUUUUCUUUUUCUUUUUUCCCUGUUUUAAUAUUUCUUUAAAUUUUGAAAUUGUUUAAUUAUUCUUCUGGUUUGGAAUGUUGAUAAUAGUGUUGUGAAAUUAAUUUUUACAGGAUAAAAGGUUGUGGGACAUUUAUUAUCCAUGUCCUAUGUAUCUCAAGCUUAAAGGUCUCAGUGGUCCUCUAUUGGAAAAAGCAAGUUUAAUAUAUAUUAAUUGGAUAUCGUCGCCUGUAUAUAUAUGUAUAUACAUACAUACACAGCCACUCAUCGAUUAUAGACUUAAUUAUUUAAUUGAUUAUGUAAUCUCUCGUAGUUUCUUUGUGCAUUUUUAGUUAAUUUAAUGAAUAAACUCAAAUACAUUGUAAAUAAAACCAAAUUAAAUGUUCCCUAAAAUAUACGUAUAUGCCUCUCGAUGGCACACAAGGUUAAAUGUCAGCCCAUCGCGGGUAAUAUUAUUUCUAGCCGCCUUCAUUACGAGUUAAGAGUCAAUUAUUACUAAACUAAACUAGUCAAAACUCGUAAGUGCUAGAAAGUAGAAACGUUUGAUUCUAUAUAAAUGACUUCAAUUCAAUAUGUACCAAAGAGUAUCGAUAAUUGAACCCCAAAAAACUUUAAAAAAGAUUGACAAAAUUAAUUAUAUUAUUGUGUGUUUUUAGAAGAAAAAAUAAAAUAAUUAAUUAAUGUUAUAACACUAUGUUAGGUGAAAAGUCAGCUGUCUGGAAGAGAACAAACUUACUAAGAUAAGAGCCUUCUUCAGUAAUCAACCGAACGAAAAAGUCAUCUCUUUUCUUAUUUAUUUAGUAAAAAUAAGUAAAGGCCGAAAAUUUCCUAAAAUAUCUAAAUCCCUCUCUUUAAAAGAACACCAUAUGCUGCAUAACAUGCAAAUUAAUUUCCCAUAUGUGAUGCAAUUUUCUCCUCAACAUAUGCGCAAUUCUUUCCAUUCCGGCAUUUACACUCAAAUUUUCCUUCCUUUCUCUUUGUGGUUGAAUCUUACACCACAACUCAUGUGAUGCAAUCUCCUCUCGCUGCCUAAAUUGCACUCUCAGCAAAGCAGCAUAUGUAAGCAAGCUUGAAGAUAAUCUUGCUGCUCUGCGGAAGAACGGCAAAAGUUAAUCGAAGCAAGGACUGAUGUAUCAGAAAAAUUUUGGUGGAGAAUUCAGCACAAACAUAUUUCGGAUGAUCAGAAUCAAUAAAACAUGGUGGUUGCGCCAUAUAAACAUCUUCGGAAAGCUGGCCUUGAAGAAAGGCGUUUAUUGAUAUCCAAUUGACGAAGAGGCCAGCCAUGACUAACAUCAAUACUAAGAACAAGCCGUACUGUGGUGGGCUUAACAACUGGACUGAAAGUGUCAUAAUAGUCCACACCAGGCCGUUGAUUGAACCCUUUGGCAAUAAGACGAGCUUUGAACCUGUCAACAGAACCGUUGGAAUGUCUUUUAAUACAAAAAUCCAUUUGCAGCCAACAAUAUUGGAAAGGAUGGGAGGUGGAACAAGCUUCCAUGUCCCGUUAAGAACAAGAGCAUCAUACUCUUCUGACAUAGAUUGACGCCAGUGAGGAUUUUUGAUAGCUUGCGUCACAGUUGUAGGUUCACAAUCAGAAGGAGGGCUAAAAUGAGCACAGAGGUUAAGUUUUUGUAACGGCUUGUGAAUGUUAUUUUUAGCUCCGGUAGUCAUAUCAUGAUGAUUUGUGGGGCAACGAUCUAGUGGAGUUUGGGAAGAUGAUUGAACAGGAAGUGAAGAAGUGCUUUGUGUAGAGGUAGAAAUAGGUUGGGAGGAUUGCUGCGGAGAUGUUACCGGUAGAGAAGAAGGAGCAGUACACGGUGGCAACUCCAAAGGGCCCACAAUAGAUGGAGUAGGUGCCGACGAUGGAGUACUAGGAAAUGAAACAGUAAGAAUUGGUGGAACACUUGCGUAAUUAGGAGUUGUAGAUGAGCUUGUAAUGAUUUGUAUGGAAAAACAAACUCUACAAAUUUAACGUGACGUGAAAUAAAAAUUUGAAAGGUGGAUGGGUCAAAACAUAAAUAAGCACUUUGAGAUAAAGGAAUAUCCUAGAAAAACACAAGGCUUAGAGGGUGGUUCGAGUUUAUGUGAUGAAACACAAACAUUCAAAAUUUUUUAAGUUUAUAUUAAUUAGGAGUGGUACCAAAAAUUAAUUGGCUAUCGGGUUGUUGGAUGUGUUUUGGAUAUUUACAGCUAAGUUUGAGUAUCUCAACUUAAAAUUUGUAGCUUUCACUUGAAAAAAUUCAGUUAAAAUUUGCAAUGCAGACUGAUUGAUUUAUCAGUUUAACGUGUGCCAGGAAUGAAGAACUGGAAUAUCACCGUCAAGCAAGCACCCUGUGGAGCAAUACCAAACAAUGUACAAUCCGGCUUUGCUAGGUGACACUGGAGGCUUUUUGAAAAGUGCUUCACGCUCACUUGCACAGAUUGAGCAUCCCCUCUGGAUAUUGCCCUCUCUGAUCGAGUCUGAGCACUCAAAUUUUGGUCCUCAGAGGGAGCUACAGUUUUCUCUCCACUAACCAACAAUUUUCUAAACUCAGCACCUAGUGUGAUCUUGAGCCAUAUCUAAAGCAGUUUGAAGUUCAAGUACUUGAGCCCUUGACAAUGGUUUUAAAAUUGGAACAUCUUGGAUUACUGCAGACUUGUACCCCUUGGUUUCAAAGUAAGGAAAGGUAUUGCUUGAGUACAAUUUGGAGGCAGCUUCUUCACCAAUUUUAUUUGGAGGCGAUUGGCAGCGGAUCCAGCUGCACGAAGACUAAACAAGUCAGAUGCAGUUUAUUUGUCCAAGCACAAAUUGCAUUUUGUCCUCAACUUUAAUAUUUAUUGAUGAGAAUCAAUACAGGUCCCUCAUUUGUUAUAGAAAGCUUUAUUGUAGUCUCACCAGUUAAUUCACAGGUCUAUAAUCAUCUUGCAAAGUUAAGGGCAUUUCUUUCGAUCUAAAGUCUUUGCAUCACCACCUCAUCACACGCCAAGCCAAUAUUCCAUUUACCUCUGCAACAAAAAGUUUUAAGUAAACAAUCCUAAUGCACGCAGCCAAAUAAAAUGCAGUAAGAAUAUUCAACUUAAAAAUCUGAAAGCCAACUUGGUGAAUUGCCUCCUUAGGUGAAGUUCCAUGCUUUACUAUAGUUGACAGAACUCAGCAAAAGCUUCCAUACAACAGAUUUUGAAAAUGAUGAUGCCAAUAGAUACUCAUUCAAUCCAUUGAAAAUCCAAAGGUUCAUUGUUAAUAGAAGUUUACAGAGUUUUGGUCAUCAAAUAGCUCAGACCUAAUCCCAAACAAAAAACGAGUGAAAAUUAGAUCACGAGCAGCUAAUUGUAAAUUCUAACUUAACUCUUCAUCUCCUUUGUAAACAAGAAACAAAAUGGAGACACGCAAAAUGAAUAUGGAGAAAAUUUGAACUCAAAUGAAAUGAGGGCACGAAAGCAAACAAAUGGCAUGCACAAAAAAACCAAGCCUCAAUCAAAAACUAAUUAACCAUUAAGAAAAAAAUUGGUCAGAGAAUGAACUCCAAAUUCAGGAGUCAAGCAAGAAGCUUUCAUCAUUUCAGAAGCUCCUGUACAAAAAAACCAAGCCUCAAUCAAAAGCUUUCAUUAAUAAGUUAUGCUCUUUGGAAGCAAACCUAAAUUCCAAGAGAAACAGAAGCCAAAAAAUUUGCAAUUAUACGCAAAGGAAGUGAAGCACAGGAUUCUAUCACACAUAGGAAUUGUAUAACAAGAGAUCGAUAUAUCGAAUUAGAAAACUCAAUUCGAAUUUGUGUGAAAAAUCAAAAUUAGAAGAUUUCACAUUUCGAGAGGAACAAGCAACAGAUGACGUUCAAAAUUUCAGCCAUAACAUGCUAAAAAUGCUACACUUAACGGUUCAUUUUCAUGGAUUUUCUCGGGAAACAAACAGAAAAUUACGGUUCAGAGAGUUGACUGACCUUUUGGCUUUUGAAAUUGAGAAGAUCGCGCGCCAAAUUGGAAGAGGGAAAGUGAAAGUGCGAGUUUUAAUAUGGGUAGAUAAGGAAAUUUUAUUAGGUUGCGAGGGUAAAAAAGGAAAGAGAUAUCAUUAUUUUAUCAUCGAUAAUUAUUAAAUUUUUUUCCAAAAAAAAGAACAAGCAAGGAUAUUUUAUUGUCAUUACUAAGUUAAAAAAAAUUGUUUCAAAAUUACUUGAGUCAUAUCCAAUGGACCAACAAAGUAAUCGUUUUUAUUUUUAUUGAUUUUUGCAGGAAAUUAAUAACUUAAAAAUACUGAAAGCUAUUGUAAAAAUUUUUAUUAUCAACCUCAUAGUUUUUUUUUUUUGGGGGAAGAGAAUUCAAACAUUUUUUUUUUAAAUUUCCAAGAAUUCUUGACACCCGUCUUAAUUAAAAGCUAUAUUUUUAUUCAAGAGUCAUGCUAUUCAUUCACUCACAGACCAAAGGCUUUCCGCAGCAAUAUUAUUAUUUAAAUUACAACAAAGGGGAAAUCAAAUACGUCAUACAGAAGCUUAAAGCUGAAUCAACAAAAUCUAGAGCUCUCAACUACAAAAAUUACACUUGAUGAUCCUCUACAAGAUGAAGCUUGUUCAAUAUCUUAUCCAAAGCUUGUAAAGUAACCUUGUAACGAUCUUGAGAUUGCCUGCCUUCCUCGACGACCUGCACGAUGCGUUUGUACAAAUCAUCAUACCUGUGCACCGGAUUUUUAAUAUCAACGCCACUGCAGCUGUGAUUAAGAAAAUAAGAGCGUUUAACAUCUUUUCUCCAUCGAGAAAGAAUGUACUGAGAUGGGAUCUCCUGCACGCCACUCUGGUUUAGAACACAAAGAAUGUGUCUGCAUAAAUAUCCUCUGAAAUUGAACAACCCACAAACGCAAAGCACCUCCAAGUUGGAGGCAUUGUACAAAACAUCGAAAGCCCUUGAGUCUUUCUCAUUGCUACCAACCUCGAAUUCUUCCUUCACUAUGUAUGUUAUAGGUCCAUCAGCACUAACAUGUUUUGUGCUAUAGCAAGAGUACAUAGCCUCCACCUCCGUCUGAAACUUCCUUAACAUUUCAUUUGUGUACAGUUUUGAGAGUUGAAAUUCAUAGUAACAUCUUGGUUUCUGGAUACAACUUGAAUUUCUUGAAUCCAUAUCUGCCAAGGCUUCCAGUUGAUAAUUCGCCCGCAGUGCUUGAUCAUACUUGUCUAAGAAUUCUUUCAAAGGAGUAUUCUUAUCAAGAUAUCCUUCAAAGUAUGAAGUAGAAACCUCAUUCUGCGGGAACGAAAACACUCCUGAUAAAAAAGCUUCCUUCAAAUAAAUAGGAGCCCACCUUUUACGAUCUUCAUAUAAAGUUUGAAUCCAUCCGUGAUCCUUUAUUCCAUGACGUUGAAUCAUGUCUUUCCAAGCUGCUUCAAAUUUCUCAGGCCUGAGAGAGUGAUAAAUUGCUCUAUGUAAUGCAGCUUUAAUAGCUUCAUAUUCAAACAAUCCUUGGAGUUUCACUGGAAUUUUUUGCAUGAUGCAUGACAAUGAAAAGCAACGAUAAGCUCUUGGGAAAACAUCGCCAACAGCAAUUUGCAAGAUUCUACAUUGGUCAGUGAUGAUUGUUUGUGGAGAGCGCCCUAACAUACAUGUAAGCCACGCCCUAAACAACCAUGUAUAUGAUUCUAUGGUCUCACUGGCAAGUAAACCACAACCCAACAACACUGAUUGUCCAUAAUGAUUCACCCCAAUGAAUGAAACCAGUGGUACAUCAUAUCUUUCAAUCAAGCACGUAGUAUCAAUUAAGACUACAUCACCAAAGUACCUAUAUGCAACUCUUGACCUGGUAUCAGUCCAGAACAGGUUUCUCAAGCAUCCCUUUUCAUUUAGAUCCACUACAUUAAAAAAGUUUGGAUCUGUCAACUGCAAACGACAAAAGAAACUCUGGACAGCUUGUGCAUCACCUGGUUUAAGCUUCAAUUGAUUUGAGCUAUUAACAUUAUUUCCAAAUACUCCAUUAACAUCUACAUUACCAUUUCCCUAGGCAUCAAUGAUAAGAGUUCGAAACAGUUUAAUUUUUUGAACUUCUUCAGCACUAUCUAAAUGCAAUGUUCUUUUGGUUCCAAUACCUAUGUGCUUAUGUGACUUGCAAAACUUUCCACUUCUUGGGCUUAACAAGUGGUUAUGCUCAAGCUCGACUUCAAUGAUUCUCCACCUUUUGGUUUCCAUCAACCUAAACUUUAUCAUUGCUGGACAGCCAGCUCUUGUUUCUGGUCUUGGACGGUUUGCCUCACUUUUCUUCUUGAAGCUUGCACUACUACAGCUCAGCUUUCCUCUAUACUUUUCUCUACUCUUUCAGUACCAGGUAUUGCUAACUCUAACACCAAAACCCUGUUCCUUGGCAUAGCAAUUGUAAAAGUAAUAUACAUCAUCGUACAUCUCAAACUCCAUUCCAACAGCAGGAGGCAAGGGAUUUUGGAUUAUCCCAGUUUGUCCAACAUAUUCAGUCAUCGCACAAUCUCCUACGACCUCAAAAUCAUCAGUGUCAUCAUCACCUAUUGGUUCGGUGUUGAGAGAAACUUCAUCCAUCUACAAUGGAUGUUCAAUGAAGUGAGCUUUAAGGAGAAAAAGCAAAAUCAGUUCAAGGAAUCAUAGUAUAAUCAUACAGUUACUUUCACAAAGCUUCAUAUUUCAUCACUGCUUUACCAACAUGCAACUGCCAGAGAACAAACAGACAUGUCAUAGACGCUUGAAUUAAGUAUUGGUACAAAUGAGCACACAUCAUGUGGGACAAAAUUUCAGUCACUAAACCCAAUACCACUUUUUACAUCAUACCAAGGAACAGAUUAAACCCGACACCUUCUUUUAAACCAUACCAAGGAACAGAUUAAAUCAUCAAUGAAAAAUUAAUCACAUAAUAACUUAACCAGACAAAUGAAGAGCCUGAAACAGCACAAAACUUGAAUCUGAUUAUGAUAAUUGUUGAGUCCUUGUAUCUACAGCUUUCCUUCAAUGAUAAGACAAUGAACAUAAACGAGACACAAAAAAUUUAUUUUAAACUGACAGCCCAUGAUAUAAAUCAAACAAAAUCAACUCCUUUUUUUACACAUCACAUCUCAUAUUCAUUUACAUUGAAACACAAAAAGGAAGCGGGAGUGGGAAAAAAACAACAGCAGAGGAACUUAUUUCCAUAAGGUUUACGAAAUAAGGAAUCUAUUAAAACCCAAAACUUGAGGUCACCACAAAGAAUUUGGUUCUCAUUAUUUUUUUCUUCAUUUUUCACCAAUUGAUGAACUUAAAAUACAAUCAUAAAUGAUAAAACCCCAUCUCAAUCUUUUUGAACUAGAGCUAAAGCAAAGCAUUUUAAGAUGUUUCAUCAUUUUUUUUUUAAAAAAAACCUCAAUAGUACAAUGUUUUUACUCUAAUAAUCUCUUAAUUAAGGAAGAUUAAGCUUCAGUUGUAAGCUAAAACAAAUUUCUUAAAUCAAGCCCCAAUGCUUUAUGCUAUUCAACAAGGGCUCAUAAAUGAUAAAACUACUUCUACAAAGAUACCCAUUUUCUAAAUUAAUUUCAAAAACUGAAAUCAAACUCCUGAAACGUAACGAGCAUUAAUAUAAUCAAACCCGAACAAGAAUUGAAAAAUGACACAUAAACUCGUUUACACAUUUCGACAGACACUUUGCAAUCAAUGAGCAAAAAAUUAAUGGAGAAGAUAAAAUUCAAACGAAACAUGCCUUACAUUGAUCAAUUAGAAGGGCAAAAGAAAUUUUAGUACGAUAUGGGAUCAGGGUCUUGCCACGGUGAUGUUAUUUGUGAUGUUCGAGCGACUCAGCGGCCUUCGAGGUUGAAAAUUUGAUUGACCAAAAGCUUCCCGUUUGUUGAUUCUCUAAUAGCAGAAACGAGACUGGCAGUAAACACAACAACUUCGCUGAUUUUAAAUUCCGUUGUUUGAGAUGGAAAACUUUUUGAAAAAAUUAAUGUGUUCGAUGAAUAUCAAAAUCUAAAAAACUUUUUGUUUUUCAUUUUUUUGGAAAAAACCAUUGAGAUCCUUACUAUUUUUUCUUAUAUCAUCUUGCUUAAUAAUUUGCAAAGUCUAUCGCAUAGCACCCAUGCAUGAUGUAUGCUGCGUAACUGCGUUGUAAUUUACAAAAUUGUAAAUUUGUUAAAAGAAAAUAAUAAUAACAAGUUAAAACUUUAAAAUUUUUAUCAUUCGAAGAAAUUUUAAUUUAGUUAAGUAGGUGACAUGAUAAUAAAUAGAUACGUAUAAUGUCCGAGAUUUUUUAUAAGAUUAAUAAAUAUGAUAAAUUUGGAUUAGUUCAAUUUUGACGUAAUUCAGAAUAAACACAUCUUCCUAAUCUAAAAAUAAUUACAAACAAUUUAAUUUGUGUUGUUUCUCUAAAAGUUUGAGACACAAAUGUUAUUGCAAAUUGAAACGCCAUGCACUAGUAGAAGGUAAGAGAAACCAAGGUUGAAGUUACUGUUCAUUUAUUUUUAUUUAUGAUUUUUUGUAAAAUGUAAGAAAUAUGUAGAAAUGUUGCCAGCAAUGAUUUUGGAACUUUGCAUAAAAUUUUUAUCAUUAUUGUUUUUGGUAUUAAGAAAUCCGAGGCGGUGAUUAGUCGUAUGUUGCAACAAUUAAGAAAUUUCUUAUUGGAGAUAAUUUGGUAGGUUGCAACAAUUAGAGAAUAAUUUUCCUGUCAGUUAAUCAAUCAAUAAUAAAUUUCAAAUUGCAGAAAAUAAAAUAAUACUGUCGCACUUAGAAUCAUCUUUUCUAUUUCUUUCAAUUGUGACAAUCAUUUGUAACAAAUAAAUCAAUUUGAUGCACAUCAUUUCCCCAAUUCAAAGUUCAAGUCACUGCUCAAUUGCAGGGUAGUUAGUAGACAUGCAUGCAUGUUUAAUUAAGUACUGCAUUGUAAUAUAGAAAAUCAUAACAUCUCACCAAGCCCGGAAGCAUAGCUCUUUAUCUUGUAAAUGUUGAAAUCUUAUGCAAACUAUGGGAAACAUGAUCUCACUCUCAGUGCCACUUGAUUCCAUUUUCUUUGUUGGGAAUGCUACGAAGUCUAAGCUUGAAGAUAAUCUCGAUGCCUUGCGGACUGCAAUGGAAAAAUAAGCGGAAACGAGAAAUGAUGUGAUAAAUUGUGAGCCAACAAUAGUGGGCAUGGUGUCGACUUUUGAGAAAGCCUGGAGAUGCCUUGAAGAAGAAUCAGUUGGAAUUAUUGGCCUGUAUGUUAAUGGGGGAGUUGGAAAAUAUUUACUCAAAUCAACAACAAGUUCCUUGAUGGUCCAAAUAAUUUUGAUGUUGCGAUCUGGGUAGUGGUCUGCCAAGAUUUACAACCCCAGAAGUUUCGGGAAAAGAUUGGGAAAAAGAAAGGCUUGUUCGAUGAGUCAUGGAAGAACUGAAGUUUUGAAGAGAAAGCACUCGACAUAUUCAAGAAUUUAAGCAAGACGAAGUUUGUAUUACUGCUGGAUGAUAUAUGGGAGCAGGUUGAUUUAAUUAAAAUUGGUGUCCCUCUUCCAAGCACAAAAAUUACAUUCAAGAUAGUCUUCACAACUCGUUUUAUUGACAUUUGUGGCCUCAUGGAAGCUCACAACAAGAUUAAAGUGGAGUGUUUAAAUGACGAAGAAGCAUGGGAAUUAUUCUGCAAGAAGGUUGGAGAAGAUGUGGCGACUCUGUCCAAGUGCUAAGGAGAUCAGCCUCAGAAUUUCUAGGUAUGUAAAAAUGAGUAUAUAUAUCCACUUUUGAAAUUCAGUUAUGAUAAUUUACCUAGCGAUAAAAUUAGAUCGAGUCUGUUAUACUGUAGUUUGUUUCUGGAAGACUUUCCAAUUAGCAAAACGGAAUUGAUACAUUGUUGGAUAAGCGAGGGCCUUUUGGAUGAAACUAAUAGUUCUGAGAUAUGAAAUCAAGGAUACUACAUUAUUGGUGUUCUUGUUCCUUUAUGUUUAUUGGAAGAAGAGGCUCCACUAUAUGUAAAAGUGCAUGAUGUGAUACGCGAUAUGCUUCUGUGGAUCGCAUGUGAAGUUUUUUUUUUCUUUUUGAUAGGGAUAGCAUGUGAAGUUGAGAAGGAGAAAGAGAAUUUUUUGGUUCGUGCAGGUGCAAGGAUUAACUGAAGUGCCAGACAUUUGGAAAUGGGAAGGGUUGAGAAGGGUGUCUUUCAUGAGCAACAAAACUGAGAAGUUAUCAGAAAUUCCUUCAGAUCCCCAUCUACCGACUUUGUUGCUUCAACGUAAUUAUUUAGAGAUGAUCAAUAAUGACUUCUUCCAAUCUAUGAAUUCCCUUAGAGUUUUGAACUUAUCAUGUAAUCAUUCUCUAAUUGAUAAUUUCAAAGUUAGUUUCCCUACAACAUCUUAAUUUAUCAAUGACUAACAUACGAGAGUUGCCGAAUGAGUUAAAGUUUGUAGUGAAUCUAAAGUUUUUGAAUGUGGAGUAUGCACGGUUUCUUCAUUCAAUUCCAGGGCAAGUGAUAUCCAGUUUUACGAUGUUACACGGUUUGAAGAUGUUUGGUUGUGGGAGGUCAUCUUCUGAUCAUGAGCCACACUAGAAGAUAGAGUUUUAUUUGAAGGCUGUAAACUUUUGAUUGUGGAGUUGUUUGGUUUGAGAGACAUCUAGAUGUGUUGACCAUCAUCCUAACAAGUUCCCUUGCUCUGAAAAGAUUUUUGAGCUACAACAAACUUCAAAGUCGUACUCAAUCUCUCUAUCUUAAAUGCUUUGAUUCAAAUCUUCUUGUUUUUUCCAUAAAACAUUGCCAUGAUAUGGAGGAAAUACUCAGUGUCGGAAAAUUAGGUGAAGAGAUGAUGUCAAAUCUGGAACCUCUUACAAAACUCCAAGUUCGUUGCUUGAAGAAGCUACCAAAUUUGAAGAGCGUCUACUGGAAGGCCUUGCCCUUGCCCAAUGUAUGCAUAAUUUUUGUAUCUAAAUGCCCAGAACUUAAGAAGCUGCCGCUGGAUUUUGAAAGGGCGGGCGAAGGUAAAAUUCUUAUCAAGUGAAAGGAAAAUCGAUGGAAACGACUUCAAUGGGAGGAUCAAGCAACUCAGAAUGCAUUGCUUCUGUUUUUCAAAUCUAGUGAUUGAAGGGGGCAACAUCAACAUCAUCAGCCUGGAUGGGGAGAUUCUGGAGCAGAUCAGUAGGGUUUGAAUCUACAUCAUUAACAUCAUCAGGGUCUGUAUUUCUAUUGCUGGUCUUAAUGCUUGCUUACUGUUGCUUGACAAAGUGAGCCAGUUUUUUGUUUAUUAAAUUUUGUCUUGUAGAGACAGUCACAAAGUAUGGGUUGUUCUAUGUGAGAGUGAUGUGAAUCAAUUUUUCAAUUAUAUAUUCUGUGGUCAUUGUGAAUUUUGUUUAGAGAUGCAAACUUAGAAUAUGGAAAAGUUCAUCGGCAAACAUUUUGUAAAAGCUUCCAACUGAAGUUUUCAUAAUUAAAUAAUAAAAAAAUAGGAAGUGACGAAAAAAUUAUCCUAGGUGUUACGAAAAAACAUGAGCUCCGAAAAUAUUGGAAGUGACGAAAACUUAGGGCUAGGGUUUGAGAACUCUAACCCGCCACCACUGCAAGAGGACAGGACGACUAAGAAGGCCCGGUUUCGGGCUGAGGGAAUUGAUGCUGAUAAUCCUCAUAAACCCUCUUGGAGAGAUAAGGCUAUGGAGGCAGUCACGGUGAUGGCAGGUCAGACAGGAAGGAUUGGAGAGUUGGGUUACGGCAGUGUAUGCUAGCCCUAUUCCAACAGUCCUGCGUGAAUUAUGGUAUCACCUUGCAAGUAUUGCUUCUCAAAUGUUGGAUCCGUGGUUGGUGGGCGGAGAUUUCAAUGCUAUCUUAUACGCACAUGAGAAGAAAGGGGGCUCGAACCGAAUAAGUGGCACUUGCAAUUUAUUUAAUCAUUGGUUUCAUUCUUGCAGGAUGCUUGAUCUAAAGUUCUCCGGCCCUCGCUUCACUUGGUCUAGGGGAAACCUUUCUAAACGAUUGGAUAGAGCGGUUUGCAAUAAUGGAUGGCUAAUAAAACAUGCAAAUAGUAGUGUCAUGCAUCUUCCAAAAAUUGAUUCCGAUCAUCGGCCUAUUCUAGUCAAGUUCCAGAACAUGGAUUCCAAGCAUGGGGGCCCGAGGCCAUUUCGAUUUUUGGCUGCAUGGCUCACAGAUGAGAGAUUUGGGAGUUUUAUGAAUGAUAGCUGGAAUAAGGGAGAGAAUUUUCUUGAGGCAGUGGCUGAUUUUACUCAACAAACUAGGUGGUGGAAUAAGGAAAUUUUUGAAAAUAUUAUUUAUCGGAAGCGGAAAUUGUUGGCUAGAAUAGGUGGGAUCCAAUGAAUUUUGGAAGCCAAGCCUAACCAUAGCCUUACUAGACUUGAAGUUAAGCUUCAGAAGGAGCUCGAAGAGGUUCUCACUCAGGAAGAAUUAUUGUGGCUUCAGAAAUCCAGGAGAGAUUGGACUUUGUAUGGUGACCGCAACACUGCUUAUUUCCAUAAAAAAAUGCUAACCAGGCAUCGCCAGAAUCGGAUUACUGCAAUUCAAAAUGAUACUGGGCAGUGGAUACACGACGUCGAGAUCAUUAAGCAACGUGCAGUCAAUUUCUUUUUGGAAUUAUACACGCCUGAACAAGGGGUGCAUAGAACAUAUAAUGUCAGGGGGUGUUUCCCUGAGACGUCAGAUGAUAUUUGUUUAAGUUUGAUGUCUGCGGUAACAGAUGAGGAAAUCAGACAUACUAUUUUCAGUAUGAGUCCUUUUAAAGCUCCUGGAGUUGAUGGCUUUCAUGCUAGUUUUUACCAAGCGCAAUGGAAUACAGUUGGUAUGUCUUUGAGCUCUUUAAUCAAAAAUAUUUUUAAUUCUAAUCAUAUCCCUGCAGAGAUCAACAGAACCUUGCUGGUGCUCAUUCCUAAAGUGUAUCAUCCAACAAGCCUCAAGAUGUUUCGGCCGAUCAGCCUUUGCACAAUUCCGUAUAAAACGGUGACGAAAAUUAUUGCAAAUAGGUUACAGGUUUUUCUUCCAGAUCUCAUUGGACCCCAACAAACCAGUUUUGUACCGGGUCGGCAUAUUACAGAGAAUAUUGUUAUUGCUCAAGAGGUAAUCCAUACAAUGAAGAAAAAUGUGGGGGGUAAAAGAAUGAUGGCGGUUAAAGUGGACUUGGAAAAGGCUUAUAACCGGUUGAGUUGGCGAUUUGUUCAGGAAACUUUACAGGAAGUUGGGCUACCGGAGCGAUUUAUUCACCUCAUAAUGGAGUGUUUGUCCACAGCCCAAAUGAAUGUUUUGUGGAAUGGAGAAAUGACUGAAGAUUUUCGGCCAGGGAGAGAAAUUCGACAAGGAGACCCUCUUUCGCCUUAUAUUUUUGUGCUUUGUAUUGAAAGAUUAAGUCAUGGGAUUAUCCAGGCGGUUAAUCAAGGUAGAUGGAAACACAUUUGACUGACUCGAACUGGCACUCCUCUAAGUCAUUUAUUUUUUGCGGAUGAUCUGCUUCUCUUUUUGGAAGCAAGUUACGGCCAAGUUGAUGUAUUGAAUGAUGUGGUGGAGAAUUUCUGUAGGAGCUCGGGCGCUAGAGUUAGUAAUCAAAAGACCCAAGUCUUCUUCUCCAAAAAUGUCCCGGUCACUUUAGCCAAUGGAAUUGGCAAGGCUUUAGGCUUCUCGGUUACAAAUAAUUUGGGAAGAUAUCUUGGCAUGCCUCUUCUUCACGAUCGGGUUUCUAAGAAAACGUAUCAGAGUAUCAUUGACAAAAUUGAUCAGCGGCUAUCAGGAUGGGCAGCAAAGCAAUUGUCUCUGGCAGGGAGAGUUACUCUCACUCAAUCGGUGCUUCAGGCAAUCCCGAUUUACGCUAUGCAAACCACGUACCUCCCAUCUAGUGUCAGAGUUAAAAUUGAUCAAUUAUGUAGAAGAUUCAUUUGGAGUGGGGCUGGUUCUCAACGCAAGUUAAGUUUGGUUAGCUGGGACAACAUUUGUAGGCCUAAGAGCAAUGGAGGGCUCGGUUUCAAGGACAUGGAACUUAUGAACAAAGCCUUACUAAUGAAAGUGGCUUGGGAUUUAUUCAUAAAUCCUAGCAAGCUGUGCUCCCAGGUUUUAAUUUCUAAUUAUGUUGCGCCUUGUGAUAUGAUUACUACUGAUGCUUCAUUUAAAAAUGGUUCCUAUUUAUGGCGCUCUAUGGGUAAGAUUUGGAAAGACUUCCAGAAGGGUUUGCGUUGGAGUAUUGGAAAUGGCCAACGGGUGAAGUUUUGGGAUGAUAUUUGGGCUACAAAUGGUGAUCCCUUAAUCAACUAUACGGUGGCUUCAAUUCCGGAUAGCAUGCGAAAUAUGUUGGUGGCGGAUUGUGUGGAUCAAAAUGGGAAUUGGUUGUGGAACAUAUUCAACUCUUUUUUGAAUAACCAUGCUGUUUUAAGGAUUGCUUCCAUGGCUCCUCCGUCGUCAAUGAGAGGCGAGGAUAGGAUGUAUUGAGGUGCAUCAAAUACUGGCAAUUUUACAGUCCAAUCAGCUUACCAAGUGCUUACGAAUUUUUGCCCCGCUGAAGACUGUCAAGACUGGCAACAUUUGUGGAAAUGGAAGAGGCCUCAAAGCGUAAGAAUUUUUCUAUGGUUAUUAUGCCAUGAUCAAUUGAAGACGGGAUGUGAGCUUGCUAGAAGGCAUCUGGACGUCGAGGCUUUAUGUGGGAGGUGCCAUGCAGACGUUUAGAAUUCUUUGCAUGCAAUUCGAGAUUGUGAUUAUUCGAGAGGUGUUUGGCGGAAGCUUGUUCCCGCGCUUAGACAACAUGACUUUUUUAGUUAUCCUCUUUGGCAAUGGAUCAUGACAAAUCUUAGGAGAAGAGUCUGUGAUAUGGGGAGCUUAUUUUGGCCGAUUAUGUUUGGUAUUGCGGCUUGGAGAAUUUGGUAUUGGAGGAACCAGGUGAUGUUCAACAACAAGAGCUGGAAUGGUGAUUUGAUCGUUCGAGAUAUUAAGGCAAGGACUGAGAGUAUUUGUUCUACUCUUUCAAGCAUAGGCUAUCGAAGAAAUGAAAGGAUUCAGAAAUGGAUUCGUUGGGCUCCUCCACCAUGGCCUUUCUUGUGCUUAAAUACGGAUGGUGCAAGGAAAGGAAAUGGAGAGGCGAGUGCAGGUGGGCUGCUGCGGGACUGUCAUGGUAAUUUUAUUCAUGGUUUCAGCGCACAUCUCGGAGUUUGUUCAGUUCUAAAGGCUGAACUUUGGGGUGUCUUGCAUGGGUUAAGAAUGGCAUGGGAUCUUGGCUAUAGACGUAUCCAAGUUGGAGUAGACAACUGUAGUGUGGUGCAAAUUAUAAGGGAAAAUAAUGCUCAUGUCAACGAAAUUUCGAAUAUAAUCGAGAUGAUUAGAGAACUCAUGAGGAGGGAUUGGAGGAUUCAAAUUGAUCACAUCUACCGCGAAGCAAACUCGGCAGCUGAUUUCCUUUCUACGCAUGCUUUGAGUUUACUUGUUGGAGUACAUUUUCUUCAUUCUGCACCUUUAGGUUUGAGAUCUAUUUUAUAUUUGGAUAUGUAUGGGGUGGCACACUCCCGGUUUGUGCCCCUUUAGCUCUUCUCUUUUAGAGCCUUUUGUUUAUCAAAAAAAAAAAAAAAGCUUCCAACUGAAAUAGGGAAUGCACUUACUACUAAGGACAGUUGGUGGCCACCUAAUGCAUUCAUUUUAUAUCAAUUCAUCAUUUUAAUUAUUGAAAACAAGUGGCUCAUCGCUUUUACUUUAGGUAAAAUUCGGAUAAUCUCUAUUAUGAAAUGAUAAUAUUCUCUUAAAUUAUUAUAAACCUCAGCCAAUCUUAAUUUUAUUUAAAAGAUAAAAGAAAAAUAGGUUAUGUUGGUGACUUUUUUCUUAUCUUUUUAAUAAAAAUAAAAUAAAUUGAUGUUUAUAAUUGUUUAAAAUACUUUAAAGAUUGUUAUUUUAUGAGAGAGUAAUAUUUUACUUUUUUAUUGUGAAAUGCUAAAAAGGACAAAGCAAGUGUCCCUGGUUUUUAUUUUAUUUGAAAUUGGUCAUCUCAUAUACUUUACGUUUCAACACUACAAUUUUUUUGGUUAUAUUUUUAUUAUUUUUUUCUUUCUUACACAUGCACGUAAAUUUUCUUUCUUUAAGCUCCUGAAUAUUUAAGACAAAUCAUGGAAGAGAUGAAAGUAUAACAAGAUGAUCAAAAUACGUAACAAAAAAUUUACAAGUGAAACAUACGUUAGAGUCGAAGUAAAACUCUGAAAAUAGAGAUAUUGAUUAAUUUAGAAGAGAUGCAAGCAAAAGAUUUUCUUAAAAAAAAGAAAAGCAAUUUGUCCCUUUCCAGGGCAAACUUGUUAGUCUCAAAAAGGUACAUUCUUUGAAUUGAUAGUUGCAGGAUUUUUGUCUUGUUUUUGUUGUUGUGCAUUAGUUGGAGAAGUCAAGCCUAGUGAAAAAUGUUAUGAAAGAGCAAAGGAUAUUUCUGACAGCUUUAUUUAAUUAUGUAUUCAUUUAAUGGAUGUAUUGUUAGAAGAUAUUUAAGUGCAUUAGUUCAUCCGUGUCUGUUGAUGUGCUUUUAGUGAUUUUUCCAGCUGUUUGUUGUAAAAGAUGAUUGUAAAUUGAAAUGAACUUGAUGUUGUAAUAUUUUCUCUUUUGUGGAAUCUCAGUUGUGUUGUCUAUAAUUUUAGUCAAAAUUAUUGUUAUUAUUUCUUACUAGAGGUAAAUUUUUUAUUAAACCUCAUUAACACAAUUCUUAAUUAAAAGUAUAGGUUAGUGUCGGUGCAGGAUUUGCAGCACCAGAUCCUGCCUAGCUACGUGUCAAAAAUACAAAAUAAAUGAAGAGAAAGCACAAAUACAUGACUUGGAUUAGGAUAGAAGGAAACUUAAAUCUUAAAGAAAAUGAUAGCUAUAUCCCACUAUUUGAAAAAAUGGUCAUGUAGAUUUUUAAGAUUUAAAUAAGGGACGGAGAUCUUCUUUUGACAAAUAAUAUCUUUUAGCUCUCUCAAGUAAAAAAAAAAUUAAAUAUUUUAUAAUAAAUAAAAAUAUAAUAUUAAAAUAUACGUGAUAAUAUAUACAUUUUAAAUAAUUUCAAUCCAAAAAAAUAGUUAUGUUUUAUCGAAUCUACCUAUGUUACAAUAGUAGUAUGGUACCACAAUAUUUGUUCUUAUCCAAUGUAAUCAUUGGAUGAUUUAGAGCUUAAUCUAACGGCUUAAAUUAUUUUUCUGAAUAUUUGAAGCAACAACUUGCAACCGUUGGAGCCGGUUGCAUAUUAAUUUAAUAUCAUUUGGGGAAGCGUACGGUCAGGAAGUUUCUUAGUAUGCCACCAAUGGAAUUUGAUUUCAUCUCAAAUCGAUCUGCAGGCAGCAAUUGGGAAAUUACACUCACGGUCUUCCUCUUCUUCACUUCCUCUCUACUCUUCACUUUUCUCACUCUCGCGAUGUUUACAGCAUGAUAAGUACAAUUACAAACCAGGAAAUGCCAUUAACAAUUUUCAUUUGUCUUAGUCGUUUUUUUUUUUUUUAGUAGAAAGCCAAAAAAGAAAACGGGUGGGAGGUUGGGGCGUCGUGAUGAAAUGGUUUUGAGUUUUUGACGGAAUGUUUGUUUUUGUGAUUCAUUUAGGGUUUGAAUUCAGGCUUGUACGAACUCGGAUCUAUUCGAGAUCCGUAUUGGCGCUGAAAUCAGAUCCUUUGAAGCCUUGGUUUGAAUUCAACCUUGAGAACUCCAAGCUUGUUAGAAUCUUCAUUGAUCUCUCCAGAAAUUACACGGAUCUUAUUACUAAACCCUACAUAUAGGGCUGCAAUGGAGUCCGAUUCUCUCACAAUUGAUGAAUCAAUAUUGAGACAGUUCGAAAAGGAAGUAAAAAAGAGAAUCAACUUGACUGGCUAAAUAAUUGCGGAGGCCAAAGAGUCUUUUGAUAAUCAAUUGAAGAUUUAGAAGUUAAAAGACACUAUUUUUACUAUGAACGAACAAUUGACUAAGGCGAAAAAGCAAGGAGCUUUUUUGAGUUUGAUUGCUGCGAAAUCGAUGCCUUAGAGUUUGCAUUGUUUGGCCAUGAGGUUGAUGAAAGAGCGAGUUGUUCAUCCGGAGAACUAUAAUGAAGAAGGGAAGCCCACACAUGCAGAAUUCGAGGAUCCCAAACUUUAUCAUAAUGCUAUUUUUUCUGGGUAAUAUGCUUGCAGCUUCGGUGGUGGUGAUUGGUGAAUUUAGCUGUUAAGAACUCGAAGGAGCCUUGGAAACAUGUGUUUCAUGUUGUGAUGGAUCAAAUGUUUAAAUUGAAGGAUUAUAAUGGAGCACAUUUAGGCACGAAGGCUGUUGAGGAUUAUAAGUUUUUGAAUUCUCACAUGUCCCUGUGUUAAGGCAGCCGGGGUUUGCUAAUUUGCAAAGGUUUUACUUCGGGAAGUAGCUUGAGAAUGCUACGAAAGAUGCUACUAACAUGAAGUUUAGGAAUCCCAAUUACUUGUUGAUACUGUAUCAUUUGAGGUUCUGGAUAAGAUUUCAAUGAUGGCCGCUUAAAACAAAUAAUAAAAAAAAAGAACUUGUACUGUAUUUGGAUCUUUACUUAUUUGAUAUAGUUUUCUGCAAUCUCUCCAUGCAACCGGUUACUUUAAUUAUCCACUAACUCAUCUCAACCGUUUGAUGGACUCACUUUAUAUCCAACGGCAGUUUUAAAUGAAGACAAAAAGUGUGGUAUGUUGCAAUUGUUGCAACAUAUGUGAGUCUUGUUUUACAAUCUAUUUAACAUAUUUUAUUAAAUUAAUAUAUUUCUAUGAUAUAGGAACAUAAUAUUAAAAUAAAUUUACAAAAAUUUAAAGAAUUUUGAAUGUAAAACAAUUUCAAUAUAUUAAUAAUGAGAUUUUUUUAUUAUUAUAAAAAUUAUUUAACCCAUAGAUUUUUUUAAAUCUUUACAAUAAGUAUAAAUAUAUUAUCUUCACUUAAAAAUAUUUAAAUAUUAUUAACCUAUAAUUAGGUUUGCAUUUAUUAGAAAAUUUUAAAGUCAAAUAUAUUGCACUUUUGCAUUAUUAGAAUCAUCACAGAGAAAGGAGCAUAUAUACUUUAUAACUUUAAAAAUUGGUUUCUUCUGGAAACAGAGAUGAUGAUUAUUAUAAGGAUGAAAAAAAAAAGAUAAAGAAUAUUAAUGAUUAACGAAAUCUCUAUGCAAAUUGAUUUUAGUAGGGAAAGAGUGAGAUGAAUAACUUCUUUUACAGCUAAAAACAGAGAUGAUGAUUAUUAUAAGGUUGAAAAAAAAAGAUAAAGAAUAUUAAUUAUUAAUGGAAUCUCUAUGCAAAUUGAUUUUAUAGGAAAAAAGCGAGCUAAAUGAUUUAGACAUUCAUAGUGUAUUUAUUUUUGAAUUGGUGAAUAAGAAUUAUUGACAACGCUAACUUCAUCUUCACCGUUGGCUAUCCAAUAGCGGCAAUUGUCGCCGAUUAUGAUAUCUCCAAUGAUGAUGACGGUUUUUUUAUUAUUAUUAUUGGUGACCCCUUGGAAAGUUAACUGCAACUGCCAAUCAGAGAAAAGUCGUCAUGCACAAUCCUCAAUCGAACCAAUCAUCUACGUUACAGAAUCUGAAACGUACACACUGUUAACAUAUAUGUUUCCAUAAUGUUGAUUUUGAUGAUAACAAACAAGAUUAAGAAUGAUUAAUCUUUUAAGCUCAAAUUAUUUUUAUGCAUUUUAAAUAAAUCAUUAUUUUUACAUUAUAAAGGUUCUAUAUUUAAUGGAAAAAUGAUUUUAUGAAAUUGAUUGUUUUUUAUUCUUUUUAAAUAAAUCAUUAUUUUCACAUUAUAAAUGUUUCAUAUUCAAUGGAAAAAUGAUUUUAUGAAAUUGGUUGUUUUUCAAAGUUUAUGGUUUAAUUGAAAGAAUUUUGAAAACUUUGAAAUAAACAAGUAUUGCUUGAAAUUUCAGAUUUGGACUUAUUUGAAACUAUUUAAAUGUUUUUAGGCUAUUCUAUAAUUUCACAAAGUUUGGGCGAAAUUAUAAUUUCAGAACGUUGUGGGAUUGACAAAGUAUUAUUCUAAAAUUCUGAAAUUGGACUUAUUUGUAAAUUUUCAUAACGUUUUGGGUUAUAGUAUAGUUUUAUAAAGUUUUGGGGUCAAAUUAUAAUUUCAGAAAAUAGUGCACUGUGCAGGUUACUGUGGCAUCCGGCUUACCGGAUAUAAAAAUCGGAAAACCGGAUACGGGGCAGAAUGUAUCCAGAAUGUAAACGGCUUACCGGAUUUCGUAACCAGCAAGCCGGAUAGGCAAAAUUCAAAUUUUUGCCUUAACGGUAACAUAAAUCCAGCUUAUCGGAUUCCAUAAAUGGCAAACCGGAUACGCCCAGAAUGUGAGUAACGGCUAGUUUUUGAGUUCAAACUAUAUAAACUCAAAACCAAUUCAUUUUUGGUAAUCCAAGCAAGAAAGAACAAGUGCACAUAACAUAUAUUGAGCUUCAAUUUCGUAACUCAUCAUUUAUUAAAUCAUCUUUGUUUUUCAAUUUGUAUAUCCACUCUUAAAGAGAGAUUCAUUGUUGUAUUUUUCAUUUCUCAUCAAAUUGUGAGUGUACAAGUGUGAGAAACACUUGGGGUGAAGAGAUUGGAGAGAUAAUCUCUUGUUGUAAAGGUUCAUUAACACAUUGAAGUCAAUUGUAAACGUUUGAAGCCUUGGAAAUGCUUGGAUAGUGAAAUCCUCAAGCCCGGUGUGCUUGGAAGCGUGGACGUAGGCGGAGAUUACCGAACCACGUAAAAAUCCUUGAGUUUGCUUUCUCUUCCCUUACUCUUUAAUUAUUGUGCUUUGAUUGAACUUAUUGCUUUCAAUUUUUAUUAAGACAUUAGAUUAAAUUGUUGUGUGGUUUGCCUAGGAUAAUUUUUAAAAUCUCAAUUCACCCCCCUCUUGAGUUGCCUAGUUAGUAUUUCACACACCCAAUGGGAAGCAGCACACGUGUUCUGAGGAGAGAGAGAAAAAACCGUGCAAAUGCAAGCAAUAGGUAUUGGCUACAGUUGGAUCUGUAAGUUACAGAAUCUGUAACUUAGCCAACUCCCUCAAUGAUCAAUAUUGUUUCCGAUAUUUAUAAAUUGGUGGCCCCUUGGAAAUUUAACUGGAAGUUUGCAAGUGUCAAUCAGAAAAAAAUCGUCAUCCAUUGUUUUUUUUUUUCUGCAUUCCCUUUCAUGUUCUUAAUAAUUGAGGACAGGUUGUUCAUAACAUUUAUACUUUUCAAAUGUGGAGCUGCAUUUAAUGUCGCUAUUUUAAUUUGGGAUUAAAUUAGGGGAACACUAACUUUUAUAUUUAUCUAAACUCCUUAAAUUUAAGACAGAUUAUGGCGUAAAUAAGAAUAUAAUAAUAACAAAGGAAUUAAAAAGUAUAAUGACGAUCUUGCAGAAAUAUAAAUAUUAGCGUUGAAUUAAAUAACAUAGAACACAUGAAUUGAAUAGUGAUUAUCAAGACGGUGUUACUUGCACUCCUAUUUAUAAAAAAUCUUGGUUCUGUUCCAUUAGAUUUUUUAUCUUCAAAAUCUUGCAAAGUUUUGACAACCCAAAGGCUCAGUUUGGUUGUUCUAUAUUUGUAUGAUAUGAAUUCAAAUUUUUGUGUUCUGUUUUUCUUAAUUCUGAACACGGAUUCUUCUCUUCUCGUGCAAACCAGAAAGAAAUGUUGUCUUACAAAAAAAAAAGGGGAAUAACUUCAUGAGAACAAAAAUUCAGAAAAAUAAUAUAAAGUUUAUAUUUAGACUUUUGUGGUAUAUUUUAAUUUUCAACAAUGAGUUAAAGAAAAUAAUAAAUAAAGUAAAUAAAAGUUUAGAGAUUCAAAUUUUUAGUAUUGGAUUCUUUAAUUCAAAUACCUCUCAUUAAUUAACACUUAAAAGAGAGUUCACUAUUAUAAUUUUAAGUUUUUUGAUUUAUUAUUGAUAUAUAAAUUAGGAGUUUAAGCUUACUUUUUUAUUUUUCCAUUUUUUUUCAAAUUUGAAAUUAUUAUUUAAAUUUAUAAUUUUUUUUAAAAAAAUAGAGGGCUUGAGCCUGGCUUGGGUAUUGUUUCCUAAACCCUUAUCCGGCCCUGGCUUUUUUGCCAGCCCCAAUGAUGAUGAUGAUGAUUAUUUUAUUAUUAUUAUUAAUGAUGAAAAGUAUUAUAAUUAAUUAAUAUAUUAUUGUAUUGUUAUUAAGAUUAACAAUAAUUAUUAAUGAUAACAAUUUUUUGAAUAAAAAUAAUCACAAUAAUUAAAAUAUAAAUUAAUAAUUAUAACAAUAGUUAAUUAAUGUAUUUUUAACAAUUUGUAAUAAUUUAACUCAUUCUAAUUUCGAUUAUUAUAGUUAAGUAAACAACUUAUUAUAAUUUUCAUUCUCCAUUUUAAUUUCAGCUCAUUUCGAUUUCAGUCUAUUCCAAUUUUCAUUUAAUAAACGUUCCAUUAAUGCUAUAGUAAUAUUUCAUAUAGAAAAAAAUAAAAGCUACAACUAAGGUUAAGGGAAAGGACUUCAAAACUCUCUUUUUGUCAUAAUACAUUUUUUCCUAAUUAACUUAAAGAGUUUGAAUCUAAUAUUUUAUAAUAAAUAAAAAUAUAUUCCAAAAGUAAAUAUAAUAUAUCUAUUUUAAACUAAUCUCAAUAUUUAAAAUAUAUUUAAUAUUUUACAAUCUAUUAGACAUAUUUUAUUAUAUUAAAAUAAAUUUUAUAAUAAAUAUGAACAUACUGUUAAAAUGAAUAUAUAAAAAACUUAGAGUAUUUUGAAUAUUAUAUAAAAUAAUUUUAGUAGAAUACGUGAGAUAUAUUUUAUUAAUGUAAAAUGCUAUUUAAUCUAAAGAUUCAUUUAUGAUAAAUUAAUAAUUAUAUUUUUAAAAUUAUUUUAAAAAUUAAAUUUUUUUAAUAUUAUUAAUCUAUUAGACAGAUAAAAUUAUUUAUAUUAUUUUGUAUUUAUUAAAAAAAUUUAAAGUCAAUUUUUUUAAUUACUAUUCAAAGGAUAUAAUAAUUAAAAAAAUCUUAGCGUUUUCAUUAAAAAUUUAAAAAUUUACAUGACUAUUUCUGUAAAUAUUUAAGGUAUAUAUGAACUACGGUAGAGAAGCUUCAUUUAAUAUUAUUGAUUUAAAUAAUAUCUCAAUUAAAAAUGUACAGAGAAUAUAUUUCGGUGGGUAUUUUAAUCUUUUUAGCAAUUAUCAUGGUUAGCCCUUGGCCUUGAAACGUCUGUCAGAAAGGUUUUCAAAUGCUUUAAUUGUUCUUAUUAAAAAAAAAAUCUUUAAUUGUUUUUUCACUUUUAACGUCAGCGGCCUUGAAAGUGCUUUUACUUUAUAACAAAUUAAUUAAUGCUGACGAGAAAAUAUCUCUUCCACAGCCCACAGCAGCUUCUGUUAAUCAAACUCAACCAAUUUUCUCUCUUAACAAAAUUCCAAAGAUGGGUAGCAUUUUUCAGAUCACAUGCGACGGCGCUUUUUUCAAUCGUUGCUUUGGAUUGCUUUCUUGGAAAAGCAGCAUACAUAAGCAACAUCCAAGAUAAUCUUGUAGCCUUGGAGACUGAACUGGGAAGACUAAUCGCAGCAAAGAACGAUGUGAUGAUGAGGGUUGUCAAUGCUGAACGACAACAAAUGAAAAGGCUGGGCCAAGUGGAAUGGUGCGUUUCGAGGGUGGAUGCUGUUAAAAUUGAAGCUGAUGAACUUAUCAGAGACGGCUCUCAAGAAAUUGACAAAUUAUGUGUUGGAGGCUACUGUUCUAAGAACUGCACGUCAAGCUACAAGUUCGGGAAACAAGUGGCUAAAAAGCUACGAGAUGUGGAGACUUUAAUCGCCGAAGGAGUUUUUGAGGCGGUGGCUACCGAGGUGGUGCCUGAGAGAGCUCCAGAGCCUGUAGCAGAUGAAAGACCUACCGAGCGAACAGUAGUAGGCUUGCAAUCACAACUUGAACAAGUCUGGAGAUGUCUUGCAGAAGAAUCAGUGGGAAUCAUUGGCCUAUAUGGUAUGGGCGGUGUUGGUAAAACUACAUUACUGACCCAUAUCAACAAUAAAUUUCUCGAGAGUCCAACCAACUUUGAUUGUGUGAUUUGGGUAGUAGUUUCAAAAGACCUGCGACUUGAAAAAAUUCAAGAAGAUAUUGGAAAAAAGAUAGGUUUGGUUGGUGAUUCGUGGAAGAGUAAAAGUGUAGAGGAGAAAGCUGUCGACAUCUUCCGGAGUUUAAGAGAGAAGAGAUUUGUAUUGUUGUUAGAUGAUAUAUGGGAGCGGGUUGAUUUAACAAAGGUGGGCGUUCCACUUCCCGGACCAAAAAAUACUACCUCAAAAGUUGUAUUCACAACCCGUUUCAUCGAUGUUUGUGGUAGCAUGGAAGCUGACAGGAAGUUCCAAGUGGCGUGCUUAUCAGAAAAGGAUGCUUGGGAACUGUUUCGAGAAAAAGUUGGGGAAGAAACUCUUCAGAGUCAUCAUGAUAUCGUUGAGCUAGCCCAAAUUGUGGCCAAAGAGUGUGGUGGUUUGCCACUCGCACUUAUUACUAUUGGUCGAGCUAUGGCCUGCAAAAGGACAGCCGAGGAGUGGAGACAAGCAGUUGAAGUGCUAAGAAGAUCAGCUUCUGAGUUUGCAGGUUUGGGAAAAGAGGUGUAUCCUCUUUUAAAGUUUAGCUAUGAUAGUUUGCAGAAUGAGACGAUUAGAUCUUGUUUCUUAUAUUGUUGUUUAUAUCCCGAAGAUUAUGGAAUUCUUAAAUGGGACUUGAUUGAUUGUUGGAUUGGUGAGGGAUUCUUAGAGGAAUCUGACAGGUUUAGUGCAGAAAACCAAGGAUACUACAUUGUGGGCACUCUUGUUCAAGCAUGUUUAUUAGAAGAGUUAGAAGAUGAUAAAGUAAAAAUGCAUGACGUUAUUCGUGAUAUGGCUCUAUGGAUAACCAUUGAAAUUGAGAAGCAGAAGAGAAACUUUUUGGUUCGUGCAGGUGCUGGAUUAAAAGAGGCACCGGCUGUUAAAGAAUGGGAAAAUGUGAGAAGAUUGUCAUUGAUGCAAAACCAAAUUAAAACUCUGUCAGAGGUUCCUUCAUGCCCUCAUCUCCAUACUCUAUUUCUUGCCUCUAAUGAUAAUUUGAGGAUGAUCACGGAUGGCUUCUUUCAAUUUAUGCCUUCUCUCAAAGUUUUGAAGAUGUCAAACUGUGUGGAUUGGCCAGUUUCGAAAUUACCUUUGGCGAUGUCAAAGUUGGGUUCACUACAACUUCUUGAUAUUUCACAUACCGGCAUAGAANNNNNNNNNNNNNNNNNNNNNNNNNNNNNNNNNNNNNNNNNNNNNNNNNNNNNNNNNNNNNNNNNNNNNNNNNNNNNNNNNNNNNNNNNNNNNNNNNNNNGAAGAGUUGAAGUUGUUGGUAAAUCUGAAAUGUUUGAAUUUGAGGUGGACAUUUGAGUUAAAUAAAAUUCCAUGGCAACUAAUAUCAAAAUUUUCAAGGUUACGUGUGUUGAGAAUGUUCGCUACUGGCUUUGCACGUUUUGAUGAAGCAUCAGAAGACAGCGUUUUAUUUGGUGGGGGUGAAGUUUUAGUACAGGAAUUGGUCGGUCUGAAAUAUUUAGAGGUAUUGGAGUUGACCUUGGGAUGUCAUCAUGCUCUCCAAAUUUUUUUGAGCUCAAAUAAGUUAAAAAGUUGUAUUCGAUCUCUUCUCCUCCAGUUGGCCGGAGAUACAACGUCGAUUAUUGAUGCUACGGCUUUCGCAGAUCUAAACCACCUCAAUGAAUUAUGCAUUGAUAGGGCUAAGGAGUUGGAAGAAUUGAAGAUUGAUUGUAAAGAAAUAGUACAAAAAAGGCGGGAACCUUUUGUUUUCCGCAGCCCUCACCGUGUUACUAUACAUAGCUGCCAGAAGUUGAAAGAUUUGACAUUCCUCGUUUUUGCUCCAAACCUCAAGUCUCUCGAUCUAGACCGUUGCGAUGCUAUGGAAGAAAUAAUCAGCGUCGGAAAAUUUGCUGAGACUCCUGAGAUGAUGGGACAUAUAAGCCCUUUUGAAAAUCUCCAAAUGCUUGAUUUAGAAGAUUUGCCUCAUUUGAAGAGCAUCUUCUGGAAGCCAUUGCCUUUCACUCAUCUGAAAGAAAUAUCUGUGGGUUAUUGCCGUAAUCUUAAAAUGCUUCCACUCGAUUCCAACAGUGCAAAGGAGCGUAAAUUUAUUAUUCGUGGAGAAGAAGACUGGUGGAACCGACUUCAAUGGGAGGAUGAAGCCACUCAAAUUGCUUUUCGUUCCUGUUUCCAAUCUCUUUUUGAUUAACUCUUAUACAUUUUCUCGUCGUUUGCUUCAUGCAAAAGACUACGUCUUUUGUUCUCUGUUUUUAUUUCAGUUUCGUUUUGUCUCCUGCAAAUCACAAUUAAAUGUUGAAUUAUAUGGAAGUAAUGCUUUAUAAAUUUGCCGGCACUGCCAUUUAUUUUUCCUCUUUUUUUUUUUGGGUCGAAUUGAUGCUCUGGCUUUUUUAUUUUUUGUCAUCGAAUUUUGCUCUGUUUUUCAAAUUGAUGCUUGAAUAUGUGAAUUCAAUUAAUGCUCACAUAAUUUUGUUUAGUUGCCGUAAAAGAAUAUAAUUAGACUGAAAUUCGCACUCCCAGAAUGAAUAGAAUCACAACAGAGAAAAUAUUAAGUAUGCUAGCCCUCUUUACAGAAAAUCAAAUGAAAAUAAAAUUUUUUGGAUAUUUGAUUUUCUAUGGUCUACUAUAUACACUUUAUAAAUUCUUCUGUUCUAAGGAUAACCAAGUAGGGGAUUGAUGAAGGCUCCUUUUUGGGAUUCUUCUUUUUCUAGGCUGCAAUUAGGAUAUGUACAUGAUAGACAAUCUUUUGUUGGUUUAGCAUAUCUUCGCUGAUUUUGUCUUUUAUUCCCCAAUUUUAUAAUUACACACCAUGAAUGUUGGGUGAUUGUAUAGAAAAUUUGUGUUAUAACAAAAACAUUGUGAAGGAGUUUCCGUGCUAAUAGUUAGUGGCUUCUGUUUUAUUGGUAUUGAUUGGGUAGAUUUCGUGUUACAGUGAUUCAAUUUGUGUUCCAAACUUUGCUUUAAUUUUCUGUUUUCCCCAACUAUUUAUGUCAAAUUUAAAUCCAGAAGCAUGUACUGAUUUUUUCUUUUUGUAUUAAUCUGUGAAGUUUACUUGGAAUGGAAGUAACUGGGUCGGGUCUAAUGGAUUAAAUUAUGACAUUGAGGGGAAGGCACUAAAAGGGUUUGCUUGACACAUUUGGUUCUGUAUUUACUCUGCAAGAAAUAGCUUUUGCUUAUUGCAAUGCAGGGGGAAAUCCCGAUUUGGCUGGUGAAUUUCUCUGCAACAAACAGGCAAACGCCUCAACCUCUUCUGUCCAUACUUCUGCUGGGGAGGCAAGGGGUAAAGAGUCUUCAAAAUCAUCAAAUAGUAACAUCUCUGAGAAUUCAUUUUAUGGAAAUGGAAAAUCUAGAGCUUCUAAUACAAAAUGGCAUCUGGUAUCAGGACGUACCGUUUCAAGUUUUCUUGGUAAAGAUUAUGUUAAACCUGCACAGCCAGCUAAUGGCACUGUUCUGGCAUCAAAGCCAUUGAAGUUGGAUCCAAGGGAGUUUCGCAUUUCUGCACUUUCAGAGUAGAAACUAAACCAAAACAAUCAAAGGAUGACCAUUUGCAGAAGGAUAUGGAAGAUUUUCUGUUUAAAUUGCUAGGAGAAGGGUUCCAGCUGUACAGGGAUGUGAUUCAGGAGGUUCAUGGAAACGUCUUAAAUAUAUUGAUGCCAAUUUAAUACAUAUUGUCCUUUUCAAUGUUCUUUCUUUCUUUCUCCUCUUUUUAUUCUUCUUCUUCUUCUUUUUUCUUUUCGUGUGCAUGUGAUCACUAAUUUGGUAUUAUUCUUAACUUGCAGAUAGUUGUGGAUAUGAUAUGCAAAAUAUCUUCUUGAUGCUGGCAGAUUCACUUGAUUCUUAUUAGUUUGUUUAGUGGCAAGGCAUAUAACCUGUAUUUCAAAGCCAAGUUGUGCUAUUGAUUAUGUUAACUUUAUUGUUAACAUAAAGUGAUAUGGAGGACAUAAUCAAUGUAGGAAAAUUAGGUGAAGAGAUGAUGUCAAAUCUUGAACCUCUUACAAAGCUCCAAGUUCUUUACUUGAAGAAGCUGCCAAAUUUGAAGAGCGUCUACUGGAAGGCAUUUCCAUUCCCAGAUGUAUGCAGAAUUUUUGUAUUAAUGCCCAGUUCUUAAGAAGCUGCCACUGGAUUUUCAAAGGGCGGGCCAAGGUGAAAUUCUUAUCAAGGGAAAGGAAGAUUGGUGGAAAGAACUUCAAUGGGAGGAUCAAGCAACUCAGAAUGCAUUGCUUCCAUUUUUCAAAUCAACUGACAAGUGAUUGAAGGGGGCAUCAUCAACAGAGAUGGAGAGAUUCUGGAGCAGAUCAACAGGGUUUGUAUAUGAUCUUUGGUGGUUGCUUUCUUUUGUGAUUUUUUUUUCUCAUUUUUUUUCCUUCCUGUCAUUUUAUCAUUUCUUUGUCUCUUUUUCUAUUGCUGAUGUUAGUGUAUGCUUACUGUUGCUUGACAAAGUUUGCUUGCUUCUUGUUUAUUAAAUUUUUUAUGGUCACAAAAUAUUACUUGUUCUAUUUGAGAGUGAUGUGAAUCAAUUUUCAAUUAUAUAUUUUGUGGUCAAUGUGAAUUCAAUUUCAUUUGUCUCCUGCAAUUAUGAAAAAAAUGCAGAGUCAUAAUAUGGAAAAGUCGACCGGCAAAAACUUUGUGAAAGCUUCGGAGUGAAACAGGGAAUUCACUUACUACUAAGGACAAUUGGUGGCGAGCUAUUCCAUUCAUUUUAUGUCCAUACAUCUAUUUAAUUAUUGAAGAUAAGUGGUCCAUUUGUAAAUUUCAGAUUGUCCCUCUCUCUUGAAAUAACGAUAUUUAAAAUAUUUCUUAAAUUAUUAUAAAUUUUAAUUUACUCUGGAUUUAAAAUGGAACAUGAUGAAAAUUUUUUUUUCUUCUUAAUAAAAUUGAAAUAAAUUGUGUUUGCAGUAGUUUGAAAUAUUUUAAAGAUUAUUAUUUUAUAAGGGAGUAAUAUGAAAUGAAAUUUACUUUUCAUGCGUGAAAUGUUGAAAAAGGACAAAGCAAGUGUCCCUGUUUUUAUUUUAUUUCAAAGUGGAGUCAUCUCACGUACUUUAGCUCUUAACAUUAUAAUUUUUCUGGUUACAUUUUUAUUAUUAUUUUUUUUUUUUACACAUGCAUGUGGGUUACUUUUCCGUAAGCUCCUUAAUAUAUAUUUAACACAAAUCAUGGAAGAGAUGGGAGUAUAUCAAGAUGAUCAAAGCAUGAAACAAAAAUAUUUAAGAAGUAAAACACUGAAAAUGGAGAAGAGAUGCAAGCAAAAGAUAUUCCAAAGAAAAGCAAUCUAUCCCCCUUUCGAGGGCAAACUUAUCAGGUUUAAGAAAAGUACAUGCUUUGGAUUGGUAGUUGCAGCCUUGCAGGAUAAUUGUUUUUGCCACUAUAUUAGUUGGAGGAGUUGAACCCAGCGAAGAAUGUUAUGGAAGAGCAAAGGAUUAUGUAGCCUGAAUGGAUGUCUUGUUGAAAGAUAUCUCAGUGCAUUAGUUCAUCCUUGUCUGUCAAUGUGUUUUUAAUGGUUUUUCCAAUUGUUUAUUAUUAUAGAUUGAUUGUAAAUUGAUAUGAAUUUAAUGUUGAAAUAUUUUCUCUUUAGUGGAAUGAAUUUAAAAGUGCAAAAGCUUAUUGCACACAGAGAAAUAAACAUAUAUGCUUUAUAGUAUAACUUUAGCAAUCGAUUCUUUUACAGCUGGAAACAGAGAUGGUGAUUAUCAUAGGGGUGAAGAAAAGGACAAAAAAUGUUAAUGAUUAACGAAAUUUCUAUGCAAAUUGAUUUUAGCAGGAAAAAAAGUGAGCUAAAUGAUCUUAAUGUUCCACAAAAGCAAAUCGUAAUAUUCCACAAGAAAAAGCAAGAUCUUAAUGUUCCACAAAAGCGUUAUUUUUUUUUUGGUGAGCCACGUGGAGCUCAAUUAUCAUUGUCUUUACUUUAAAAACGUUAUUUUAUUUUAUUUUAUUACAAAUUAAUGCUAAACAAGAAAAAGCAAGAUAUAAUAUUCCACAAAAGCAAAUCGUAAUAUUCCACAGAGGAAUAAGAUCCACAAAAGCAAACAACUAGCUGGAUUCUUUUACUGAAUUACAAAUUAAAGUGGAAUCUUUUAUUAAACAAUAAAUUAAAGUUCGAAUAUUUAAGUAGUAGUGCGUUAGAUGAUUAGGCUCUCUUAUUAAAGGCAAGUAUAAGGUAGUCCAGAAUCGAACAUCUCUAUUGUCUAGUCAUUUUUUUCAAUUCUUCUUUUAUUAUUUUUCAGAAUAGGUUUUGGUGAUUACUAUUGGGUUAUUAGUCAGAGUUAUUCUUAUCUUCCGGGGCAGUUUCUGUUCAUCGGAAUUGUUAAUUAAAAGAGUAAUGAUAUAGUCACAAACUCUUGUAUAAACUUAUUUUGUACAAACUGAUGUGGCAUGAUAAGAUUAGUUGAAUUAAAUAUCACUUAGGCCACAUGAUUUAUUUUUAUUAUUUUAUAUUUUCAUUCAACCAAUGAAUUAAUGCCACGUCAGUUUGUACAAGAGUUUGUGGCUGUAUCAUUACUCUAAUUAAAAUUUUAGAACUCUUGUGGGAAGAAUGUUUUUCUGUUAUCUUUUUUACAUUCUAAUUUCAACAAUAAGAAGGAGUCAUUUUAGAAUUCGGGUCUUGAAUCGAAUUUCAAUGCAUGAAUUAAUAUUUUAAAAAAAAAUUACUACACGCAGUUUAGGUUACAAACUAUUUUUUGCAAAGUUGACUAUGAAAUUGGAGAAAUUAAGUAAUUUAUAAUGUUUGCAAAGGAAGAGACUAACAUACUUCCAAUUACACUAUAUCUCUAUUAUCAUAAUGUUAAGACUAAACUAACUUAAAAUAAAUUUUAUUUGAAAAGUUAUAUCAAACACAGUCUAAUUUUAUUAACUUGAAGAGAUAAUAGUUAUAGAAAUGAUUGUUCUAACUUAAUUAGUACAAGUGGUAUAAAGGUUAAGUGUGCACUAAAUUUGUUUAAAUUUUUUCCAGAAUAACUAACAGAGGUCAUUAUUAGAAUUAUAAUUACUAGUCUAUUAGAUAGAAAAAAUUAUAUAUAUUGUUUUAUAUUUAUUAAAAAAAUUUAAAGUCAAUCUUUUUAAUUAUUAUUUAAAGGAUAUUAUAAUUUAAAAAAAUUUAAUGUCUUUAUUAAAAAUUUAAAAAUUUACAUGACCGUUCUAUAAAUAUUUAAAGUGUAACUGUCAUUUUCUCAUGUAUAUAUAUAUAAACCACGGUGGUGAAGCUUUAUUUAAUAUUAUUGAUUUAAAUAACAAUAUCGCAAUUAAAAAUGUAGAGAGAAGAAAUUUUGGUGGGUAUAUUAGUCUUUUACAAUUAUCAUGAUUAGCCCUUCCUCUUGUAACGUUGGUCAGAAAAGUUUUAAAAUGCCUUGAUUUCUUUUACUUUUAACGUUAGCGGCCUUCCUUAUAUUUUAUUACAAAUUAGUCCUAACAAGAAAAAGCGAGAUCAUAUUCCAAAAAAGCAAAAGUGACAAAAAAACCAGCUGUAUUCUUUUAUUAAACUACAAUUUAAAAUGAUUUUAAAGUGGAUUCUUUUGAAUACAGGUGGGGUAGUCGAAUAGUCUUUUUCAAAUUCUUGUUUUAUUAUUUUUCAAAACUAGUUUUUGGUAAUUACAAUCGGGUCAUUCAUUAGUCAUUAUUCAGAGUUAUUGUUAUCUUCGGGGGCAGUGGGUAAAAGGCUAAAUGAUAAUUACUAAGUGUUUUUCCUUCAAAAGUUAGUGGCUCGUGUUUUGCAAGUGUGUACGUGCGAUGCUCUUUGUCUAAAGGCAAUUACAGUGGGUCCCGAAUCGGACGUGCCUAAUAAAUCUUUUAAAAUUUUUUCUAAUAAAUAUUCCUAAAAUUUCUCUUCCACAGGCAAUUACAGCAGCUUCAGUUAAUCAAACUCAAUCAAUUUUCUUUCUUAACAAAAUUCCAAAGAUGUUUGGCUGUUUUCAGAUCACAUGCGAUGGUGCUCUUUUCAAUCGUUGCUUGGAUUGCUUUCUGGGAAAAACAGUAUACAUACGUAACCUCCCAGAUAAUCUUGUUGCCUUGGAGACUGAAUUGGGAAAUCUAAUCGCAGCAAAGAACGAUGUGACGAGGAGGGUUGACAAUGCUGAACGGCAACAAAUGAGAAGGCUGGACCGAGUGCAACGAUGGAUUUCGAGAGUGGAAGUUGUUGAAACUGAAGCCGAUGAAUUGAUAAGACAUGGCUCUCGAGAAAUUGAAAAAUUAUGUGUUGGAGGCUACUGUUCCAAGAACUGCAUGUCAAGCUACAAGUUCGGAAAACAAGUGGCUAAAAAGCUACGGGAUGUGCGGACUUUAAUCAGUGAAGGAGUUUUUGAGGUGGUGGCUGACAGAGCUCCAGAGCCUGUAGCAGAUGAAAGACCUACUGAGCCAACAAUAGUAGGCUUGCAAUCACAACUUGAACAAGUUUGGAGAUGUCUUGUAGUAGAAGAAUCAGUGGGAAUCAUUGGCCUAUAUGGUAUGGGCGGUGUUGGUAAAACCACACUAUUGACCCAUAUCAACAAUAAAUUUCUUGAGAAUCCAAUCAACUUUGAUUGUGUGAUUUGGGUUGUAGUUUCAAAAGACCUGCGACUUGAAAAAAUUCAAGAAGAUAUUGGGAAAAAGAUAGGU
This 173072-nucleotide long non-coding RNA is filed under the name Citrus x clementina. RNAcentral's name for it is "Citrus clementina (C. clementina) long non-coding RNA (CCLE_LNC001436)". Lineage: Eukaryota; Viridiplantae; Streptophyta; Magnoliopsida; Sapindales; Rutaceae. The record is from RNAcentral.